UAUCAAGAGAUGCUAAAAGAAACUUUUCUUUCACUAAACCUUACCAACUUGUUUGGAACUGAGGCAUAGUUAUUGUUAUAUCUAAAACUCGGAGACUACUGUACGAUCAAAGUAGCAACCAGUAGGUCCUCCAUCAGGCAAAAGAGCUAGCAUGACAGGUCCUUCAGCUCCUUCCUCAACAGGCAUUGUUCCUGUAUGCCAGGUUAUAUCUGUGUUGACGAAACCAGGAUGGACACAAUUAAUACACAUUUUCAGGUACUUUCUUGCAAGAACUCUGGUGUAAGCAUUAAGUAAUAGUUUUGAUAUGCUAUAGACUGGUCCACUCAUCUGCCAACCGUUCACCUCGAGAGCAUCUUGUUUCAGAUCAUGCAAAAAAUUCUGCAGAAUCUCGUCGAUUUUUUCUUCUGUCAGGUUUACAAUAUCUCCGAGCUCCUUUCUCCUCUCCUCGUUUGGCAUUCGCUGUGUGAGAAGAAAAAAUCAACAAGAAAUAUGAAAUGUUCAGCAACGACGAGAAUGACUGUCUAACUCACAUUUAAAGCACCUUUACGGGAGGAGACAUUAACAAUCCUUGGUGAAGGGGAAUUUUGCAGCAAUGGAAGAAGAGCUUCAGUAACAUUCUUAACACCAUAGUAAUUAGUGUCCAAGCAUAAUUUGGCUUGCUUGUACGUUGUUUUCAUCACAGCUUGAAUGUCAUCGAAAGUUUUCCCUGGUAACUGUUUACAAUAACAACAAUUACGUCUCAGUCUCAAACAAGUUAGGAUCGGCCAUAUAAACAAAUGCUCAAAAACUUGGCAUCAAUUGACAAGUAAGCACUUCAACUCAUCCCACUAUGUCUUGUGGACACUAUGCUGUCGUGUCACAUAAAUUUUGGAGGCGUCUAAAUGUGCAUACUCGAAGUUGAAGUGUUUACUUGCCGAUUGAGGCCAAGUUUGAGUUGUUUGUCAGAGCAAGAUCAGACCACACACAUGGACCAUCGCCUACCUCAAAGCUUAGAUAUGAGAUCGAAUCGCAAAACAAAACAAGACCUAAGCAUUGAGCAAAUUAUCUUACCCAGUCUACAAGAUCUAUGUUCAUGGCCCUUAGGACAUCUUCAUUAGGUACAACUCCAGAAGCUCCAGCAUUAUUUACCUGCAGAAAUUUAUGAAGCAACUGUCCAAUUAAUAUUUGCCUCGAGAUCUAAUGAGGAGCAAUACAUAGAUUCAUGCUCUUACCAGAAUAUCAAGCCUCCCAUAUUGUUUUUGUAUGAACUUUGCUAAGGAAUCAAUGCUCUGAGCAUUUUGAACAUCAAGCUGAUGAAACACAACAUUUGAAAAUCCUUGUUCAUUCAGCAAGGAUGUUGCUUCAGUUCCUCUCUUUUCAUCUCUGGCAGUUAAGACAACUGUUACACCUGAAUUGGCGAGCUGCUUAACAGUCUCAAAGCCAAUUCCCUUGUUUGCUCCUGUAACAACUGCAUACUUACAAGCAUCUCCCAUCACUUAAGUCCAAUGUUUCUAACCUUUUCUCCUUUAGAAUCCUUUCGGGGAGAAGAAAAAAGAACACUAUUUCAAACGAAGGUACAUAUAGACUAAUAGGACAAGAGUUUGAAAUAACAACCUCACGGAUCAGAUGAAAUGACGAAUUCAUUUCAUCUACCUAAGCCUUAAUUGACAGGAUCGAUUACCGGUAUAAAGUUGAUUAGUUGAGAUUUCCGCAGCUGCUAACCUAGACACUACUGUUAUUAAACCCAAAAAACCUCUCUCUUACCAUACUACGAGUCAGGGGUAGAACUAAUGGGACGCAAAGGGGUUCAUCCGAUCCACCCCCUCCCCGAAAAAUAGCACCAUACAUGUAUACAAAGCCAAAAUUAUUUUUUAUAUGUAAGCAUAGUAAUGUUUAAUCCCCUUGAGACAAUCAAAACCUCUCAUACCCAAUGUAGUUCCACAAAGUGGAGUUUGGGGAGGGUACGCAUACAUUACCCCUACCUCAGAGGUAGAUAGGCUAUUUCCAAAAAAAAAGUCCAAAGCAUUUCUGAAAAAGAAGUAACGGAAGUACAUAGUAAUAACAAAAACAACAGACAGUAAACAAAAUAGAAACUAGAACAAAACAAUAGGAUAUAUAAUUGAGAUCCAAGAAACAACAGAUAGUAACAAAACAGAAACUAGAACAAAAUGAUACGAUAUAUAAUUGAGAUACAAGAAAGUAACAAAACAAAAACUAGAACAAAAUGAUACGAUAUAUAAUUGAGAUACAAGAAACAACAGAUAGUAAUAAUACAAAAACUAGAACAAAACAAUACGAUAUAUAAUCGAGGUACAAGAAACAACAGAUAUUAAUAACAACAAACUACAGUAGCAAGACCUCAACUAAUUCCAACAGAGAUGUGCUACUUCUCACUAACUAACUCUGUCACCUGAAUCCAAACAAUAUAGUAAACAAUCAAAGACCAAAAAUCAGAAUCAAUUCAUUUUUGUGAAGAUUUGAAAAUAUUGAGUUACCUGCAAAACAAAUCUGUAAAUGGGUUUGGCAAUUGAAGGCCUAAUUUCUGUUCUACUAUCUACUACUGGUGUAAUUAAAUUUGAUGGAUAAAUAAAUGCAACAUGAAAUUAAAAAAAAUAACAAAAAAGGGGAGAAAAAGAAUGUUAAAAAAAAAGGAAAAUAAAUAGAUUAGUCGACUUUAGAGGCACUGUUAUAGGGACUAAAAUCGUCAUUUCCCCUUUUAUAUUAUGUUGGGAAAAGGCUCAAAUAUGCCAUCAACUUUUAGAAAAAGUUCAUUUAAGUCAUCCGUUAAAAGUUUGGCUCAUCUAUGCCAUUACCGUUUAAGAAAAGGCUCAUUCAUGCCAUUAUUUUUUAACGGUGAUUUUGUAAAACCAUUUUUUACACGUGGCCAAUUAUAAUUCGGCUACAUCAUUAUUAUUUUUUUUCAGAAUUUUGAUUUUUUAUUAUAAAAAAAAUAAUGACGUGGCCGAAUUAUAAUUGGCCACGUGUAAAAAAUGGUUUUACAAAAUCACCGUUAAAAAAUAAUGGCAUGAAUGAGCCUUUUCUUAAACGGUAAUGGCAUAGAUGAGCCAAACUUUUAACGGAUGGCAUAAAUGAGCUUUUUCUGAAAGUUCGAUGGCAUAUUUGAGCCUUUUCCCUAUUAUGUUUUCAAUUCCCAUUUUAUUUUUUGAAUCCCCCACCUGGGUGGGCCCCCUUUCCCCUAAAUACACCUUCUCCUCUUGCUUCAAUUAUUGAAUUGGGAAAAAGGAUAUUUUUGUUGUUUUUUUUGUGUGGCUAAAACAUAGUUGUACCACUAGCAAAAAAGAGAGAUAGGUGGAUAUAUUAUUUUCGUAGUUAGCAACGACAAAUUUUAGUAUGGUAGAAGCACAACCAACAAAAAUUGUGUGGGGCUCCACUUAUUCUUUGACACUUGAAUAAAGUGGGUCCAUUCUUUGACUUUAAAGCUCCAAACAUUAGAAAGAAAGAGAAAAUAAAAUUUAAAAUUGACAUGACCCAAUAAAAUUAUAUUAAAUGAUAUAAAUAAAAUGAAUUAUGGGAUCCACUAUUCUUUAAGCUCAUCAUAUCCAAAUAAAAAAUAAAAAAUCAGGACAUCAUUCUUCUCCAACUUCGAACGUUUUUCUUCUAAAUUGAAAUUUUUAUCAAAAUUAUUUCUCAAUAUUAGGAAUUGACAAAAAGAAAAUUUGCUGAAAUAUUUUUGUCAGAAAAUUUGAAUCUCUAAAUACAAAUAUAAUUAAACUUGUAUAUAUUCGAAUGAUUUUUGCAAAAAAUAUUCGAAAUGAUGUUCAUGUUUGAAUGUACUUUAAUACAAUCUCAAAAGUGAAAAGUGAGCUAAAAAUAGAUUAUUUUUAAAAAGUAAAUAAUUUUUAUGUUUAAAUGGAUCCUAAAAGUAGAAGUUAAAAAGAAAUGAAUUAGAAAGAUGAAAAUUUUAAAAUACGAUAAAUGAAAAACGGUUUAAUCCUACGAUAUGAAUACAAAUUAUAUUCGUAUUUAAAUUUGACUAUUAAUAUCUUAGGUAAUUAUUUAACCAUAAAAAAUAAAAUAUAUUUUUAUUUAUAUUAUAAAAUGGAAGGAGUAAUUGAAUUGGUUUUCAAAUAUAUUUUUUUAAAAGAAAAACUGACGAGAAAAAAAAGAAGAGAAGACCAUGAAAGAGAAACAAAAGGCAAAGAAAUAAAAAUAAAAGUAGGUCCCAUAAAUCAGAAUAUAAUUGCAAUAAAAAAUACCAUCAUACAACUAAUACAAGUUGUACCUCUUUCAUAGUAAAUUUUUUCAUUAGCAACGUGUUAUAUAUUUUUAUAGUGGAUAUAUUAUUUUCUUACUCAUUUUAGGUAUCCACAUCAAUUUUUGCACAUUUUAGGGGCGACUCCUGACAUAUUUUUCUCCAUUCCAAAUUCCACAACUCGUGCUUCUAAAUUUUAAAUAAUGGUAGAAAAAUCUCAACUAUCCCACCACAACUCAUAUCAGUUGUAUUGGAUAUACAAGUGUAGACUAAAAAAUAUAACUAUGCAAGUGCAAAUAUUUUUGAAGAGAACCAAUUAACAAGCAAAAUGCUCUAUUAAUGUAUGGUAUUUGUAUAUUUAAAUUUUGAUGUAUGUCAAUCACUACGUUAUUGAAUGUUUAUUGUUUUUGAUUAUUUUUUUGCUUUGCAGUUUUAAUUGUUGAUCUGAGAAUCUACUGAACAAUAUUAGCCUCCACUAUUGGUGGUUCAAUUUCUUCAAGAGUUAUCAUAUUACCCUUUUUUUUUCUGAAAAGACUUUUGGUUCAAUUUCUUCAAGAGUUCAAUAGAUAUACUUUCUGCAAUUUCUUGUUAGUUUGAUUUGCUAACAUGGAGAAAAGGCAUUUUGAUAUCUAUUUGAUUUUUCUCUCUUUAUUUUUCUUUUUUUGAUUUGAAAGAACAAUAAAAUGGUGAAUCCUUGUUUUCAGUUUAUCCAUUGGGACAGAGUUGUACAUGGACCUAAAUAGGGACCUUCAACAUAGAAGAAUAGAAGCAACAACAUACAAGUGGGGUGUGUAUGCGGACCUUACCACUAACUUGUAGGGUAGAAAAGUUGUUUCCGAUAGACCAUCGGCUCAUGUAAACAUAGAAAAAAUAAUACCUAGAGAAAAGGAAAAAUGGAACAGAAUCCCAUUCUUCACAAUUCUAAAACGUAUACAUGAUAUACAAUGAGCUGUUGAAAAAUGGACAAGUGCAUAAAACAAAAGUAAUGAAUCGACAUAAAGCAAAAGAUACCUUCCUCUAUUGCCUCAAUUAUUCAAUUAGUUGAAUUAUACUUUUUGAAAAGAGUAAAAAGGACAGUUUUACUAAUUACAAGCAAAAGAGAGAGAGAGAGCAAUCAUUGAUCAUUCUUGUUUGCAAAUUACUCUUAACAUUCAACAAGUAAACUAAAGCUCUUAUAAACUGAGACUAUUUGAAGAUAUAUCUUCUUAAAGAAUCAUAUUGUGUUUCCUUGUUUUGCUUUGCAGAUUUCAGAAAUGGAGAUUGGCUUAGCAGUUGGUGGUGCAUUUCUCUCUUCAGCUUUGAAUGUUCUCUUUGAUAGGCUUGCUCCUCACGGUGAUCUUCUCAACAUGUUUCAGAAGCAUACAGAUGAUGUUCAGCUCUUUGAGAAGCUGGGGGACAUUCUGCUUGGUCUUCAAAUUGUGCUAAGUGAUGCAGAGAAUAAGCAAGCAUCAAAUCAAUUUGUGAGCCAGUGGUUAAAUAAGCUUCAGACUGCUGUGGACGGUGCUGAAAACUUGAUAGAACAAGUCAAUUAUGAAGCUUUGAGACUUAAAGUGGAAGGUCAGCUUCAAAAUCUUGCAGAAACAAGCAACCAGCAAGUAAGUGACCUUAACCUGUCCUUGAGUGAUGAUUUCUUUCUUAACAUAAAUAAGAAGUUGGAAGACACUAUUAAAAAAUUGGAGGGGUUGGAAAAGCAAAUUGGUCGCCUUGGCUUAAAGGAGCAUUUUGUUUCGACUAAACAAGAAACUAGAACACCUUCAACUUCUUUGGUUGAUGAUGCUGGUAUCUUUGGAAGGCAGAAUGAAAUAGAGAAUUUGAUUGGCUGUUUAUUGUCUAAGGAUACAAAAGGAAAAAAUCUGGCUGUAGUUCCUAUUGUUGGAAUGGGUGGCCUGGGUAAGACGACACUUGCUAAAGAGGUUUACAAUGAUGAGAGAGUGCAGAAACAUUUUGGUCUGAAAGCUUGGUUUUGUGUUUCUGAGGCAUAUGAUGCUUUCAGAAUAACAAAAGGGCUACUUCAAGAAAUUGGGUCAACUGACUUGAAGGUUGAUGACAAUCUUAAUCAGCUACAAGUCAAAUUGAAGGAAAGCUUAAAGGGAAAGAAGUUUCUUAUUGUUCUGGAUGAUGUGUGGAAUGACAACUACAAUAAAUGGGAUGAAUUGAGAAAUAUUUUUGUACAAGGAGAUAUAGGAAGUAAGAUCAUUGUGACGACACGUAAAGAGAGUGUUGCCUUGAUGAUGGGAAAUGAGCAGAUUAGCAUGGACAAUUUGUCUAUUGAAGCCUCUUGGUCUUUAUUUAAAAGACAUGCAUUUGAAAACAUGGAUCCUAUGGGACAUCCGGAACUUGAAGAGGUCGGUAAACAAAUUGCAGAUAAGUGCAAAGGACUGCCUUUAGCUCUGAAGACGCUGGCUGGCAUGUUACGCUCCAAAUCAGAGGUUGAAGGGUGGAAACGUAUUCUGAGAAGUGAAAUAUGGGAGCUGCAAGACAAGGACAUAUUACCAGCGUUGAUGUUGAGCUACAAUGAUCUUCCCGCACAUUUAAAACGAUGCUUUUCCUUUAGUGCAAUAUUUCCUAAAGAUUAUCCAUUUAGGAAAGAACAAGUUAUUCAUCUGUGGAUUGCUAAUGGUCUCGUACCAAAGGACGAUGGGAUAAUUGAAGAUUUAGGCAACCAAUACUUUCAGGAGUUGAGAUCAAGAUCAUUAUUUGAAAGGGUCCCAAAUCCUUCUGAAGGGAACAUAGAGAAUUUAUUCUUAAUGCAUGAUCUUGUCAAUGAUUUAGCCCAAAUUGCAUCUUCAAAACUUUGUAUCAGGUUGGAAGAGAAGCAAGGAUCUCAUAUGUUGGAAAAAAGUCGGCACUUAUCUUAUUCCAUGGGAAAAGAUGGUGACUUUGAGAAAUUGACACCCCUCUACAAAUUGGAGCAGUUGAGGACAUUGCUUCCGACAUGUAUUGGUCUCAAUUAUUUUUACCCUCUAAGCAAGAGGGUGCAGCAUAACAUACUGCCAAGACUAAGAUCCUUAAGGGCAUUAUCAUUGUCAGGUUAUGAGAUUAAGGAGUUGCCAAAUGACUUGUUUAUCAAAUUAAAGCUCCUCAGAUUUUUGGACCUUUCUCAGACAUGGAUUAGAAAGUUGCCUGAUUCCAUUUGUGUAUUGUAUAACUUAGAGGUACUUCUCCUGUCAUCUUGUGCUUAUCUUGAGGAGCUACCGCUGCAGAUGGAGAAGUUGAUUAACUUGCGUCAUCUUGACAUAAGCAACACUUGGCGCUUGAAGACGCCCCUACAUCUGAGCAAGUUGAAAAGCCUCCAAGUGCUAAUGGGAGCCAAGUUUUUUCUUGGUGGUUUGAGAAUGGAAGAUUUGGGUGAAGCACAGAACUUGUAUGGAUCUUUAUCUGUUGUAGAGUUGCAAAAUGUGGUUGAUAGUAGGGAAGCUGUGAAGGCAAAGAUGAGGGAGAAGAAUCAUGUUGACAAGUUAUCUUUGGAGUGGAAUGGAAGUAGUAGCGCCGACAAUUCACAAACAGAAAGAGACAUACUUGAUGAGCUACGCCCGCAUAAAAACAUAAAAGGAGUCGAAAUCACUGGAUAUAGAGGGACAACAUUUCCAAAUUGGUUAGCUGAUCCUUUGUUUCUUAAGCUGGUGAAAUUGUCUCUUAGCUACUGCACGGACUGUUAUUCCUUGCCAGCACUAGGACAACUCCCUUCUUUGAAAUAUCUUUACAUUGGAGGGAUGCAUGGAAUAACAGAGGUGACAGAAGAAUUCUAUGGCAGUUUGUCCUCCAAAAAGCCUUUUAACUGUCUUGAGAAGCUUGAAUUUGAAUAUAUGCUGGAGUGGAAGCAAUGGCACGUAUUAGGAAAUGGAGAGUUCCCUACACUUGAGAACCUUUCAAUUAAAUAUUGCCCUGAACUCAGUUUGGAGACACCCAUCCAACUUUCAAGUUUAAAAAGGUUUGAAGUUAGUGGUUGUCCAAAGGUUUUUGAUGAUGCUCAACUGUUUAGAUCCCAACUUGAGGGAAUGAAGCAGUUUGAAGAAUUAGAUAUUAGGGAUUGUAACUCUGUUACCUCCUUACCUUUUAGCAUACUGCCCACUACCUUGAAGAGAAUAUACAUAGAUGGUUGCCAGAAAUUGAAAUUGGAUCCGCCAGUUGGUGAGAUGAGUAUGUUUCUGGAGGAUUUGAAACUGCAUGAAUGUGAUUGUAUAGAUGAUAUAUCACACUUACGAGCACGCUCUUUGUCUGUAUAUAAGUGCCACAACCUUACUAGGAUUUUGAUUCCUACUGUGACUGAAAGACUCCAGAUUUGGGUAUUUGAGAAUGUUGAAAAACUAUCGGUGGCAUGUGGGGGGACCCAGAUGACGUCACUGGAUAUUGGGUACUGUUCAAAGCUGAAGUGGCUGCCAGAACGUAUGCAGGAACUCCUUCCAUCUCUUAAGGUACUGCAACUGAGUAAUUGUCCAGAAAUAGAGUCCUUUCCUGAAGGAGGAUUGCCCUUCAAUUUACAAUUCCUUGAGAUCAGCGAGUGCAAGAAACUGGUGAAUGGCCGAAAGGAGUGGCAUUUACAGAGACUUCCCUGUCUCAGAGAGUUAUGGAUCUAUCAUGAUGGCAGUGACGAAGAGAUUCUUGGUGCUGAGAACUGGGAGUUGCCUUCCUCUAUUCAAACACUUAACAUAAGGAAUCUGAAAACAUUAAGCAGCAACCAUCUCAAAAGCCUCACCUCUCUUCAACAUCUUUGUAUUGAGGGUAAUUUACAUCAAAUUCAGUCAAUGCUGGAACAAGGCCAGCUUUCGCACCUCACUUCCCUUCAAAGUUUAGGAAUCGGGAAUUUCCCUAAUCUCCAAUCACUUCCUGAAUCGGCACUGCCCUCCUCCCUCUCUCAGCUGAUCAUUAAUGAGUGCUCUAAGCUCCAAUCCCUUCCAGUGAAAGGGAUGCCAUCUUCCUUCUCUAAACUAUAUAUUUACAACUGUCCAUUGCUCACACCACUACUAGAAUUUGACAAGGGGGAAUACUGGCCAGAAAUUGCUCAUAUCCCCACUAUACAGAUCGAUCGGGAAUACCUUUAAUGGUUAAAACAAAUGGUGCUCUCACAAAUGUAAGUUUUUCUUUUUCUUCAGAAGCAUUCUAUUUUUGUUUUCUUCCCUUUGCUUUUUUGUCAAUUCUUUUACUUUUUUGAAAUCUUGUUGAGCAGUGUGGUAAGUCUAUUGCUCAAAUCAUAUAUGUUCAUUGGGAAAACCUGUAAUGAUUAAAACGAGUGCUGCUCUGAUAGAUGUAAGUUAUUCUAUUUCCUUAAUAUAUUUUGAUUGUUUGUUAAUUCUUUUUGACAAGUGUGUACCAUCUAUUGCUUCUUUGAAGUCGACGAAAUAUCUUUAGAUCAGGAUGAAAUCUUUAUAUUUGUAAAAGAAAUCUAGUAUAGGUAGGAAUUGAGAUAAUUUGCUCAAGAAAAUUGAUUGCUUAAUAUAUGUUAGGGUCUAAGAAAUGCAACCUCACUCUUCUCAAUCAGGUAGCCAAGACCUUGAUAAGAGUUACAUCAAGCUUCAAAUUUCAAGAAAGUGUAAACGACUUUGAAUGCCUGCUGCCAUUUUUUAUGCCAUGUUGUACCACAUUGGUUUCAAGUUUGAUGCGACUGCAUUAUUACAUCAGUUUUUUUUUUUUCAUAUUCAAAGAUCCAGAAUAUUACAUCAGUUUUUUGGUUUUGAUAUGCAGAGAACUUCUAGGAUCAUGAAGUUUCCUCCAAAUUAUGUCCAUUACUCAACCUUGAGUGACACCUCAGAGCUAGUGAAAGUCAAAGAAGUAUAUACUGCUCGUGAUGAAUUCAAGGUUAGAUAACAAAAUAAUGAUUUACUGGUGUUUCAGUUACCAAGAUACUUAUUUUGUAGUAAUAGUUUGCACUCUCAUAAAUCAGCAAAAUAGAUUUCCUUCAUUGGCACCCUCAUCAGUCAUCUGUCUGCGAAACAGAGAAAUCAACGGUUUCAAAAUUCUCUAGAACCCAUUUUCAUGAGCUUCAAGCCUUCAAUUCUGAUGACACAAAAGACAUCAACAGAGUAGAAGAAUUCAACCCAAGUUUUCAAUUCCUGCUUCACCUGAUGGGAAAGGUACAAAUAUUUUUUUCUUCUCCCUUUCUUACUGCGGCGCUAAAUUGGUUUUGCCCCACUUUGUAUCACAAUGGUGUUGGAGUAUAUCGGUUUUCUACUGGUAUUCAGAUACUUAAAAUGGAAAAUUGCUUUUGAAAAUAUCGUUUUCAUUGUUCGAAUGUUGUUUAAAUCAUCUGCUGAUCCAAAAUUUUUAUUUUUCUUGAUCUUCUUCUAUCUUUAGUUUUACAUGUCUUCUGAUUGAGUUAUAAUACAUGUCUUGAUUCUAUAGAAGAUGAGAAAUUGUCAAAUGCCUUUAUGAAGUGUUUGCUAAGUUGAUGUCGCCUAAUUCACAUUUCACUGAAUUAAUUUUCUGACCCAAGUUUAUGCAUAUGUUUGCUCUAACGUUGAAAAGGAAAAACGACCAAUGAUAUGUUAAGAAUUCAUCACCAACUUAAUUCUUUACUUAAGAUAAAUCAAGAAAAAUCUAGAAUAUUCCGGAGGUGUAGAGAAUUGAAGAAAGAUCUCUAGAAUGAGUAUUCUAGAAAGAAUAGUCUAGAAAUGUUCUAGAAAGAAUAGUUCUAGAAAAAGAUAGUUAGGAAUAUUCUAGAAUAGAGUAGUAUGUAUCUCUCUAGAUUCUUCCAUCACCACCUAUAAAUAGAGGUGGUCCAUUUGAGUUGUAAGCAACCAAUCAAGAAAGAAAGCAAGAAACAAAGUAAGAGAGAAAACAAGAGUGAGUGCUAAGUCAAGAGUGUUGCUGAAGCAAGCAACAAGUGUGAUCAAGAUUGUAAGACCGAAGCGGGUCCUUACUUUGAUAUAAUAAAAUUCAAGUUGUGAGAAAUCGAUUGUGCCCGUCGUCUCCAAACCAAUAAUAUUCAACAUGAUAUGAAUAUUUUCUUUUUUUAAGAAUACAAAGUCGUGAUAAGAUAGAAAAUUUCGAUGGUAUUAAUUUCGACAUGGAUCACCGUUAAGUACUUUGCUUGAGGUAUAAAUUUCUUUUUUCCCUGUUUAGAAAUGUUUCCUGUAGCUCCUAAUUGUGAUGCUUCUUCAUUUACACAUUUUUAAAAUUUCAUCUUAUAACAGCUAUAAAGUGUGUCCGAGUCAAUUAAAUAUUACAGACUUGGCUCUUCUUUGUUUAAUUCACUUUCUUCAAUUCGACCAGAAAUAUUCCUCUAAAGGCAUGUCAAUUUUAUUAUUUUACACGAUUUCUGUUUGUGUUACUUUUUCGAUUUCUAAUUUGUUUUAUGAAUGUUUUUUACAGUUUCAUUUUCGAUGCUUCCAAGUUUCAGCAGUCCUGAUUCCUAAAGUUUUCCGGGUGAGCAUAGUUGUGAGUUGCAAGUUUUGCAAUUCAAUUUCUGUAUUAUGAAUCAUUGAUGGACUAUGAUGAAAUUUACUUUUCUUCGUAGAAAAAAUAUCAAAGAAUUAUACUACUAUACUAAUCAGGUUUGUUAAUAUUGAUGCUGCUGAUAUUUAUAAUCACUUGGCUAUUAUGAAAUACUAGUUCUGAGAACGUGCACGCUUGACUUUUAUUAUUAUAUAAAAUUUAUAUAGGCCUAACUUAUGUAUAGAAACAUGUGUAAUAUCAACCCAAUUAACUUUAAAAAACAAUAAAAUAUACAUGUCAUCAUAUGCAUACAAAAUGAAAAAGUGUUAAACAAAGCAAUAUAUUGAUCUGAAAAAGAAAGAAUAAUUGACAAACUAAAAUUUUCAUAAGAAAGUCUAGUGGACUAACAUUUUAUGUCCAAUUUAUAAAGGAAGAAACUAUGUAUGCCGUGAUAGAAUUAUCAGCAGCCCAAGAAUAAUUCAUAAUCAAGCAUAAUAAUAAGUUAAUAGAUGGUUAAGAGAGCCGACAUAUGAGAAAUAUCAAUGAAACCCUUACCAGUCAUAUUGAAGAUGAAUUUAGAAGAAGAGGAGGAGGGGGAGAACAUCAAUGGAUCUAGUCUAGCAUGAUUCACUCAUCUGGCUAUUUAUAAAAUUCUGAAAGCUUACUAUUAGAAGUUGAAAAGAACUUUAAAACAUUGAAUUGAUAUGGGAAAAUAAGUCAAUCUAGAGUAUUGAAAUAAGUGGCAGUACCAAGGAAAUUAAUUCAUCCGUAUGUAAACUCAAAUACAUAUUAAUUAUAUUAUUGUAAAACUUAAUAUGAUAUUCUUAAUUAAUGAUAGAAUAUUUAAUAAAUUAGAUAUUUUAUAACAUUUUAAUUUAAUAUAGGGGGAAAACAACAAUUUAACUUUUUCCUAAAUUUCUUUCCACUUUUAAUAAUAUAUAUGAUGGUAUUAUUAUUAUUAUUAUUAUUAUUAUUAAUGAAAAGCUGACUUUUCAAAUUCCUCAGGCAUUUUACUAUUUCAUUAAAAAAAAUAGAUUUCUAGCAUCCCAUAAUAUUUGUAUUUAAUAUAUAAACUGACUUUUCAAAUUCUUCAGGCAUUUUACUAUUUCAAUUAAAAAAGAAAGUAGAUUUUUAGCAUCCCAUAAUAUUUAUAUUUAAUAUAUAAUAACUAAUAAUAUAUGAUUUUAAAAAAAAGUUUUUAGUAUAAGGGUAAAAUGGUAUUUCCACUUUACACUUUGGAGCUUCCCACUUUUAGUAAUAUAUGAUGAUAUAUGAUAUGAUAUGAUGAUGAUGAUAUGAUAUGAUAUAUGAUGAUAUGAUGUUGAGGAUAUUUACAAAUUUUAUAAGCUCACAAAGGUCUGGUGAAUAUCAGAUGUCUUUGUUUCGAUGCUAUUACUGUGUUAUUUUAAUGUGACAAAUAGUAGUUGUGUGACUUUAUUGUGUAGUGUAUAAAAUUCAUGCUAUUUUGAUAAUUUGGUUGAUUCAGGAUGAAUGUCGAUCGUAUGAUUACAUGGAUUCACAACUAGAUAUCAAUGUCAGGGUUAGAGCUAGAAAAUUUUCUGGAAGGUUGAACUACUUGAAAAAAAUGAAAGCUACAUUAAUGAAUACAGUUGCGAGAUCAAGAGAAACUUUUUAGAUCUGUUGUCAAUAUUCUUAGCAGUGUAACUCAUGUGCACAUUCUACAGCAAAAAGUAAGUAGAAGAACUCAAUUUUUUGCAAUGAAAUGGCACCAUUUUCUCACACUCAAAAUGACCUUAAAUUUCAUGAAUGAAACAAUAUGUAUUACUUAGCUUGAAGCCCCAUUUUCUUCCUUGUUUUCCCAACGUAUAAAUCCUUAGACUUGCUCAUCUCAGGGACUAAUCCAAUGAUCGUCGUGAACGAAAAUUGAGCCACUGCUUCAAAGCUCGUAUAUUGCAAGUUUGCUUUCUUUUCCUCCGCUCAUCAAAAGUUUCAAGUUCUUCACGGUCAUUAGAGCAUGUUUUUGAGCCGAAUAUCCUUGUUUAAGUUCCUGAUAGGGAAGAAGCAUUAGAAUUCAAUUGAAUAACAACAACAUACACAAUAUAAUCCUACAAGUGGAGUCUGGGAAAAGUAGAGUUUACGCAUACUUUAUCCCUACCUUGUCAAGUAAGAACUCAAUUGAAUAGCAGAAUCAAAAUUCAAGUAAUAGCUAGCUGCUUCAGGUCCUCUGGCAACUGUUAUAUUAUCAAAAUGCCUUCUAAAUUCAACAUAUAUAUUCUUUAACUGUAGUUUCUCUUGCAACAACAACAACAAAUCCUUAUGUUUCUAUGACCCUUGAUUCUAAGAUUUUUAUCAACCUUCAAUCUUCCAAAAUUAUUGAUUCGAUCCUUCAAAUAUGUCUCCCUUAACCACUCUGAACCCGGUGGCUUUCCCGUGCAAAGAAAAAUGGCUGAAUCCCGUGAAAUUACUAGUAAAUCUCGACAUCUUUGUAAAAGAGUAGAGGAGUCACGAUCAAGACAAUUGGCUGAAUCCCAUGAAAUUAACUUAAAUCUAAUAUAAAAAUAAUAUAACCUUUAACUUGGCCUCAACUCAUAUAUAUGCCCUCAAACUUUGGAUGUGCGCAGGUAGACACUUAAAUUUGUAUAAAGUUAAAUAAAUAGACACAAACGUCCUAAGUGACAUCUUACAUGACAAUUUUCAUCUUACGUGGUGUCCUGUGUGUAUUAUGUCACGUAAGACUCAUGUGUCUAUUUGUUCAAUUUUAUACAAGUUAAACUGUCUACUUGUGCAUACCAAAGUUGGAGGACAUAAAUGUGAAAUGAAGUCAAGUUAAAAGCCAUAUUAUUCAAAAUUCAAAUUUCAUAGGGUUUGAAGUUUCAAUUCCAUUGAUGGAUAACGUUACAAUUUUAGUGCAACACAAUGGAACUUGAGAUUCAAACAACCACUAUGACCAAAGAACAAAAAAAACGGCUAACCGAGAGUCCUUGCCCGACUAAAAGAAAAGGUUUGUUGGUAGAAUGGGGGUAGGCCGACAAUUUUUCCGGAUAGAUCGAACUAUUGAAAAAAAAUAAAAAAGAAAGACCGAGUGUUAUCACAUUGAUGCAAUUCUAGUCAAUUCCACUUCCAAUUCAUAGAUCUAGUCACAAAUUUACCUUUUUAUCCUUGGCGGAAUGUAAUGGAUGGUUCUAGAUAUAUGAAGAAAAUGUUUUUAUUAGUGUAAAUUUACUUCUUUACCUUGGUCUUUCUUUGUCUUCACAUUUCUGUAUAGUAGAAAAGAAAAAUACAAGAGGGCAUUUCUAGAUAAUUCAACAUCUAAAAUCAUCCAAACAAUGAUCUACCUGGUGUCAACUAUUAGCGAGUUUUAAUUAUUAUUUUUUCUUGAUCGGAUUUUGGUAACAAUAGAUUCUUUGCUUAGUUGGCGAAAGUUUUAUUUCCAAUAUAAAUAUGUGAAUUUUGGUGGUAUGUGGUCCCCACUAAAUUAUAGGUCAACUCUUUUUUCCCUUUUUAAAAUAGGAAUAAUACAUAAAUAAUUUCUUAGUACACGUUAGAACUUACUAUAUAUGCUUAGAGUAAUUAUUUAAUUCUACACCAUAACUCCACGUUAUUGCCACUAUACCAAAAAGUCAAUCCUCCCAAUUUGAAACCAUCCAUUUACUCCAACCUACCCAAUAACUUGAAGCUUGAGGCAAUCCUCCCAAUUCGAAAAGUCUUUUCUGAACAUAUGACAUGUAUUUAUUGGUUUAUUGUAAAUAACAAAUACUUUUUCUGUCUCGAAACCUCUAAUUAAAUACGAUAAAAUUAUAUAUAACAAAACAACUACAAGGGAGAACUUUUAAUCAUUUCACUGUACCUCUAGAUGUUAUCAAAUUCCCAACUUGAUAUGUUUUCAAGUAUAAAAAAAUAUUAUGAAGACAAAGUCUGGUUGUUGGGGGGAAAAGUUAUACUCGUGGAAAAGACAGCUUAAAUUCUUUUCUUUUUCCCUAUAGCUGUCACUGUAGAAAACUAUUGUUGUACCAUUCUUGUUUGCAAAUCACUCUUAGCAUUCAACAGGUAAAGUAAAGUUGUUAGUAAUUGAACAUACAAACAUUUAUCUUCUCUAAACUAUUGUUCUCACUUUACUUGUUUUGCUUUGCAGAUUUCAGAAAUGGAGAUUGGCUUAGCAGUUGGUGGUGCAUUUCUCUCUUCAGCUUUGAAUGUUCUGUUUGAUAGGCUUGCUCCUCAUGGUGAUCUUCUCAACAUGUUUCGGAAGCAUAAGGAUCAUGUUCAACUCUUACACAAGCUGCAGGACAUUUUGCUUGGUCUUCAGAUUGUGCUAAGUGAUGCAGAGAAUAAGCAAGCAUCAAAUCGACAUGUGAGCCAGUGGUUUAAUAAGCUUCAGAGUGCUGUAGAUGGCGCUGAAAACUUGAUAGAAGAAGUCAAUUAUGAAGCUUUGAGGCUUAAGGUGGAAGGCCAGCAUCAAAAUCUUGCAGAAACAAGCAACAAACAAGUAAGUGACCUCAGCCUGUGCUUGAGUGAUGAUUUAUUUCGUAACAUAAAGGAUAAGUUGGAAGAAACCAUUGAAACAUUGGAGGUGUUGGAAAAGCAAAUUGGUCGCCUUGGCUUAAAGGAGAAUUUUGUUUCGACUAAACAAGAAACUAGAACACCUUCAACUUCUUUGGUUGAUGAUUCUGAUAUCUUUGGAAGGCAGAGUGAAAUAGAGGAUUUGAUUGACCGUUUAUUGUCUGAAGAUGCAAGUGGAAAAAAGCUCACUGUAGUUCCUAUAGUUGGAAUGGGCGGCGUGGGUAAGACAACACUUGCUAAAGCCGUUUACAAUGAUGAGAAGGUGAAGGACCAUUUUGGUUUGAAAGCUUGGUUUUGUGUUUCUGAGGCAUAUGAUGCUUUCAGAAUAACAAAAGGGUUACUUCAAGAAAUUGGCUCAACUGACUUGAAGGUUGAUGACAAUCUUAACCAGCUACAAGUCAAAUUAAAGGAAAGAUUAAAGGGAAAGAAGUUUCUUCUUGUUCUGGACGAUGUGUGGAAUGACAACUACAACGAGUGGGAUGACUUGAGAAAUGUUUUUGUACAAGGAGAUAUAGGAAGUAAGAUCAUUGUGACGACACGUAAAGAGAGUGUUGCCUUGAUGAUGGCAGCGCUGAUGUUGAGCUACAAUGAUCUUCCUGCACAUUUGAAGCAAUGUUUUGCUUAUUGUGCAAUAUAUCCCAAAGAUUAUCAAUUUCGCAAGGACCAAGUUAUUCACUUGUGGAUUGCUAAUGGUCUUGUACAGCAGUUGCAUUCAGGUAACCAAUACUUUCUUGAGUUGAGAUCAAGAUCAUUGUUCGAAAGGGUCCCAGAGUCUGAAUGGAAACCGGAGGGAUUCUUAAUGCAUGACCUCGUCAAUGAUUUGGCCCAAAUUGCAUCUUCAAAUCUUUGUAUAAGGUUGGAAGAGAACAAAGGAUCGCACAUGUUGGAACAAUGUCGGCACAUGUCCUAUUCAAUAGGAAAAGAUGGUGACUUUGAGAAAUUGAAAUCACUCUUUAAAUCAGAGAAGCUGAGGACAUUACUUCCAAUCAUUCUCCCGCCCUAUUAUAACAACGGUCAGCUAAGCAAGAGGGUGCUGCAUAACAUAUUGCCAAGACUAACAUCCUUAAGGGCAUUAUCGUUGUCACGCUAUGAGAUUGUUGAGUUGCCAAAUGACUUGUUUAUUGAAUUAAAGCUCCUGAGAUUUUUGGAUAUUUCUCGGACAAAGAUUAAAAGGUUGCCAGAUUCCAUUUGUGGAUUGUAUAACUUAGUGACACUUCUCCUGUAAUCUUGUGCUGAUCUUGAUGAGCUACCACUGCAGAUGGAGAUGUUGAUCAACUUGCGUCAUCUUGACAUAAGCAACACUUCUCUCUUGAAGAUGCCACUAUAUCUGAGCAAGUUGAAAAGCCUCCAAGUGUUAGUGGGAGCCAAGUUUCUUUUAGGUGGUUCGAGAAUGGAAGAUUUGGGUGAUGUACAUAACUUGUACGGAUCUCUAUCGGUUGUAGAGUUGCAAAAUGUGGUUGAUAGUAGGGAAGCUGUGAAGGCAAAGAUGAGGGAGAAGAAUCAUNNNNNNNNNNNNNNNNNNNNNNNNNNNNNNNNNNNNNNNNNNNNNNNNNNNNNNNNNNNNNNNNNNNNNNNNNNNNNNNNNNNNNNNNNNNNNNNNNNNNNNNNNNNNNNNNNNNNNNNNNNNNNNNNNNNNNNNNNNNNGGAUAUAGAGGGACAAAAUUUCCAAAUUGGCUAGCUGAUGUUUCGUUUCUUAAGCUAGUAGAAUUGUCUCUUAUAAACUGCAAGAACUGUUAUUCCUUGCCAGCACUAGGACAGCUUCCUUGUUUGAAAUUCCUUUCCAUUAGAGGGAUGUAUGGAAUAACAGAGGUGACGGAAGAAUUCUAUGGCAGUUUGUCCUCCAAAAAGCCUUUUAACGCUCUUGAGAAGCUUGUAUUUGAAGAUAUGCCGGAGUGGAAGCAAUGGCAUGUACUAGGAAAUGGAGAGUUCCCUACACUUGAGAAGCUUUUAAUUAUAAAUUGCCCUGAACUCAGUUUGGAAACACCCAUCCAACUUUCAUGUUUAAAAAGGUUUGAAGUUGAUGGUUGUCAUAAGGUUGGAGAUGCUCAAAUGUUUAGAUCCCAACUUGAGGGAAUGAAGCAGAUUGUUGAAUUAGAUAUUAGUGAUUGUAACUCUAUUACCUCCUUUCCUUUUAGCGUUCUUCUCAUUACCUUGAAGAGAAUAGUUAUAUCUGGUUGCCAGAAAUUGAAAUUGGAGCAGCCAGUUGGUGAGAUGAGUAUGCUUCUCGAGGAUUUGUCACUGCAAGAAUGUGAUUGUAUAGAUGAUAUAUCACCUGAGAUGCUCCCAACAGCACGCAGAUUGUUUGUAUGUAAUUGCCAGAACCUUACUAGGCUUUUUAUUCCUACUGCCACUGAAAGUCUCUAUAUUGCUUAUUGUGUGAAUCUUGAAAUACUUUCGGUGGCAUGUGGGAAGACCCAGAUGAUGUAUUUUCCAGAACGUAUGCAGGAACUCCUCCCAUCUCUUAAGACACUGAUUCUAUCUAAUUGUCCAGAAAUAGAGUCCUUUCCUGAAGGAGGAUUGCCCUUCAAUUUACAAAAACUUCAUAUCUACAAUUGCAAGAAACUGGUGAAUGGCCGAAAGGAGUGGCAUUUACACAGACUUCCCUGUCUCAGAAAGUUAAGCAUCUACCAUGAUGGCAGUGAAGAAGAGAUUGUUGGUGGUGAGAAUUGGGAAUUGCCUUCCUUUAUUCAAAGACUUACCAUAUACAAUCUCAAAACAUUAAGGAGCCAAGAUAUCAGAAGCCUCACCUCUCUUCAAUAUCUAUGUAUUGGUAAGUUAUCUCAACUUCAGUCAAUGCUAGAAGAAGGGCAGCUCACUUCACUUCAAAGUCUAGACAUCAAUAAUUGCCCUAAUCUCCAAUCACUUUCCGAAUCAGCACUGCCCUCCUCCCUCUCUGAGCUGACCAUCAAUAAUUGCCCUAAGCUCCAAUCCCUUCCAGUAAAAGGGAUGCCCUCUUCCCUCUCUAAACUAUCAAUUCGCGACUGUCCAUUGCUCACACCAUUACUAGAAUUUGACAAGGGGGAAUACUGGCCAAAUAUUGCUCAAAUUCCCACCAUAGUGAUCGAUGAGGAUUCCAUGUGAUGAUUAAAAAGAAUGACCCUCCAAUAGACGUAAGUUUUUCUAUUUCCUUAGUAUCUUUUGAUUUUCGGUUACUUCUCUUUGCUUGUUUCUUAAUUCUUUUUCUAUGUUGCAGAGAUGAAAUCUUAAGGAUAAAAAUAUGUUUUACUCCUCUUGAUAUGCAGAUAUGUUGCAGAGAUGAAGUCCCUGUGAGAUACAUUUAAAGUAUAUCCUGUUUGGGAUGAAUUCAAGGUGAGUGUAGACAGUGAAGGUUUAUUGAUAAAUCCAUACUAAAUUUGGAUUAAAUCUUAAAUUCAUGAUACGUUGACCAAGUCAAAUUACUGGUUAAUAAAGUCGGAUUAAUAUUUAUGUCAGAAUUAUAUGACUUAAAUCAAGUCCAAAUAACAUUUGGGCCAGUCCAUUAAAUUGACAAGAUGAGCCCAACUCAUAUUCUUCAGGCCCAGGGGUCAAAAUUACUUGGACCAAAAUACCCCUAAAGCCCUAGCUCAGACCUAUAUAAAGAGGUCUUCAUAAGACCAAAAGGGAGAUAUACACACAUACACACACAUAAAUACAUAGUUGCUCUUCAUUGGUGAUCUGCAAGUCUUCCGCAUACAAAGAAGUCUUCGCUCCAAGUAUUGAGCCGCAAGUAUUCCGCCAAAUCAAGAACAUCUGUGGAGAGAAGAAUCAAGGGAUUACAUAUCUUUUUAAGAGAUUUUAUAAAGAUUGUAACCUUCGCAUUAAUUCAAAUACAAAUAUUAUUGUUUGCUUGCUAUUUUUCUUUUCCUGUUUACUGUAUUUCAGGAUUGAAACUUUAGACGCUUUCAGUGAGAUAACAAAAUAAUGAUUUACUGGUGUUUCAGUUACCAAUAUGCUUAUUUUGUUGUAAUACUUUGCACUCUCAUAAAUCAGCGAAAUAGAUUUCUUCAAUGGCACCCUCAGCAGUCAUCAGUCUGCGAAACAGAGAAAUCAACGGUUUCAAAAUUCUCUAGAACCCAUUUCGAGUUUCACGCCUUCAAUUCUGAUGACACCCAAGACACAAAAGACAUCAACAGAGUAGAAGAAUUCAACCUAACUCCCAUAAUGAACCCACCCAAGUUUUCGAUUCCGCUUCACCUGUUGGGAAGAAGUUUACGACUGAGAAAGGUCUAAAGGUACAAAUAUAUUGUCUUCCCCCUUUCUUACUGCAGCGCUUAAAUUGGUUUUUCCCCACUUUGCAUCAUAAUGAUGUUGGAGUAUAUCGGUUUUCUACUGGUAUUCAGAAACUUAAAAUGGGAAAUUGCUUUCGAAAAUAUCGUUUUCAUUGUUCGAAUGUUUUUUAAAUCAUUUGUUGAUCCAAAAUUUUCAUUUUUCUGUUGAUCUUCUUCUAUCGUUAGUUUUACAUGUCUUCUGAUUGAGUUAUAAUACAUGCCUUGAUUCUAUAGAAGAUGAGAAAUCGUCAAAUGCCUACAAGUGGAGUCUGGAAAAAGUAGAGUUUACGCAUACUUUAUCCCUACCUUGUCAAGUAAGAACUCAAUUGAAUAACAGAAUCAAAAUUCAAGUAAUAACUAGCUGCUUCAGGUCCUCUGGCUACUGCUAUAUUAUCAAAAUGUCUUCUAAAAUCGACAUAUAUAUUCUUCAACUGUAGUUUCUCUUGCAACAACAACAACAAAUCCUUAUGUUUCUAUGACCCUUGAUUCUAAGAUUUUUAUCAACCUUCAAUCUUCAAAAAUUAUCGAUUCGAUCCUUCAGAUGCAUCUCCCUUAACCACUCUGAACCCGGUGGCUUUCCCGUGCAAAGAAAAUUGGCUGAAUCCCGUGAAAUUAAUAGCUAGUACCUCUUGACAUCUUUGUAAAAGAGUAGAGAAGUCACGAUCAAGACAAUUGGUGAAUCACGUGAAAUUAACUUAAAUCUAAUAUAAAAAUAAUAUAACCUUUAACUUGGCCUCAACUCAUAUAUAUGUCCUCCAACUUUGGAUGUGCGCAGGUAGAGACUUAAAUUUGUAUAGAGUUGAAUAAAUAGACACAAACGACCUAAGUAACAUCUUACAUGAAAAUUUUCAUCUUACGUGGUGUCUUGUGUGUAUUAUGCCACGUAAGGCACAUGUGUUUAUUUGUUCAAUUUUAUACAAUUUAAAGUGUCUACUUGUGCAUACCCAAAGUUGGAGGACAUAAAUGUGAAAUGAGGUCAAGUUAAAGGCCAUAUUAUUCAAAUUGCAUAGGGUUUGAAGUUUCAAUUUCAUUGAUGGAUAACGUUACCAUUUUAGUGCAACACAAUGGAACUUGAGAUUCAAACAACCACUAUGACCAAAGAACAAAAAAAAGGGUUAACCGAGAGUCCUUGCCCGACUAAAAGAAAGGGUUUGCUGGUAGAAUGGGGUAGGCCGACAAUUUUUCUGGAUAGAUCGAACUAUUGGAAGGGGUUAACCGAGAGUCCUUGCCCGACUAAAAGAAAGGGUUUGCUGGUAGAAUGGGGUAGGCCGACAAUUUUUCUGGAUAGAUCGAACUAUUGGAAGAAAAUAAAAAGAAAGACCGAGUGUUAUCACAUUGAUGCAAUUCUAGUCAAUUCCAUUUCCAAUUCAUAGAUCUAGUCACAAAUUUACCCUUUUAUCCUUGGCAGAAUGUAAUGGAUGGUUCUAGAUAUAUGAAGAAAAUGUAUUUAUUAGUGUAAAUUUACUUCUUUACCCUUGGUCUUUCUUUGUCUUCACAUUUCUAUAUAGUAGAAAAGAAAAUACAAGAGGUCAUUUCUGGAUAAUUCAACAUCUAAAAUCAUCCAAACAAUGAUCUACCUGGCCUCAACUAUUAGCGAGUUUUAAUUAUUAUUUUUCUUGAUCGGAUUUUGGUAACGAUAGAUUCUUUGCUUAGUUGGCGAAAGUUUUAUUUCCAAUAUAAAUAUGUGAAUUUUGUUGGUAUGUGGUCCCCACUAAAUUAUAGGUCAACUCUUUUUCCCCUUUUUAAAAUAGGAAUAAUGCAUAAACAAUUUCUUAGUACACGUUAGAACUUACUAUAUAUGCGUAGAGUAAUUAUUUAAUUCUACACCAUAACUCCACGUUAUUGCCACUAUACCAAAAAGUCAAUCCUCCCAAUUUGAAACCAUCCAUUUACUCCAACCUACCCAAUAACUUGAAGCUUGAGGCAAUCCUCCCAAUUCGAAAAGUCUUUUUCUGAACAUAUGACAUGUAUUUAUUGGUUUAUUGUAAAUAACAAAUACUCUUUAUGUCUCUAAUUACUUGUCCAUUUUUCCUUUUUUAGUUGUCCCUAAUUACUUAUCCAUUUUGACAAAUUAUUUUUAUCUAUUAUACUCUCAAUUAAUUACUAUGAAAAAGAUAGAACUUCUUGAAAAUCUUAAAUUUUUAAUUCACCUACUUCAUAAUUAAUAGGGGUAAAAUCGUAAAUUCACUAUGUCAAUUAUUGUUUUCUUAAUAGGUGUGUACUUUUUAAAAUUUUGUUGAAUCUUUACUUAAUAUUUCUAUUGAGUUAAAUAUUAGACAUUGGUAGCUUUUGCUUAUUAUCAAGGUAUGUGGUCCCCACCAAACUAUAGGUCAACUCAUUUUCUCCUUUUUAAAAUAGGAAUAAUACAUAAACAAUUCUUAAUACACUUUAGAACUUAAUAUAAGCUUAGAAUAAUUAUUUAAUUCUACACCAUAACUCCACGUUAUUGCCUCUAUACAAAAAAAAAAAGUCACUCCUCCCAAUUUGAAAAGUCUUCGCGUGAACAUAUGUCAUGUAUUUAUUAGUUUAUUGUAAAUAACAAAUACAAAUAAGUUUUCACCUUAUCUGAAUUUGCUUGGGAUGUUUUAGCUCUCACUAUCAAGAGAAACUUUAUCACAACGAUUCAAGCUCGAAACCUCUAAUUAAAUACGACAAAAUUAUAUAUAUAAAGAAAAUUAUAUAUAACAAAACAACUACAAGGGAGAACUUUUAAUCAUUUCACUGUACCUCUUAAUGUUAUCAAAUUCCCAACUUGACAUGUUUUCAAGUAUAAAAAAUAUUAUGAAGACAAAGUCUGGUUGUUGAGGGGAAAAGUCAUACUCAUGGAAAAGACAGCUUAAAUUCUUUUCUUUUUUUUCCUAUAGCUGUCACUGUAGAAAACUAUUGUUGUACCAUUCUUGUUUGCAAAUCACUCUUAGCAUUCAACAGGUAAAGUAAAGUUGUUAGUAAUUGAACAUACAAACAUUUAUCUUCUCUAAACUAUUGUUCUCACUUUACUUGUUUUGCUUUGCAGAUUUCAGAAAUGAAGAUUGGCUUAGCAGUUGGUGGUGCAUUUCUCUCUUCAGCGCUGAAUGUUCUCUUUGAUAGGCUUGCUCCUCAGAGUGAUCUGCUCAACAUGUUUCAGAAGCAUAAGGAUCAUGUUCAGCUUGUUGACACCCAAUUUUGACCCUCCCCGAUGUAAUUNNNNNNNNNNNNNNNNNNNNNNNNNNNNNNNNNNNNNNNNNNNNNNNNNNNNNNNNNNNNNNNNNNNNNNNNNNNNNNNNNNNNNNNNNNNNNNNNNNNNAUUUUUUCUUAAAAAUUAAGUGGCGACUCUAAAACCAAUCAAAUUAUUAUUUUAAAUAAAGCACAGCUCUUACACAAGCUGCAGGACAUUUUGCUUGGUCUUCAGAUUGUGCUAAGUGAUGCAGAGAAUAAGCAAGCAUCAAAUCGACACGUGAGCCAGUGGUUUAAUAAGCUUCAGAGUGCUGUAGACGGCGCUGAAAACUUGAUAGAAGAAGUCAAUUAUGAAGCUUUGAGGCUUAAAAUGGAAGGCCAGCAUCAAAAUCUUACAGAAACAAGCGACCAGCAGGUAAGUGACCUCAACCUGUGCUUGAGUGAUGAUUUCUUUCGUAACAUAAAGGAUAAGUUGGAAGAAACCAUUGAAACAUUGGAGGUGUUGGAAAAGCAAAUUGGUCGCCUUGGCUUAAAGGAUCAUUUUGGUUCGACUAAACAAGAAACUAGAACACCUUCAACUUCUUUGGUUGAUGAUUCUGAUAUCUUUGGAAGGCAAAGCGAAAUAGAGGAUUUGAUUGACCGUUUAUUGUCUGAAGAUGCAAAUGGAAAAAUGCUGACUGUGGUUACUAUUGUUGGAAUGGGCGGCGUGGGUAAGACAACACUUGCUAAAGCCGUUUACAAUGAUGAGAAGGUGAAGGACCAUUUUGGUUUGAAAGCUUGGUUUUGUGUUUCUGAGGCAUACGAUGCUUUCAGAAUAACAAAAGGUUUACUUCAAGAAAUUGGCUCAUUUGAGUUGAAAGCUGAUGACAAUCUUAAUCAGCUUCAAGUAAAAUUGAAGGAAAGCUUAAAGGGAAAGAAAUUUCUUAUUGUUCUGGAUGAUGUGUGGAAUGACAACUACAAUGAGUGGGAUGACUUGAGAAAUGUUUUUGUACAAGGACGUAUUGGAAGUAAGAUCAUUGUGACGACACGUAAAGAGAGUGUUGCCUUGAUGAUGGGAAAUGUAGCAAAUUAAGCAUGGACAAUUUGUCUACUGAAGCCUCUUGGUCUUUAUUCAAAAGACAUGCAUUUGAAAACAUGGAUCCUAUGGGAAAUCCGGAACUUGAAGAGGUCGGAAAACAAAUUGCAGCUAAGUGCAAAGGAAGGCCCCUUAGCUCUGAAGACGCUCGCCGGCAUGUUACUCUCCAAAUCAGAGGUUGAAGAGUGGAAACGUAUUUUGAGAAGUGAAAUAUGGGAGUUGCCACACAAUGACAUAUUACCAGCGUUGAUGUUGAGCUACAAUGAUCUUCCGGCACAUUUAAAACUAUGUUUUUCCUUUUGUGCAAUAUUUCCUAAAGAUUAUCCAUUUAGGAAAGAACAAGUCAUUCAUCUGUGGAUUGCCACUGGUCUCGUACCACAGGAAGAUGAAAUAAUUGAAGAUUCAGGCAACCAGUACUUUCUCGAGUUGAGGUCAAGAUCAUUAUUCGAAAGGGUCCCAAAUCCUUCUGAAGGGAACAUAGAGAAUUUAUUCUUAAUGCAUGACCUUGUCAAUGAUUUAGCCCAAAUUGCAUCUUCAAAACUUUGNNNNNNNNNNNNNNNNNNNNNNNNNNNNNNNNNNNNNNNNNNNNNNNNNNNNNNNNNNNNNNNNNNNNNNNNNNNNNNNNNNNNNNNNNNNNNNNNNNNNNNNNACAUGUAUUGAUCUCAAGCAUUGUUAUCACCCUCUAAGCAAGAGGGUGCAGCAUAACAUACUGCCAAGACUAAGAUCCUUAAGGGCAUUAUCAUUGUCUCAUUACGAUAUUGUUGAGUUGCCAAAUGACUUGUUUAUCGAAUUAAAGCUCCUGAGAUUUUUGGAUAUUUCUAAGACAGAGAUUAAUAAGUUGCCAGAUUCCAUUUGUGGAUUGUAUAAUUUAAAGACACUUCUCCUGUCGUCUUGUGAUUAUCUUGAGGAUCUACCACUGCAGAUGGAGAAGUUGAUCAACUUGCGUCAUCUUGACAUAAGCAACACUUCUCUCUUGAAGAUGCCACUAUAUCUGAGCAAGUUGAAAAGCCUCCAAGUGUUAGUGGGAGUCAAGUUUCUUUUAGGUGGUUUGAGAAUGGAAGAUUUGGGUGAAGCACAGAACUUGUAUGGAUCUCUAUCAGUUGUAGAGUUGCAAAAUGUGGUUGAUAGUAGGGAAGCUGUGAAGGCAAAGAUGAGGGAGAAGAUUCAUUGUUGACAAGUUAUCUUUGGAGUGGAGUGAAAGUAGUAGUGCCAACAAUUCAGAAACUGAAAGAGACAUACUUGAUGAACUACACCCACAUAAAAACAUAAAAGAAGUCGAAAUCACUGGAUAUAGAGGGACAAAAUUUCCAAAUUGGCUAGCUGAUCCUUUGUUUCUUAAGCUGGUGGAAUUAUCUCUUAGCAACUGCAAGGUCUGUUAUUCCUUGCCAGCACUAGGACAACUCCCUUGUUUGAAAUUCCUUUCGAUUAGAGGGAUGCAUGGAAUAACAGAGGUGACGGAAGAAUUCUAUGGUAGUUUGUCCUCCAAAAAGCCUUUUAACUCUCUUGUGGAGCUUAGAUUUGAAGAUAUGCCGGAGUGGAAGCAAUGGCACCUACUAGGAAGUGGAGAGUUUCCUAUCCUUGAGAAACUUUUCAUUAUAAAUUGCCCUGAACUCAGUUUGGAGACACCCAUCCAAUUUUCAAGUUUAAAAAGGUUUAAAGCUGUUGGUUCUUCUAAGGUUGGAGUUGUUUUUGAUGAUGCUCAACUGUUUAGAUCCCAACUUGAGGGAAUGAAGGAGAUUGAAGAAUUAUAUAUUGUGAUUGUAACUCUGUUACCUCCUUACCUUUUAGCAUACUGCCCACUACCUUGAAGAGAAUAGAGAUAUCUGGUUGCCGGAAUUUGAAAUUGGAUCCGCCUGUUGGUGAGAUGAGUAUGUUUCUCGAGGAAUUGAGUCUGAAGGGAUGUGAUUGUAUGGAUGAUUUGCUCCCAAGAGCGCACAAACUGAGAAUUUGGAGUUGCCAGAAAAUUACUAGGUUUUUGAUUCCUACUGCGACUGAAACACUCAAUAUUUGGAGUUGUGAGAAUCUUGAUAAACUUUCAGUGGCAUGUGGGGGGACCCAGAGGACGUGUUUGAAUAUUUGGGAGUGUAAGAAGCUGAAGUGGCUGCCAGAACGUAUGCGGGAACUCCUUCCAUCUCUUAAGGAACUGCAUCUGUGGGAUUGUCCAGAAAUAGAGUCCUUUCCUGAAGGAGGAUUGCCCUUCAAUUUACAAGCCCUUCAGAUCAAAUUUGCAAGAAACUGGUGAAUGGCCGAAAGGAGUGGCGUUUACAGAGACUCCCCUGUCUCACAAAGUUAACGAUUAUGCAUGAUGGGAGUGACGAAGAGAUUGUUGGUGGUGAGAAUUGGGAGUUGCCUUCCUCUAUUCAAAGACUUUUUAUAGAGAAUCUGAAAACAUUAAGCAGCCAACAUCUCAAAAACCUCACCUCUCUUCAAUAUCUAGCUAUUAAGGGUAAUUUACCUCAAGUUCAGUCAAUGUUGGAACAAGGCCAGUUUUCGCACCUCACUUCGCUUCAACGUCUACAAAUCAUUGAUUUCCCUAAUCUCCAUUCCCUUCCAGUAAAAGGGAUGCCCUCUUCUCUCUCUAAACUAUGUAUUUCAGAAUGUCCAUUGCUCACACCACUACUAGAAUUUGACAAGGGGGAAUACUGGCCAAAUAUUGCUCAUAUCCCCACCAUAAAGAUCAAUAAGGAAUGUCUUUAAUGAUUAAAACAAAUGGUGCUCUCAUAAAUGUAAGCUUUUCUUUUUCCUCAUAAGCAUUCUAUUUUCUUUAACUUCCUUUGCUUUUAUGUUAAUUCUUUUUCUUUAUUACAUUCUUGUUGCGCAGUAUGGAGUGUCUAUUGCCACUCUGAAACUGAGAAAUCAUCUUCAGAUUAGAAUUAUUUUAAUUUUAGAUCUCAAUAGCAAUUAAUGUUACAUAUCUUACUCGAAGAUUUUUAUCGCUUGAACUUUCAUCUCAAUAGCAAUUCACGUUGUUCAUAUUAUUUCCCUUUUCAGUCAGUUUAGAGUGAUCCACAUGUCCACUAUCGAAUUCAAAACUAUAAUAGAAUCCAAAGGUGUGCCAUACACAAGAUUUGUUUCCUAUGUAUCAAAAAUACAGAUGUUUGCCUCCCAAUAAAUUUAACACCUAAAAGCAUCAGCACUAUUCAGGUUUUAUUAAUGAUUCAGCCCCAUCAUAGAGAUCAAUUGGGAAUACAUGUGAUGAAUUAAAACAGAUGGCUCUCCAACUGAUGUAAGUUAUUCUUUUCCAUCAGAAGCUUUUAAUUUUGUUUACUUCACUUUGAUUUUUUUUUUAUUCUUUUCCUUUUUAAAACCUUGUUGAGCAGUGUGGAAUGUCUAUUGCUCAAGAAAGUUGAUUGCUUAAUAUAUGCUAGCAGGAUGUCAUCACCUUUGGAGAUAAAGGGUCCAAGAAAUACAACCUCACUUUCUCAAUCAGGUAACCAACACCUUGAUAAGAGUUACAUCACGCUUCAAAUUUAAAGAUAUUGAAAACGACUUAAAUUGCCUGCUUCCAUUAUUGACGUCAUAUUGUACCACAUUGAUUUCAAGUUUGAUGCGACUGCAUUAUUACAUCUAGUUUUUUUCAUAUUCAAAGAUCCAGAAUAUUACAUUAGUUUUUGGUUUUGAUAUGCAGAGAACUUUGAGGAUUAUGAAGUUUCCUUCAAAUUAUGUCCGUUACUCAACCUCGAGUGGCAACCUUACAGCUAGUGGGAAGUCAAGAAAGUAUAUCCUGCUCGGAAUGAAGUCAAGGUUAGAUAACUAAAUAAUGAUUUACUGGUGUUUCAGUUACUAGGAUGCUUAUUUUGUAGUAAUAGUUUGCACUCUCAUAAAUCAGCGAAAUAGAUUUCCUUCAUUGGCACUCUCAUCAGUCAUCAAUCAGCGAAACAGAGAAAUUAACGGUUUCAAAAUUCUCUGGAACCCAUUUCGAGCUUCACGCCUUCAAUUCUCAUGACACCCAAGACACAGAAGACAUCAACAUAGUAGAAGAAUUCAACCCAAUACCCAUUUCAACCCAAGUUUUCGAUUCCUGUUUCACCUGAUGAGAAGAAGUUUACGGGUGAGAAAGUUACAAAGGUGCAAAUAUCUUCUUCUAUCUUUUGUUUUACACAUCUUCUGAUUGAGUUAUAAUACAUGCCUCGCUUCUAUACAAAAUGAGAAACCAUAAAAUGCCUUUAUGAAGUGUUUGCUAAGUUGAUGUCACCUAAUUCAGAUUUCACUGAAUUAAUUUUUGAAACGUUGAAUGAUAUGGAUAUUUUCUUUUUAAGAAUACAAAAUCGCGAUAAAGGUAGAAAAUUUAGAUGGUAUUAAUUUUGAUAUGGAUCACCGUUGAGAACUUUGCCUGAGGUAUUAAAUUCUAUUUUCCCUCUUUAGAAAUGUUUCAUGUAGCUCCUAAUUGUGAUGCUUCAUUUACAUAUUUUUAAAAUUUUAUCUUAUAAUAGGGAUAAAGUGUGUCCGAGUCAAUUUGAUGUUACAGACUUGCAGCUAACUGUUGUGCAUUAUAUAAUUGCAUAUUUUUUAGACACCAGAUAUGGCCAAGUUCCAUCUACAAUGUUAACAGAAUCUUUGAUAGGUAAAGGAGGCAGACAAAAAAGCUAAACAUCUUUUUUCUUCCGUAUAGCUCCCAGGCAAUUACACUGGGCAAUGCUUGAUAUAAGGGCUUCAAAUAUACAUUUGCAGGGUGUUUAUCGUAUGAGUAAGGAAAUCACUGUCUUCGCUCCCCAGCAGACAGUGAUUGGAAGAUCCAUCCUCGCAUCACUUAGCACCUUCCAGCAGGCAAGCCUUUAUUUUUAAAAAUCUUCUCUUGCAUAUACUUUUGCAAUUUUAAACUUCAUUUUGAAUUGUGUUGUUGCUAACUUAAACAUGUUUUGUGCUUAAUCAGAUGUGGAUUUUGAACGGUGAGUACGACAAGUCUGGUCCAUCCAUUGUCCACAAGAAGUGCUUCUAAGGUGCUGCUGCUAUUUUUACAUCUGUUCGCAAGUUCUUUUUUAUUUUUUUGUUCUUCCCGCUAAAGCUAUUAUGUCGUCCACAGUGAACGCAUGUCUGCUGCUAUAGCCAAGUCUUUGAGAUGGGGUUAUCAAAGAAGGGCAAUUAAAAACAUUGUACCGCUGAUACUAUUUCAUGUUUCUAGUGCAAGCCUCUUUUAUAAGUUGACAAACUCGAUUUGUAAAUAUGUUUGGGACUCAACUAGUGGUUAGAGUUCUGAUUUUAUAAGAUUUGUGUACAGAAAAUCAAAGUAGAAAGAUAACUCGUGAUGGUUGAAUAAGCUCGAAGAAGUGGAUUUGAAUUUCAAAUCGUGUCUUUUUUUUUUAUGUGUGUGAGAUGUUUGAAGUGUUGUUUAGAUUUGUUGGAAUAGUCUAAAGAGAUUGUCUCUAUAAAAUUUGAAGACAUUUGAUGGAGAUCUGAUUAGAUGAUUUUGAACAACAAUUGCAACUGAAGAUGGAUAUGUAUAUUAUAUUUGUAGUUAGCAACGUGUUGUAUAUUUUUAUAGUCGAUAUAUUGUUUUCUCAUUCGGUGUUUGGUAUCCAUAUUGGAGUUUGACUAAAUUCGGAUUUCCUCAUUUCAACGGGCGGUGCUCUUGACAUGAUUUUUUCCAUUCCACGGCUCAUGCUCCAAAAUUCUAAUUAAGGAUAGAAAAAUCUCAACUAUCUCACCACAACUCAUAUCAGUUAUAUUGGGUAUACAAGUGUAAACUAAUAAUACUAUGAAACUAAUAAUAUUUAAUUUAUUUUAGAGGUAAGAUAAGGACAAAAUGGUAAUCCAACUUAGAGGUUAGGAGCUUCACACUUGUAAUAAUACUAAUAUAAUAUAUGGGCACGUGUGUUCCCAGUUACUUUUUAUAUAUAGAUACGUUAGAAUGAUUACAAUUUUAUGAAAGAAUGCGUGUAAUUAGUAAUAAAAUACAACAAUUACAAAUUAAUCUUUAAGAGUUUGACAAGAAACACCAAAUGAGAGGUGAAUUUUAAUGUUUAAAAUUAAUUAAGCAACCAACAUAAAUUUUGAACUAUAAUUGGUAGUUAGCAAACUUCCAAUAAAAUCACAAAGGGCUAAUUUGAGCUCAACAAAGAUAUACACACUUACUACAAUAAGAAAUUAAUAGAAAAUUAAAUUAAAGAAGUUUAAUGGAAGAGAAAACACACAAAAAGAUAGAGAAGGAAAAAAUACAACAUACACAUUUUUUUUAAGACUUAUAUCAUAACAAUAUAGAUGGAAAAAGAAGUACAAUACAUAAUUUUCAAGUUCUUGUGGAGGCUUAAUUAUCCAUAACCAAUCAAAAUUCAAAAGUCAUCUUCGUCGAGUCAAACUAAAACAUGAGCCAAAUAGUACAAUAAUGAUAUAAGUCGUUACUUUAACUAUAGAAUGAAAAUGAUAAUAUUCUUGAGUAGGGGUCUCAUGAAACAAAAAAAAAAUGAAUUUAUAUAGAUAAAAAUUAAGGAAUACCAAAAGAUAAGUUUUAAAUUAAAUGUUUGAAGGUUAUAUGGUGUUUUUUGGUCUGCACCUAAUUCAAUAAAGGAAUAGAAAAAGUCACUAAAGUGGCUGCUAGUGUUCUCUAUGUAUGUAUCAGUUAUAAUUUUCAUCAAAUAGAUGAAUGCCAUCUUGCAUUUAAUUAAUCAAGUGAAGUUAAUGUAUUGAAUUAAUCAUCUUUUUUUACUUCAUUGUGUAAAGUAUUUAAAUUGAAACUGACUUAGCACCUUCCCAUUUUUAGGAUUUAGUAUAUAAUAGGAUAUAAUUACUACUACAAUAUUUAAUUAAUUAAAUAAUCUUUUUUAUAAUUUUUAUUUAAUAUAUAGGGGUAAAACGGUAAUUCAACUUUGAACAUAAAUUCUUUCCAUUUUUAAUAAUACUAGUUUUUGUGAACGUGUGUUGCACGUUUAAUUUGUCCCUUGUAAUUACUACAAGAUUUCUAUAUAAUUUUUUUAAAAAAUAAAUAAAUUUCAUAAUAGAAAAUAUGCAUGUAUUUCACGCUACUUAGUAUUAAUAUUUGUAAAUGAUUUAAAUACAAUUACAAUAUGUAUAAAUAGUUAUUCAUAAAAUUAAGUAAUCAAAAAGAGAAGGAGUCUAAACACCAAAUUAAAGCUUAACAUCAAAUGGACAAUCUGACAAUCAUAUCAAAUAGUUUUAAGAAAUUGUAUCAUUUUGAUACGUAAAUUUCACAUGAGUUAUUAGUUGUGAAGAUGUCAUAUAAUGUUUGAAGAUAAUAUAUAAAAAUUUAUCAAUAUCCAUUACAUUAUUAUAGCAUCACAAUAAAUUAUACAACUUCAGAUGUACAUUAUGUUCAUCCCACAAAUAUUCGAAAAUAAGAUGAAAUAGAGUAGACUAAAAACAAUGAAAUAGCUAAUGAAUUCUAAAACCUUCAAAUAACAAAAAUUAAAGAGAGAAACCGUUCCAGUUUAAAAGAAUGGAGGAACUUCCUCAAUAACUAACAAAAGCAUAAAUAGAUUUACCUCUUUUUUAUUGCAUAUGUGAUGAGCAAUAACAUCCAUCAACAAUUAUACAUUAGAAUAACUACGUGUGUGCAUUAACAUAAAGUGAUAGUGAUGAGCAAUAUAAUUACAUCCACCAAUAAUCAUCCAUCAACAAUUAUACAUCGGAAUAACAAAGUGUAUGCAUUAAUAUAAAGUGAUUUUGAAAACAAUUUUUUGGUACGUAUAAUUAUAAGUCAUGAAUUAUAAAAGUCAUUUAAAAAUUGAUGAUAUACAUAACAUCUAUGAGAAUUAGAUUGGUUAAAGUUGGGAUAUGUAAAGUUUCUAACUAAAAUUUAAUUAUGUGUGUCAUAUUAAGAUGUCUGGUAAUUCAAAGGACAUUUUGUUGUUUAAUGUUCAAGGAUAUUUCAGUUUUUAAAGGAUAUAAAUAUUUUUGACCAUUGCCUCAGUGAGGUCGAGGAAGCAUCUUCAGAUCAGGAUGAAAUCUUUAUAUUUGCAUUCAAACAUUGUAAAAGAAAUCUAGUAUAGGUAGGAAUUGAGAUAAUUUGCUCCAGAAAGAACUCUUCUUGCAUUUUGUUUCCUUUGUUGCUCUGCAUAUGACCUUCAAUUUCAGUCAUUGUUUCAAAUUUUGUUUGCUCUGGUUCGACUCUGUGUUUAGUGUUUCUGAGUUUUUCUUCUCUUUUUUUUUUCAUCAGACUCUACUCUAUUUGUCGGCAAUCUUCUUUCUUUGUUUACCUGCUUUUGUUCUUGGGUGGAUCGAAUAUAAACAUUUGUGUACAUCUUUGGCUCUUCUUUGUUUGAUUCACUUUCUUCAAUUAGAUCAGAAAAUAUUUCUCUGAAGGCAUGUUGAUUUUAUUAUUUUACACGAUUUCUGUUUGUGUUACUUUUUCGAUUUCUAAUUUGUUUUAUUCAUGUUUUUUACAGUUUAAUUUUUGAUGCUUCCGAGUUUCAGCAGUCCUGAUUCCUGAUGUUUUCUGGGUGAGCAUGGUUCUCUCCUUUUUCAAGUUAACAACUUAUUUUAUAUUACUUUUGCUGAGAUUGAUUGUGAGUUGCAAGUUUCGCAAUGCAAUUUUUGUAUUAUGAAUCCUUGAUGGACUAUGGUGAAAAUUUACUUUUCUUUGUAGAAAAAACAUCAAAGAAUUAUACUACUAUACAAAUCAGGUUUGUUAAUAUUGAUACUGCUGAUGUUAAUAAUCACUUGGCUAUUGUGAAAUAUGUUGAGGAUAUUUACAAAUUUUAUAAGCUCACAAAGGUCUGGUGAAUAUCAGAUGUCUCUGUUUCAAUGCUGGGGUGAUUUUACUGUUAUAGUGGAUACGGUGAGUUACUUUAAUGUGACAAACAAUAGUUUUGUGAUUUUAUUGUGUAGUGUAUAAAAUUCAUGUUAUUUUGAUAAUUUGGCUGAUUCAGGAUGAACGUUGAUUGUAUUAUUACAUGGAUUCACAACCACACAUCAACGCCAGGGUCAAAGCUAGCAAUUUUUCUGGAAGGUUGAACUACUUGAAAAACAUGAAAGCUACAUUACUUCACACAGUUGCGAGAUGAAGAGAAACUUUUUAGGAUCUAUUGUCAAUAUUUUUAGCAUUGUUAGUACUGUAACUCUCAACUAAAAGCUGGACAAAGUUACAAUUUUCAUCAAAAAUCGGUAAUGGCAGAGGGGCGUUUCUUUGGUUAUUGCUCAAAACUACAACUGCUAGUGAUUAUUUCUCAUGUAGUGAUUUUUUUAUGGAAUCAAUGUGUUAUCAAAACAUUUACGUUUAGUUAUGUUAUAACACAAACAGUUGAGGAUUGCACAACCUUACUACUAAAUGUUCAGAAAUAGACUUCUUUCUUGAAGGAGGAUUGCCAUUCAAUUGACGACUUGUGAUCAUCAAUUGCGAGAAGCUGGUGAGUGGCCGAAACGAUUGGCAUCUCAAAGAGUUUAUAUGUGAUCUAGCAGAACACAAUAGAUUGGGAGGGGGUGGAGACAGGUUUUUCUGAUUAAAUUUGGCACUAGUACUCGAUUUCUUGAGUUUUUGCUUCAGUAAAAGGGAAAAAAGGCUAUUUCUUAGUCUGUAUUUUGUAGUUUUAGCAAACAAGCAUAUUGCUAACUGGUGUCAAUAAACCAAGAGUGUAUUGUACCUUUUUCAGGACAAUUAUGUUAUAUUAUAUGUUGGAUGUUUAUUUGUUAUUUCAUUUCCAUAAAACGGUGGAUCGUUGAUUUCAGUUCAUUCAUUGGGACAGAGUUGUACAUGGACCUAAAUAGGGACCUUACCACUAUCUUGUAGGGUAGAGAGGUUGUUUCCGAUAGACCAUCGGCUCAAGUAAACAUAGAAAAAAUAAUACCUUAGAGAAAAGGAAAAUGGAACAGAAUCCAAUUCUAAAACGUAUUCAUGAUAUGUUAGACCCAAUUAAGCACUACAAUGAGCUGUUGAAAAAUGAACAGUGCAUAAAGCAAAAGUAGUGAAUAAACAUAAAGCAAAAGAUAUCUUCCUCCAUUAUUCAAUUAGUGGAGUCAUACUUUUUGAAAAGAGAAAAGAGGACAGUUUUGCUUCUUGUAGAUUAGCUGAAACAUAGUUGUACUAAUUUCAAGCAAUCACUGAUCAUUCUUGUUUGCAAAUUACUCUCAACAUUCAACAGGUAAAGAAGUUCUCUCUUAGUAGUUGAAGCUAGAUAGAAAAAUUUGUCUUCUCAUCAAAAUCAUUUUGUGUUUUUCAGAAAUGGAGAUUGGCUUAGCAGUUGGUAGUGCAUUUCUCUCUUCAGCUUUGAAUGCUCUCUUUGAUAGGCUUGCUCCUCACGGUGAUCUGCUCAACAUGUUUCAGAAGCAUAAGCAUCAUGUUCGGCUCUUAAAGAAGCUGAAAAUGACUUUGCGUGGUCUUCAGAUUGUGCUAAGUGAUGCAGAGAAUAAGCAAGCAUCAAAUCCAUCUGUGAGUGACUGGCUUAAUGAGCUUCGAGAUGCUGUCGACUCUGCUGAAAACUUAAUAGAAGAAGUCAAUUAUGAAGCUUUGAGACUUAAGGUGGAAGGUCAACAUCAGAAUUUUGCAGAAACAAGCAACCAGCAGGUAAGUGACCUCAAUCUGCGCUUGAGCGAUGAAUUUUUCCAUAACAUAAAGGACAAGUUGGAAGACACUAUUGAAACAUUAAAGGAUUUGCAAGAGCAAAUUGGUCUCCUUGGCUUAAAGGAGUAUUUUGGUUCCACGAAACAAGAAACUAGAAGACCUUCAACUUCUGUGGAUGAUGAAUCUGAUAUCUUUGGUAGGCAGAGCGAAAUAGAGGAUUUGAUUGACCGUUUAUUGUCUGAAGAUGCAAGUGGGAAAAAGCUGACAGUAAUUCCUAUUGUGGGAAUGGGUGGCCUGGGUAAGACAACACUUGCUAAAGCCGUUUACAAUGAUGAGAGGGUGAAGAACCACUUUGGUUUGAAAGCUUGGUAUUGUGUUUCUGAGGGAUAUGAUGCUUUGAGAAUAACGAAAGGGUUACUUCAAAAAAUUGGCAAAUUUGACUCAAAGGAUGUCCACAACAAUCUUAAUCAGCUUCAAGUCAAAUUGAAGGACAGCUUGAAGGGAAAGAAGUUCCUUACUGUUUUGGAUGAUGUGUGGAAUGACAACUACAACGAGUACAUCAGAAUUUUGCAGAAACAAGCAACAAGCAAGUGACCUCAACCUUUGCUUGACUGAUGAAUUUUUCCUUAACAUAAAGGACAAGUUGGAAGACACUAUUGAAACAUUAAAGGAUUUGCAAGAGCAAAUUGGUCUCCUUGGCUUAAAGGAGUAUUUUGGUUCCACGAAACAAGAAACUAGAAGACCUUCAACUUCUGUGGAUGAUGAAUCUGAUAUCUUUGGUAGGCAGAGCGAAAUAGAGGAUUUGAUUGACCGUUUAUUGUCUGAAGAUGCAAGUGGGAAAAAGCUGACAGUAAUUCCUAUUGUGGGAAUGGGUGGCCUGGGUAAGACAACACUUGCUAAAGCCGUUUACAAUGAUGAGAGGGUGAAGAACCACUUUGGUUUGAAAGCUUGGUAUUGUGUUUCUGAGGGAUAUGAUGCUUUGAGAAUAACGAAAGGGUUACUUCAAAAAAUUGGCAAAUUUGACUCAAAGGAUGUCCACAACAAUCUUAAUCAGCUUCAAGUCAAAUUGAAGGACAGCUUGAAGGGAAAGAAGUUCCUUACUGUUUUGGAUGAUGUGUGGAAUGACAACUACAACGAGUGGGAUGACUUGAGAAAUAUAUUUGUGUACAAGGAGAUAUAGGAAGUAAGAUCAAGAUCAUUGUGACGACACGCAAAGCGAGUGUUGCCUUGAUGAUGGGAAAUGAGCAAAUUAGCAUGGACAGUUUGUCUAAUGAAGCCUCUUGGUCUUUAUUUAAAAGACAUGCAUUUGAAAACAUGGAUCCUAUGGGACAUCUGGAACUUGAAGAGGUCGGAAAACAAAUUGCAGCUAAGUGCAAAGGACUGCCCUUAGCUCUGAAGACGCUCGCUGGCAUGUUACGCUCCAAAUCAGAGGUUGUAGAGUGGAAACGUAUUCUGAGAAGUGAAAUAUGGGAGCUGCGAGACAAGGACAUAUUACCAGCGUUGAUGUUGAGCUACAAUGAUCUUCCCGCACAUUUAAAGCGAUGUUUUUCCUAUUGUGCAAUAUUUCCUAAAGAUUAUUCAUUUAGGAAAGAGCAAGUUAUUCAUCUUUGGAUUGCCAAUGGUCUCGUACCAAAGGAAGAUGAAAUAAUUGAAGAUUCAGGCAACCAAUACUUUCUCGAAUUGAGGUCAAGAUCAUUAUUCGAAAGGGUCCCAAAUCCUUUUGAAGGGAACAUAGAGAAAUUCUUAAUGCAUGACCUUGUCAAUGACUUAGCCCAAAUUGCAUCUUCAAAACUUUGUAUCAGGUUGGAAGAGAGCCAAGGAUCUCAUAUGUUGGAAAAAAGUCGGCACUUAUCUUAUUCAAUGGGAAAAGGUGGUGAGUUUGAGAAAUUAACACCCCUCUACAAAUUGGAGCAGCUGAGGACAUUGCUUCCGAUAUUUUUUGAUGUCAAUCAUGACUCUCUAAGCAAGAGGGUGCAGCAUAACAUACUGCCAAGACUAAGAUCCUUAAGGGCAUUAUCAUUGUCUCAUUACAGGAUUAAGGAGUUGCCGGAUGACUUGUUUAUCAAAUUAAAGCUCCUGAGAUUUUUGGAUAUUUCUAAGACAGAGAUUAAUAAGUUGCCAGAUUCCAUUUGUGGAUUGUAUAAUUUAAAGACACUUCUCCUGUCAUCUUGUGAUUAUCUUGAGGAGCUACCACUGCAGAUGGAGAAGUUGAUCAACUUGAGUCAUCUUGACAUAAGCAACACUUCUCGCUUGAAGAUGACACUACAUCUGAGCAAGUUGAAAAGCCUCCAAGUGCUAGUGGGAGCCAAGUUUCUUCUAGAUGGUUGCUCACACCAUUACUAGAAUUUGACGAGGGAGAAUACUGGCCAAAUAUUGCUCAAAUUCCCACCAUUGUGAUUGAUCGGGAGUUCCUAUGAUGAUUAAAACAAAUGGCUCUCCAACUGAUGUAAGUUAUUCUUUUCCUUUUUUAAAAAUCUUGUUGAGCAGUCUAUUGCUCAAACCACGGCUACUGACCAAAAAUUGUUCAUAUUUUUUUUUUCUAUUUAGAAACGGGAGUUUGGAAGGAUUCACAAUGGCAAGCCUGAUUCCUGAAGUUUUCUAGGUGAGCAUGGUUGUCUCCUUUUCAAGUUAACAACUUAUUUAUAUUAAUUUUGCUGCUAUUGAUUGUCAGUUGCAAGUUUCGCAAUUCAAUUUAUGUGUUACUACAUCUGGGAACGUGCGUUGCACGUUUAUCCCAAAAUACUUUAUAUAAAUUUUGUAUUGCAAAUAACAUAUUCUAUCCCCUCUAAAUCUAUAGUAUUUACUAAAAAAAAAUUCAUCACAUAUAUCUUUAUAAAUAUAUAUAUAUAUAUAUGAUUAUUAAAUUGACUAAAAGUGUAUAGAGUAAAAAUAACUUCCAAGUAAUAGUCAUCAGUUAGAUGAGAUAAUAGAUGUAGAUAGAGAUAUAGAAAUAUUCAAGCAAAAUAAAUUAAAAUUAUUAAAUCCACAAGUUCUAUAUAAUACAGGACUAUUUUCGUCAAUAGCACACUUAUACAGACAUUAUAGAGAAGAACAAUUGAGUGUAUCAGAAAACGAUAGUGAAAGUAUAAAUUUAAUUAGUAAAUAAUCUAUGCAAGAAAUACAAAAAAGACGAAUGAAUCUCAUGCAUAUGAGAUUGGUAGUAAUCGGACUUAAAGGUUUAACUAGAAAAAAUUUAGGUACUAAAGUAUUAAUCACUUUAUAUGAUAGUAGAUGGUCAGAAUCUAAAAGAUCCAUAAUAGGUUUAACAGAAGUCGACAUGAGUAAUAAUGGAGGAAUUUUUUACUGUAGUCCAGAUUUCAUGAUAAAUUCAAAAGAAUUUGGAAAAUACAUAAAAAUAGGCAUACAAACCAAGGGUUACGAAGAAAUGAACUGUGGAAACAAUCUAUUAGUUUGUGUUGGCUUCAUAGGAAAAUUAGCAACCAACAGUAGUUCAAGGUUUAAAAUAAAAAUAGACAAUGCGGUAGGCAUAAUGGGAAAUAAAGGAAUAAAAUUAAUGAAACUUUUAAAAAUAAAUUCAGAAGAAUAUGCAGGUAGAGAAUGGAAUUUAGAAAAAUUCUAUAAAAAAGAAGUGUUAAGACCAAAUGACCACCUCACAUACACAAAUAAUAAAGGUGAGACAUCAAUCAGAUUCACUGAUUAUAAAUAUACAAAUCAAAAGAAAUAGAUGAAGAUUUAGAAGAUAAUGAAUCAACCAUAAAUAUGGAAGGAAUGAAUGUUCAGAUCAAUAAAGAAGAAGACUAUGAAGUAGAUAUAUCAAUAGCAAAAGCUAAAGAAAUACACAAGUCAAAUAAAGAAAAUUUAUUUAAAUGUAAAGGAUGUAAACUAGGAAAACUAAAAUUUUCUAUAGUAGAAAAACACUUCAAAGAGUGUAAUUUUAGAACAGACAAUUAUGGAUUUCGCCAGAAAGAAAAAACACAGGAAGAAAGUGAUGAUGAAACAACACGUAGUUUAAAAGAAUUAGAUGAAAGCGAUGAUGAAACAACACGCAGUUUAAAAGAAUUUAUGGAAACCGCUUCUUCAAGCUCAAGUCCCUUCCAAAAGACAACCCCAAUACCACCAAUAGAAUAUACUAUAGGUAAUUUACCACAACACCGUGUAUUUAGACAAGACCCGAUGACAGAACCAGAAAUGGUUAGACCUAUAGGAAUAAUAAUGCCAAUAGAAGCCCCCAUCAAACUCCAAGACAGGGGAGAUAGAUGAAAAAUACUAAAUAUAUCGGCUCAUGACCCUCAAUUAUGGAACUCAGUACUAGAUGUAUGGAAAGGAGUAGUAGUAGCAGACAACAUACACCAUUAUAGUGAAACAGAUGCAGAAACUAUGUAUAGAUACAUGGAAACCUUUCUAGGAGAAUCAAUCAAAGGAGUAUGGGAAGAAUAUAAGGUAGCUUACCCUCAAGAAUUCCAAGAACUAGUAAAUAUAGGACCAAACUCGUAUAAUUUUACUAAUAAAAUACACAGCCUGAUAACAGGAGAAGACCCAAAUAGCGGAUUAGUAGUGUUACAAAAGAAUGCACUAAUAAAAUUAGAACAACUUAGCAAAACAAAUUGGAGUCAUAUAAAGAAUUUUUUAAAAGACUAUUUUUACUAUUGCGCUAUAAGCGGUAAUGCGUUUGACCAAAGCUUGGGGAAAAAACUUUUUAACAAACUCCCUGGAGCCUUAGGAAGAGAAAUAGAGGAAAGAUGGAACAAAAGAGAGGGAGUAAUGACAAAACCCAAAUGCCAACUGGUCUAUAGGACAUAAAAUACAACAUGUCAUGGAAAUAUUACAAGAGAAAUGUACAAAUAUACAAAUACAAAAAUAAUUAAAACAAAAUGAGACUAGUUUUUGUAAGAAUAUAUAUACAACACAAAGCUAUGAUCAAAGUACACCAAAAAGAAAAUACAGAAAGACAUAUCAAAAUAACCAAGACUACAAACCUAGGAAAAGGUAUUAUCUAAGAAAAUCUACGGCAAAAAAACCUUACCUAAAUAAAGAUAGACAUGUAAGAAAACAAUAAUAAUAAUAAUAGAAUUUACAAAAAUAAGACUAUCUUGUUUUACUAUGUGGAAGUGAAGAACAUCUAGCUAAUACUUGUCCAGGUAGAAAUAAUAGUAGAACAAGAAAUGCCCAACUUAUAGAAGACUUCCAAGAAACCCUGAUAAAUGUAGAUGAAUACAAGUCAGAUAAUGAGAGCAUAUAUUUAGUAAUAAGCAUAGAUGCUAUAGAAGGAAGACAACAAGAUUCGUCUGAUUCAGAAGAAGAAACUUUAAUAAACGAGAUAGGAUUAGAAAAAUUAGACUUAAACAUGAAAGAUUUUACCUUUGUUAAUAUACAAUGCGAUCACCAAUUCUCCAAAGCAAAAGGGUUAGAUAGUCAAAAAUGCUUUAAUUGCACAUGAUACCCCAGUAAAGACAGAAGAGCUAAAUGUAUGAACUGCUAUGUAGAGGGAUGCCUUAUGUGCAUCGACAUGAUAUUUAACAUAAAAGUUAUAGACCAAACAAGAAGUACAAAAGAAAAAACAUUAAUAUCUUUAGAAAAAAGGAUUGAUAAUUUAGAGGACAGAAUAAGUAAAUUAGAAAAGGGAAAAGAAAAAUUAGAAGAGGGAACCAACCAAAACACAACGCCAAAAGAGGAAAUCGAGCUCUUAAAUGAAAAGGAGGACUAUAAAUCAUUUGAGGGAUUAAUUUGUAAUGAAGACAAGAAAAUUAAUACUAUCAAAAUAUUAACAAGAAUAAGAAUUCAAGACUACGAAAUAGAAACUUUAGCUCUAGUAGACUCUGGAUGUAAAAGUAUAAUAGAUAGAAGUAUCCUGCCUCUAGAUAUAAUAAAAUAAUUUCCAGAGCCACAAAGCGCCAUGCAAAUGGAUGGAUCUUCAAAUGUAUAUAAACAUUAUGUUAGUAAUGCUCAAAUAAGUUUUUUAAAUACAUGUGAAAACUUUUAUAAACACAUGUAUAGAUUAGAAAAAAUAUGGGUUAGAGACUUAAAUAUUAUAGUAGACUUUGUUUUAGGUUUAGACUUCUUAUUACAUAACAACGGAUGUUGUCGCCUUACUAGAGACGGAGUAAUAUUCUCUAAAAAUAUGACUCAUACCUCAAUAACAACAGAAUCGUUUCCAACGAAAUCUAGGUAUCUUAAAAAUACUGAUAAACUUAAUACAAACACUUCAAAAUGUAAUAAAGGAGAAGAAUGUAAUUAUACUAAGAUACAUGUUAUUGAAGAAGAAAUUGAAUUAUUAGAGCUAAGUUUAUCUGAUAUACAACUAGAGAAAAGUUAUAACUUAAUAGAAAUAAAUACAGAAUUUUAUAAUUUCAAAAAAGGAUUACAACAUAUAGGAGUCAUAAAAAAUCAAAAAGACCUAGAGGAGGUAAUUUCCAUCUUAGAUAAAUUAGAGAUAAUUGGAGAAAGACCUUUAAAGCACUGGGAAGCCAAUCAUAUAACUUGCAGACUGGAUAUCAUUAACCCAGAAUAUACUGUUAAAACUGAUUCAAUAGAAUCCACAAAUGAAGACCUAAAGGAAUUUGAAGAUCAGAUAAAAGAAUUACUAAAUUAGGGAGUGAUAAGAAGAUCAACUUCAAGACAUAGGUCAUCAACAUUUGUGGUAAGAAAUCAUAAUGAAAUAUUAAGAGGAAAAGCUAGAAUGGUAAUAAACUAUAAAAGACUUAAUGACAAUACCAAAAUGGAUGGAUAUAAGUUGCCAGAAAGAUCAAAAUUAAUAAAUCGAAUGCAAGGAAGAAUUUUUUUUAGUAAGUUUGAUUGUAAAUUCGAAUACUGGCAAGUCAAAAUGUAUGAAGACAGUAUAGAAUAGAAAACUUUCACUUGCCCAGAAGGACAUUUCGAAUGGUUGGUAAUGCCCUUCGAUUUAAAAACAGCUCCUCCGAUCUUUCAGAGAAAGAUGGACAAUAUAUUUAGAGAUUAUAAAAAUUUUAUUUUAGUAUAUGUAGACGAUAUCUUAGUAUUUAGUAAUAAUGCCAACAAACAUCUAAGACAUUUACAAACGGUGUUUAAAUUAUUUGUAGACAAUGGAAUUAUAAUUAGCAAAAAGAAAAUGGAAUUAUGUAAAAAACUAACAGUGGUUUCUCCUCCAACAGUCAAGUAACUAGCACUGGUUAUUCCAGCAAGAGCUCUUACUCUAACAGAACUAGUACCGUCAACUCCAAUUGUAGCAGCAGGAAUGUCUUCACCACCAGAUAAAUCUUAUAAAAUUCCUAGGGGUAGAAAUUGGAAAUGGAAAGAUAAAAUUACAACCCCAUAUAGCAAAAAAGGUUCUCGACAUGCUUGAUAAAUUAGAUAAUACUAAAGACUUACAAAAAUUUCUAGGAAUAUUAAAUUAUGCACGAAGUUUUAUAAAAGACCUAGGAAAAGUAACAGGACCCUUAUAUUCUAAAACAGGAAUUCAUAGGCAGAAGACAUUCAAUAUGGAAGACAUAAAAUUAGUACAAAAGCUUAAACAAAUGGUUAAAAAUAUACCAGAUCUAGCCCUCCCACUAAAAACUGACUGCCCAAUAGUGGAAACCGACAAAAGUCUAGAAGGAUGGGGAGCAGAAUUAAAAACAAAGAACAAUAAAUAUAUAGAAAAGAAAGACGAAAAAAUUUACGCCUAUCACAGUGAAAAAUACAAGGAAAAAGGAAACAUGAGUAGCAUAGAUGCAGAAAUUCUAGUAGUCAUAUAUGGACUAAAUAGCUUUAAAUUAUUUAUUAUUAAUAAAAAAGAAAUUUUAGUAAGAACUGACUGCAAAGCUUUUGUAAAAUUCCACCAGAAAAUAGAAGGAAAAAAUAGUAGUAAGAGAAGAUGGCUAAAUUUUUUAGACGCUACAUCAAUAUACAAUAUAUUUUUAGAAUAUAUAAACGGAAAAGAUAAUUCCUUAGCAGAUCAACUAAGCAGACUCAUGAAAACUAAUUAUUUAUUUUCAGAAUGAGUACAUGUAAGAACAAAGACAAGGCAUCCAGUUCAAGUUCAAGUAAUAGUGGGCAAAAAGACAAAGAUAUAUACUUAUAGACAUUAUUGGGAAACACUUCGUUUAGACCACAUACAAGAGAAGAAGAUGCAAGGAUAAAUACUCCUAUAGAAAGACUAUACUUUGGAAGACAAAAUUUAAUAUUUUAUCCUCCAUCUAAUUUAAGUUUCAGAGUAAAGCCAGAAACAAAAAUAGAUAAACAUCAAAGAUGUUUGAUAGACAAUCUAUGGAUAGCAUAUAACAAAAUUUUGAAAGACAAUAGCUAUUUUAUUUCAGUAUUAAACUCAGUAAGUUAUUAUUUUACGGAGAAAAAUGAAGACAAAAAGUUUAAAUUCUACGUAGUAGUUCGAGGAAAGCUAGCAGGCAUCUUCCAGACUUGGAUCGAGGUGAUAGACUCAAUUAAAGACUUUCCUACCCCAUUUUUCAAAGGAUUCAACGAUUUAAAUAAAGCACUAGACUAUGCUAGAGGAACUCUUGGGCCAAAUUAUUUCAUAAGCCCAGCUUUAAGACAAACUUCAAGACCUUUCCUGCAAUACAAUAUUCGAAAGGAUACUGACAAGAUAAUCUUCUGCGAUCAUUGUUCUUCAAUGACUGAAGGAUUCAAAAUACUAAACCAGACAAUUGAGAAACUAGAGACUGAGAAAGGGGAACUGACACAACAUAUCCACUCAUUACAAGAAAAAAUAAGGUUCUUCCUUGGAAAUACUAAUCAAACCAUACCAUUACAAAUACAAGACUACUCAAAAGGACCAAAGAGUUCUCCAUCUCAUCUUAAAAUGGAUAAGACGGGUGUUCAUCCUCCAACGAAUGUAGAAAGAGCUAUUGUAUCAGCUAAAUGUACAACUAGUCCCGUUCAAAUGGUAGCGGGUAAAGAUUCAUCAAAUCCGUUGAUGGCUGACACUUUGCCAAAAAGUGUUAAAAACAAAUUUGAAAAUAUUUGUUAAAAACAAACUUAAUUUUUUUGAAAUUGGGGGGUGGGGGGUCGCGGGUAGGGAGUGGNNNNNNNNNNNNNNNNNNNNNNNNNNNNNNNNNNNNNNNNNNNNNNNNNNNNNNNNNNNNNNNNGGGGAGGGGGUCGAGGGUAGGGGUGGGGUGGGAUGAAAAAUAAAAAAUUUAAAUUGGAAAUAUUUUUUUAAAAAAAAUUAUUUUUUUUGUGGGGGGGAGGGGUAGGGGGUGAGGUAAAAAAAUUUAAAAUUGAAGGCUUUAAAUUUAUUUUUUUCAACAAAAAAAUAAUAAUUGUAAUUUGAAGUUGGAGAGAGUUUUGGAAAACGUUUUUCUUAAUUUUUUGAAAGUAAGUCAUUUUCCUUAAAUUUGAGAAAAAUGAGUUAAUUUGAAAAUCAUUCUCCAAAACGUUUUACCCAACCAAAUAUGAUAAAAUUGAAAUACAUUUUCCGAAAAUGUUUUCCUUCAUACCAAACACACCCAAUAUGAUGAAUCAAUGAUGGAUUAUGGUGAAAUUUACUUUUUUCAUAGAAAAAUAUCAAAGAAUUAUACUAUUCAUGUUUGAUAAAAUAUCCUUCAAUAAGACCUGGUGAAUAUCAUAUGUCUCUGUUUCGAUGCAUCUUAUAAAUCCUAUUGAAAUUCUGUGAGGUUGCUCGUGUCCUUUGGUUGGUGGGCUUAAUUUUUUGAACUGUGAAUGCAUCUUAACAUAAUUUUGAUUUUUGAUGGGUUCUCCAAAUCUAACAAUUUUAUUUGGGAUCCCUUUUUUUAGGGGGAAAGUCUCAAAUGGGAAAUAAAGUUGGCACUUUGAAGAUUUUGAAGCUAGAAUUUGUGAGCUCUCUCUUUGUCUACACAAAUUUCAAACGGCCUGUUAUAGCUUCAAGGUAAUCGUCUUCGGAAAUUUGAAUUCUUUUGGUUCUUAUUUUAAUCUUGCACAAAAGUGUAACAUUUACCCUUUGUUUGGAUCAUUGUUACCCAUUAUAUUGUAUCGUUACUAUACCUACAAUGUUUGUUUUGAUUAUUACUUAAAAUAUAUUGUAUUGUAUUGUUAAAUUUCGUUGUUACGUAACAAUGAAAACCUCUAUUUUAUGGAACAACCAAUUUGGUGUGUUCCCAAUUGUUACUUAAUUUCUUUUUCCAAUUAUAUCUUUUACAUAAUAUUUCAAAAUACUAUUUUAUCCUUUACCUUAUAUUAUUUAAUUCUAAUCAAACCUCCUACUCUACAUAUAUACAAAUGGCUUACAUAUACCAUUUUCCUCUAACAGAGAUGAAAAAAAUUAAUUUUAGUUUAAUUUUUUUUAAAAAAAAAAAAACUAUAAUCCCAUAUGAGUAUAUUUAAUCCUCCUCAAACAUAUAUUUUUUUUGUUUCAAUGACUAAUUUAAAUUUAUUAUUUUAAUGGUCAAAUUUAUUUAUGUUUCACUAAUAUUCUUGUAAAACUUAUUAUUGUUUACAUCUCCGCUUUAUUCAAAUAGGGCGAAACGUCCUGAUGACUCAAAAAAUAAACAAUUGAUUCAAUUUUAAAUUUUUUUUAAGAAAAUAAGAAUUUUAAAGGAGUCACCACCUAAUUUUAGGAAACCAAUUAAAUGAUCUACGAAACCAAGAAAUUUUAGGUAAGGGGUUCAAGUUAAUUCGAAGGAAAAGUGUUAGGCAUCAUUCGAAAUUCACAAUUGUGAGUUCCGACCGAAUUCAUUUUUUCAAAUUGAGGAGGAAGUAAAAAUAGUAUACAAAUAUAACAAACAUACAAUAUACACAAGUAAUAUGAGAAACGACCUAAUAUUUGCCUAUCAUCAAUAAUAUACAUAAUAAUGAUUAUAAUAUUCGAACUUUAUUCGAAUGGCUUCGAUGAGAAACGACUUCGGGGUACCUAUAAAGACACUUAAUAAAAGUGUUAAUACUAAAUAUAUAUGAAUAAAAAUAAAUAAAGCAAAUAAUAACUUAAAAAUAAAAACUCAUCUUAUUAACAUAGGAGGCCUUAGAAAUAGACUGUAAUUUCUUCAUCGGCCAAUUUUAACAAAUAAAAUAUACAAACUUAAAUUAAAUUUUCGUCUUUUGCAAUGUAGAGGCCUCCAAAACCGACGGAAAUUUUUUUUCAUUAGGCAAAUUAUAGCAUUUACUUAACAUGAAUUAAGGAAAUAAUCCUAUAGUAAAAUUGACAAAACCCUUCGGGGUGGCCCAGUGGUUUGGGCUUGGGACUUCCAUGUUGGAGGUCUCAAGUUCGAAACCCCUUGCCAGCGAAAGCAAGGGUUUGCCCUCUGGGUCGAGCUCAUCGCACCGGGCUUGCCUAGUGCGGGUUACCUCUCCUAUGUGGUUUGCGAGCUAUUGCAUAAGAGCGGGGGUUUUACCCUGUGCGCAUCCAAAGGGUAGCAGCUGCGGGUUUCCCUUGUCAUCAAAAAAAAUAAAAUUGACAAACAUUAUAUUUAAACUAGCUCAAAAAGAAUAACAAAUUAAUAACGGACAAUGCACAGAUAAUGAUAAAAUAAUUUCGACACUUUUCUAAAAAAAACAACUACUAGUGCUAACAACAUCAAAGAAAUAAAUAAAUUAAGAAGAAUAAUGGAAGUAAAAUCUGUAAUCUAAACAAAAAUAAAAAUAAAAAAUGAAACCGAACACCACAAUCACAAUAGUAUCUAAAUGAAGUAUAAUCUGUAACCGAUUAAAAUAAUAAUAACAAUAAUAAACAAAAGAGGAAACAAAGGCAUAAUAAUAACAAUAAAAUAAAUCCACAACUUAGAGAAAAUUACAAUACUCAACCUUCUUUAAUUAAUAAUUAGAAAUUACCAUUAUGUGCCACUUUAUACGAAUUGAGAGAAUUAACCACAAAUAAAUAGACUAAUCAAGAAUAGCUAACUAUAGUAUCCAAAAUAAACUAAACAAAAAUAAUGGAUUCGAAAGCACAUUCAUAAACUGUAAACGUAAACAAUAAUAAAAAGAAAUCAAGGAAUAACAGAUACAAAAAUUACCGAUCCCGGUCUGGUUCCUGGCGACUUCGUUGUUUUGAGCUACUAUUCGCCGGAGUUGUUUUGCCAGAGUUCGGAAUGUUGGUUGUUGUUAUUGUUACCUCCUGGAGGAGCUCGUGGGUGGAGCUGGUGUGGUCAGCCUCUGGUUUCGAUGAGUUGGAGCUUGGAGCUCACUGGCUGUUGUUCGCCUGGGCUUCGUGGGUUUUGAGCUACUUCUUGCUGGGGUUGCUGGUUCAACGAGCAAAGGGGAGAACGAGGAUGGGGUUUUGGGUUGGUUUCGCCGGAAAAAGGGUGAAGAGAGUUGGGGUCUUAGUGGUGGUUUUGGUGGUGAUUUUGGCUGAAGGGUGGUGGCGUUUGGGUGGGUUGGAGAGCUGCUGGUUGCAGCAGAGAAAACAGGAGGGGUUUUGGGUCUGUUUGGUUGGCUGAUUUUGUGGAUUUGGGGUCUAUUUGGAUCGUGGUUUUGCCGGAAAAAGAGGUGAACGGAGAUGGUUUGUUGGGUUGGAGUUUCUCGGAGGUUGUUUGGUUGUUGUUAAUGGUUGUUUUCGGUGGCUUUUGGUCUUUGGUGGUGGCUGGAUUGUUGCUGGAAACGAAAAGGGGGGUGAGCACUGGCUCGCCGGAAAUGGAGUUUGAGUGGUGAUGAGGAAGGAGGGUGGCGGCAGCUUUGACAAGAUGAUAGAAAAAUCGUUUUUGGUUUCAGUCAUUUUGAAAUUUUUCACCACUUGGACUAAAAAUAUUGUUCAUCCUCUUCACUUAAUGAAUAAGCUAUUGUUUAUAUAGAAAAUUGAAAAUUAUCUAUAGUAUAAUACGAUUAUCUUAAAAUCAUGGGCUGAAACCAUUAGUUAAAUAAAAUAUUUGUAUAUAAAUCUUAUUUAUAUUUGAAUCAAUUUUUAGACAGUGCAAAAUAUCAAAAUUAAUAUUAGCAAAUGUAACAAAUAAAAAUGAAUAUUAUUAAAAAAAAGGAAAGUAAUGAACGUAACAAAUGACAUGUAUAAAGUGCAAUUUAAUAGAAAUAACUAUUUAAUCAAGAUGAACAAAUAUUUGAACGUAUUUAACCAGCUAUGACAAAAAAUAAUGAAAUUAAAAUUAACUGAUAAAAAAUCCUAAAUUUUGACAAAUAAAAAUAAUUAUCGAUAAACUUAUUUAAAAUUAUAAAAAAUGUAUUUUGAACAAUUAAAUAAAUAAAACUUAAAAGUUACGAAUUUUGAAAAUGUUAGGUCAAAAUUGGGUGUCAACAAUUAUAGAUGACCUUUUUUUUUUCUUCAAAUACAAAAAUUAAAUUACAAUAUAGACAAAAAAAAAAUUGUUUUAAAUUAUAAUAUAGCUGCAAAAAAAUAGUUUUAAUUUUUUUUUCUUUACACCAAGGAAUGAAAGAAAAAAUAAAAUAAGAAUAAGAAACUAAAAUAAUGAAAAUCAAAGAAGUCAAAAAAUAAUUUAUGUAUGAAAAAAAUUGAAAUAUACCUUGAACUUUGCAGAAGAAUCUUAUAUAUCCCUAAAUGAUUUUUAAAACAAUUAAAAGUCAAAAAUAUAAAUUUAAAAUUAAUUUUUUCACUUCCGUUAAAUGAAGAUAUAUGUGAGCUCAUUUUGUAACGAUAGGGUAUAUGUGAGCCGUUUAUAUAACAACAAAGGUAUAUAUGAGUCACUUUCAUAACGAGGACAUAUCAACUCUAAAUAAAAAAAUUGACAGGUAUAUCAGACCCUUUUCCCUAGAAAAAAUAAUACCUUAGAGAAAAGGAAAAUGGAACAGAAUCCAAUUCUUCACAAUUCUAAAACGUAUUCAUGAUAUGCUAGGCCAAACUAAGCACUACAAUGAGCUGUUGAAAAAUGGACAAGUGCACAAAGCAAAAAGUAACGAAUAGACAUAAAGCAAAAGAUACCUUCCUCAAUUAUUCAAUUAGUGGAGUCAUACUUUUUGAAAAGAGAAACGAGGACAGUUUUGCUUCUUGUAGAUUAGCUGAAACAUAGUUGUACUAAUUUCAAGCAAUCACUGAUCAUUCUUGUUUGCAAAUUACUCUCAACAUUCAACAGGUAAAGUAAGUUCUAUCUUAGUAGUUGAAGAUAGAAAAAUUUAUCUUCUCAUCAAAAUCAUUUUGUGUUUCCUUGUUUUGAUUUGCAGAUUUCAGAAAUGGAGGUUGGCUUAGCAGUUGGUGGUGCAUUUCUUCUCUUCAGCUUUGAAUGUUCUCUUUGAUAGGCUUGCUCCUCAGGGUGAUCUUCUCAACAUGUUUCACAAGCAUAAGCAUCAUGUUCGGCUCUUCAAGAAGCUGAAAAUGACUUUACUUGGUCUUCAAGCUGUUCUAAGUGAUGCAGAGAAUAAGCAGGCAUCAAAUCAAUUUGUGAGCCAGUGGCUUGAUGAGCUUCGAGAUGCUGUGGACAUUGCUGAAAACUUAAUUGAACAAGUCAAUUAUGAAGUUUUGAGGCUUAAGGUUGAAGGUCAGCAUCAGAAUCUUGCAGAAGCAAGCAAUCAGCAAGUAAGUGACCUUGACCUGUGCUUAAGUGAUGAUUUUUUUCUUAACAUAAAGGAGAAGUUGGAAGACACCAUGGAAACAUUGGAGGAUUUGGAAAAGCAAAUUGGCCGCCUUGGCUUAAACGAGCAUUUUGGUUCGACUAAACAAGAAACUAGAACACCUUCAACUUCUUUGGUUAAUGAAUCUGAUAUCUUUGGUAGGCAGAGCGAAACAGAGGAUUUGAUUGACCGUUUAUUGUCUGAAGAUGCAAGUGGAAAAAAUCUGACUGUAGUUUCUAUUGUUGGAAUGGGUGGCGUGGGUAAGACAACACUUGCUAAAGCGGUUUACAAUGAUGAGAGGGUGAAGAACCAUUUUUGUUUGAAAGCUUGGUAUUGUGUUUCUGAGGCAUAUGAUGCUUUCAGAAUAACAAAAGGGUUACUUCAAGAAAUUGGCUCAUUUGACUUAAAGGAUGACAACAAUCUUAAUCAGCUACAAGUCAAAUUGAAGGAAAGCUUAAAGGGAAAGAAGUUUCUUAUUGUAUUGGAUGAUGUGUGGAAUGAAAACUACAAUGAGUGGGAUGACUUGAGAAAUAUUUUUGUACACGGAGAUAUAGGAAGUAUGAUAAUUGUAACGACACGUAAAGAGCGUGUUGCCUUGAUGAUGGGUAGUGGGGCAAUCAACGUGGGGACUCUGUCUGAUGAAGUCUCUUGGGAACUAUUCAAACGACAUUCACUAGAAAACAGGGAUCCUGAGGAACAUCCAGAACUUGUAGAGGUUGGAAAACAAAUUGCACACAAGUGCAAAGGAUUGCCUUUAGCUCUAAAGGUACUUGCUGGUAUUUUACGCUGCAAAUCAGAGGUGGAUGAGUGGAGAGACAUUUUUGAGAAGUGAAAUAUGGGAGCUUCCAAGUUGUUCGAAUGGUAUAUUACCAGCGCUAAUGUUGAGCUACAAUGAUCUUCCUGCACAUUUGAAGCAAUGUUUUGCUUAUUGUGCAAUAUAUCCUAAAGAUUAUGAAUUUUGCAAAGACCAAGUUAUUCACUUGUGGAUUGCUAAUGGUCUUGUACAUCAGUUGCAUUAUGGUAACCAAUACUUUCUCGAGUUGAGAUCAAGAUCACUGUUCGAAAGGGUCCCAAAGUCUGCAUGGAAACUGGAAGUAUUCUUAAUGCAUGACCUUGUCAAUGAUUUGGCCCAAAUUGCAUCUUCAAAUCUUUGUAUAAGGUUGGAAGAGAACAAAGGAUCGCAUAUGUUGGAACAAUGUCGGCACAUGUCCUAUUCAAUAGGAGAAGGUGGUGAGUUUGAGAAAUUGAAAUCACUCUUUAAAUCAGAGCAGCUGAGGACAUUACUUCCAAUCAAUAUGCCUUUCUAUUGCCAAAAUAAGCUAAGCAAGAGGGUGCUGCAUAACAUUUUGCCAAGACUAACAUCCUUAAGGGCAUUAUCGUUGUUACGCUAUGAAAUUGUUGAGUUGCCAAAUGACUUAUUUAUCGAAUUAAAGCUCCUGAGAUUUUUGGAUAUUUCUCGGACAAAGAUUAAAAGGUUGCCAGAUUCCAUUUGUGUGUUGUAUAACUUAGAGACACUUCUCCUUUCAUCUUGUGAUUAUCUUGAGGAGCUACCGCUGCAGAUGGAGAAGUUGAUCACCUUGCGUCAUCUUGACAUAAGCAACACUCGUGCCUUGAAGAUGCCACUAUAUCUGAGCAAGUUGAAAAGCCUCCAAGUGUUAGUGGGAGCCAAGUUUCUCUAGGUGGUUCGAGAAUGGAAGAUUUGGGUGAAGUACAUAACUUGUACGGAUCUCUAUCAGUUGUAGAGUUGCAAAAUGUGGUUGAUAGUAGGGAAGCUGUGAAGGCAAAAAUGAGAGAGAAGAAUCAUGUUGAGCAGUUAUCUUUGGAGUGGAGUGGAAGUAGUAGUGCCGACAAUUCACAAACAGAAAGAGACAUACUUGAUGAGCUACGCCCACAUAAAAACAUAAAAGAAGUCGAGAUCACCGGAUAUAGAGGGACAACAUUUCCAAAUUGGCUAGCUGAUCCUUUGUUUCUUAAUCUAGUAGAGUUGUCUAUUGAUAACUGCAAGAACUGUUAUUCCUUGCCAGCACUAGGACAACUCCCUUGUUUGAAAUUCCUUUGGAUUAGAGGGAUGCAUGGAAUAACAGAGGUGACGGAAGAAUUCUAUGGCAAUUUGUCCUCCAAAAAGCCUUUUAGCUCUCUUCAGGAGCUUGGAUUUGUUGAUAUGCCGGAGUGGAAGCAAUGGAACAUACUAGGAAUUGGAGAGUUCCCUAUACUUGAGAACCUUUCAAUUAUAAAUUGCCCUGAAGUCUGUUUGGAGAGACCCAUCCAACUUUCAUGUUUAAAAAGGUUUGCAGUUUGUGGUUGUCCUAAGGUUGGAGAAGCUCAAAUGUUUAGAUCCCAACUUGAGGGAAUGAAGGAGAUUGAGAAUUUAGAAAUUAGUGAUUGUAACUCUGUUACCUCCUUUCCUUUUAGCAUACUGCCCACUACCUUGAAGAGAAUAACCAUAUAUCGUUGCGAGAAAUUGAAAUUGGAGGUGCCAGUUGAUGAGAUGAGUAUGUUUCUGGAGGAAUUGACACUGUAUAAAUGUGAUUGUAUAGAUGAUAUAUCACCUGAGUUUUUCCCAACAGCACGCCAUUUGAAUGUAGAGGAUUGCCACAACCUUACUAGGGUUUUGAUUCCUACUGCCACUGAAAGACUCACUAUUUUGAAUUGUGAGAAUCUUAAAAUACUUUCGGUUGCAUGUGGGGGAACCCAGAUGACAAUUUUGUAUAUUGAGGGCUGUUGGAAGCUGAAGUGGCUGCCAGAACGUAUGCAGCAACUCCUUCCAUCUCUUAAGGAACUGUAUCUCUAUAAUUGUCCAGAAAUAGAGUCCUUUCCUGAAGGAGGAUUGCCCUUCAAUUUACAAGCCCUUUGGAUCAGAAAUUGCAAGAAACUGGUGAAUGGCCGAAAGGAGUGGAGUUUACAGAGACUCUCCUGUCUCAGAGAGUUAUCCAUCGUACAUGAUGGCAAUGACGAAGAGAUUGUUGGUGGUGAGAAUUGGGAGUUACCUUCCUCUAUUCAAAGACUUACCAUAGAGAAUCUGAAAACAUUAAGCAGCCAACAUCUCAAAAGCCUCACCUCUCUUCAAUAUCUAUGUAUUCGUAAUUUACCUCAAAUUCAGUCACUGCUGGAACAAGGGUGGCUUCCCUCGCCUCUUUCUGAGCUACGUUUAUAUCACCAUCAUGAGCUCCAUUCACUAGGUCUUUGGCACCUCACUUCGCUUCAAAUUCUACACAUCAUUAAUUGCCCUAAUCUCCAAUCACUUUCCGAAUCAGCACUGCCCUCUUCCCUCUCUAAACUACAUAUUCGCGACUGCGCAUUGCUCACACCACUACUAGAAUUUGACAAGGGGGAAUACUGGCCAGAAAUUUCUCAUAUCUCCACCAUACAGAUCAAUGAGGAAUACCUUUAAUGAUUAAAACAACUGUAAGUUUUUCUUUUUCCUCAUAAGCCUUUUAUUAUUUUUUCAACUUCUCUUUGCUUUUAUGUUAAUGCUUUUUCUUUAUUACAUUCUUGUUUCGCAGUAUGGAGUGUCUAUUGCCACUAUGAAGCUGAUGAUUUUAAUUUUAGAACUCAAUAGCAAUUAAUGUUACAUAUCUUACUCGAAGAUUUUUAUCGCUUGAACUUUCAUCUCAAUAGCAAGUCAUGUAUACUUGUUCUUUCCCUUUUCAGUGAGUUUAGAGUGAUGCACAUGUCCACUAUCAAAUUCAAAACUCUUAAUAGAAUUCAAAGGUGUACCAUACACAAGAUGUGUUUCAGUGAGUUUAGAGUGAUGCACAUGUCCACUAUUCAGGUUUUUAUUAAUGAUUCAGCCCCAUCGUAGAGAUCGAUUGGGAAUACCUGUGAUGAUUAAAACAAAUGGCUCUCCAACUGAUGUAAGUUAUUCUUUUCCAUCAGAAGCUUUUUAUUUUUGUUUUCAUUUUGCUUUUUUGUUGAUUCUUUUCCUUUAUAAAACCUUGUUGAGCAGUGUAGAAUGCCUAUUGCUCAAAUCAUAAAUCUUGAUUAGGAGAACCCUGUAAUGAUUAAAACGAGUUCUGCUCCGAUAGAUGUAAGUUAUUCUAUUUCCUUAAAUGUAACUAAUAUUCACUGGAUAUUCUAUUUCCUUAGUAUAUUUUGAUUGAGAUAAUUUGCUCAAGAAAGUUGAUUGCUUAAUAUAUGUUAUCACCUUUGGAGAUAUAGGGUCCAAGAAAUGCAACCUCACUUUCUCAAUCAGGUAGCCAACACAUUGAUAAAAGUUAUAUCAAGCUUCAAAUUUAAAGAAAUUGAAAACGACUUUGAAUAUCUGCUUCCAUUAUUUUACGCCAUGUUGUACCACAUUGAUUUCAAGUUUGAUUCCACUGCAUAAUUACAUCAGUUUUUUUUUUGUUUUGAUAUUCAAUUAUCUAGAAUAUUACAUCACUUUUUGGUUUUGAUAGUCAGAGAACUUUGAAGAUUAUGAAGUUUCCUUCAAAUUAAGCCCAUUACUCAACCUCGAGUGACACCUCAGAGCUAGCGGAAAGUCAAGAAAGUUUAUCCUGCUCGGGAUGAAGUUAAUGUUAGAUAACAAAAUAAUGAUUUACUCGUGUUUCAGUUACUAAGAUUCUUAUUUUGUAGUAAUAUUUUGGACUCUCAUAACUCAGUGACAUGGAUUUCCUUCAUUGGCACCCUCAUCAGUCAUCAAUCAGUGAAACAGAGAAAUCGACUGUUUCAAAACUCUCUGAAACCCAUUUUGAGCUUCAUGCCUUCAAUUCCGAUGAAACCCAAAAGGCAUCAACAGAGUAGAAGAAUUCAACCCAAAACCCAUUUCAACCCAAGUUUUCUAUUCCUGCUUCACCUGAUAGGAAGAAGUUUACGUAUGAGAAAGGUCUAAAGGUACAAAUAUUUUUUCUUCUCCUUUUCUUACUGUGGUGCUUAAAUUGGUUUUGUCCCACUUUGCAUCACAAUGAUGUUGGAGUAUAUCGGUUUUCUACUGGUAUUCAGAUACUUAAAAUGGAAAAUUGCUUUGGAAAAUAUCGUUUCAUUGUUCGAAAGUUGUUUAACAUACAAUUGGCAUCUGUUGAUCCAAUUUUUUCAUUUUUCUGUUAAUCUUCUUCUAUCCUUAGUUUACAUGUCUUCUGAUUGAGUUAUAAUACAUGCCUUGAUUCUAUUGAAGAUGAGAAAUCGUCAAAUGCCUUUAUGAAGUGUUUGCUAAGUUGAUGUCGCCUAAUUCACAUUUCACUGAAUUAAUUUCUGACCCAAGUUUAUGCAUAUGUUUGGUCUAACAUUGAAAAGGAAAAAUGUCGAAUGAUAUGGAUAUUUUUGUUUUUAAGAAUACAAAGUCACUAUAAAGGUAGAAAAUUUCGAUGGUAUUAAUUUUGAUAUGCAUCACCAUUGAGAACUUUGCCUGAGGUAUUAAUUUCUAUUUUCGCUGUUUAGAAAUGUUUAAUGUAACUCCUAAUUGUGAUGCUUCAUUCACACAUUUUUGAAAUAUAUUACAUAGAAAAUAUGCUUCUAUCCAAGGAAAAUUAUAUCUGCCUAGCUCUAACCUCCAGUACGUGUAUUCAUGAAUAAAAUGAUAGAAAAUGGAAACAAGGAAGGAAAACAUGUGCUGUUUGUUCUCGAUUUUUAAAUAUUGUAUCCUCUUUCGCUUCUGUUUUUCAUUUGCUCUCCUAGCUAAUAGUCUUUUAUUUACUGAAUAAUCAUAUGUUAUAUGUCUCCUUAAGUUCCUGUAUUUUUUAUUUCACAAACUUCACAUAAGCAUACAAGUAAUUGCAAUAGUUUAUUUGUGCUUCCAGAUUCGUUUAGUGUGAGGUCUGAUUUUUCUUUUUCCUUUUACAGCUAUUAGGAAAAGCUUGCCUAUGUGGCUCUUGACUAUGAGCAGGAGAUUGAAACUGCCAGGAGCAGCUCCUCCACUGAAAAGAACUAUGAAUUGCCUGAUGGACAAGUUAUUGCCUUUGGUGCUGAGAGGUUCCAUUGCCCAGAGGUCCUCUUCCAGCCAACGAUCCUUCCCGUGCGUUGAUCGUGGAUAAGACACUCAGAAGAAGAAAAGAUGACACGAAGAUGGUUAGCUGCAACAUGACUGACAGAAAUUUCUUUAUAGGAGGAAAAUGGAAUCUAUCAUGAAGAAUCCGGGAUGAAGACAUAGACCCACAGUGUGAAAGAGGUAAGAGAGUUUCAUCUACAAUGUUAACAGAAACUUUAAUAGGUAAAGGAGGCAGACAAUAGCAAUUGAUUAUCGUUUAGUGAUUAUCUUGCUUGUUAUAAACAUCAGGAGCAUUUGAUGGUAAGAUGUCAUAUAUCUUGGUAUCUAACAGGUACCCUGGGGUAUUAAUGAGUGAGGUUGAGGAUGGAAAGCCAUUCAGCCAAGUUGUUAAUGCUGCUAAAAGCCUUGGCUACACUAUUAAUGUUUGUAAAAUCACCAUAUAUAUGAGAAUUGAAGAUAUGACUUACAAAAACAGAAAGUUGUCGAUUGAAUAUAUGAUAUUGUCUAUUCAUAAUUAUGUGUAGUCUUACAUUUUUGUUUAUAUGUUGCUCUUUCUAUGAGUAAUUUCCACUCGUUUUCCUGUCAGGCAAGUGUUCCUCUGGUACAAUAAUAUUUUCUGGCCUUCUGCUUAGGAAGUUUGUCUAGGACUAAUUUGAAUGUGAGAGAAGUCAGAGAAACACGAGAAGCGAUUAAGAGAAUGUGUAAUACAAAUGUCUUACACAUGAAUUCUUCUUUUAUAUGCUCACUUUACGGUGCAUCUUCAUACAUUUGUCCAAUGUGGUGAACAUGCACAUACAACUCUAUAUUACAAUUAUCUCUUGUUAUUUACAUUUAGCUAUCUGAUUCUCCCCUCUAGCUGGUGCGUACAUGUAACCUGUAUAGGAUUUGAUGAAUAUGUCUAUAAGUUGAUCGGUCGACUUUCCAAACUUUAUAAGAGUGUCGUGAAAGCAUUUUUUGGGGAAGGGACAGUCGGUUUCUAUAUGCUUGGUCCUCUUGUCAGAUUCUGCAUACAAUGGAUACAAGUACAACUUGAUUAAUUAUCACACUCAAGUUUUGUUAUGAUCAAAUUUCAAUUGUUAGAGAAAAAUGUAUCUCAGGUUUAACUCUGCCCAAAAGUUACCUCAUGACAUGCGGAUUGCCAAAGAUCACAUAAAGAGAUUACAACAAAACAUCCUCAACUGAAGUGAGACUAACAUCUUAAUUCUUAUCGCUUGCACAGGGCGGAACAUAUGAAGUAUGUAUAACAUAACACAGGGGGGCUUAACAUUGGGUAAUAACUAAACACUAGGGAUGAGCUUGAGUGAGAUAUCAUUAAGAAAAUGGACUUUGUGCCUAACCCAGUCCAGAAAGCUAGUCCAAGAUCAUAUAAGGGUACCUUUAACCAAUGUGGUAAACUAACAGCAACCAUUUUCGAUCCUUUUGGUGGUUGUUAAUCUAUGUGCUCAUCGUUACCAUAGUCAUGACCCAAUAUUCUCUUUCUUCUAUAUUGCCCAAUUGCCUGAAAGUAUUAUAGUAUUUAGAAGUAAAACGUAUAUAAAGAAGGUAUCACUGUCCAUUUUGCAUCGUAAUUGUCUUUGAUUUUUGUUGAUAAUCCUUUCCAAGAGCAGGCUUCCUACCCCAAAAUUCUGUUUCCAGCUGGAUUAUAUAAGAAAUUUGGAGCCAUUCAAAACUUCUAAGGAGAUUCUAGUUCCUGUUCUAAUAAAGAAAUAAUGUCUUCAAUGCAUUGUCAAGAUGCAGUCAAUUUUCUAGCAGCAGUUAGCAGGAACCGUACAUCCAUCCCAAAAUAUCAUUAUGGAAGAAAUCGCUGACACUACACUUCAUCUCAAUUCUCAUUAGGAUAGUUGAAGUAUGAAGUUAUUCUUAUGUAUUUAUACUUAUCUGCAGAUCCUCGGGAUGAUCUAGGUGGUAUGGAUGCAGCAAGAAAGGUUAGGAAACGUCUUUCUUCUGAUUAAACUUACAGUGUCCAAGAUUUCAAUCCAUUUAUAUUGCCAAAUUAUUAUGCUGAUUAAGCAUUAUCUUUCUUUUUUCUUUAUCUGAACUUACCUGCAGUCUUACAGUAUGCAUAAUUGAUACAAUUAUUCUAUUUUGCAAAGGCUGGCUAUGAUAUUAUGUAAAAAGGCUGGCUAUGAUAUUAUGUGAAAAGAUCUGAGCUUCCAAUAUUGGAGACCCUAUAACCUUUAAAAUCCUCUGUUCAACCCAUAUGCAACAACUAUAUAACUCAACUGGAAAUGGCUAAGAAUCAAAUAUACGAUACUCCAAGACCACUCAAUUCUUUGUUUAUAAGCCAACAUAAACAAUAUGAUACAAUUAUUCUGUUUUGCAAUGUCAACUGCAACGAGUCUGAACCAUUGAAUUAACCAUCUAAAAGAACGUAAUUAAAAGUAAAUUUUGAAAAAAGAACGAAAAACUAGUUGAGUGAUUGGUGAUUAUCAUUUGCUUAUUCUGUUUUUUCCCCUUAUCAUGGUUACUUGUAAGUAUAAUCUCGUAAGGAAAAAAAACAUUCAAGCCAGUCCCAUCUGGAUAUAAAAUUCAAGGUUUCUUCUAGUCUGUGAUUCUGCUAUUCUCUUUUGUAUCAUGAAAAGUGUCUCGUUAGCUAUAGUCAUAUGUGCAUGAGAGUGUAGAGGGAGCAUCUCUGCUUCAUAUUUCAAGUACUUUGUUAUAAUCUUUCCUUAAUUUGUAUUUGGGAUGAUGAUGUCUUUGGGGGGUAGAAAAGCUGUGAUUAAGCCAGAAUCAUUUUCGCAGAUUGCGAUGGGAAGCAUAUCUUAUCCAACUUAAUAUAGUUAAUACUUGGUUUCUCGGUACCUUUCAUGAAACGUUCAUAGUUCUAAUUGGUUCUGUAAAUUUUGAGAAGUUGAACAUCCCUCAUAACAAUAUUUUGUUUUGAUGUCUUCAUAACAGGCUCUAAUUCUUGCUCGGCUCCUUGGACGACGUUUAAACCUAGAUAAUAUGAAGGUUAGGAUACAUGUCACCAUGUCUCUUUGUUUUGUUACUAGCUCAAUUAGCUUCAGAAACCUUGAUGCAUAUGCAAAUCCCUUUUCAGAUUGAAAGCUUGUAUCCUGAAGAAAUGGGACCAGAUGUGAUGCCUCUGGAAGACUUUCUAGUGAAUGGCCUUCCCUUACUUGAUAAGAAAAUUGAAGAUAGGACUAAACAAGCUUGAAUUUUCUGCGUUAGUUUGCUUGAUGAUGAUGCGUGGUAAUUCUUUCACUUCAUUUUUAGUUUGCUCAAUGGAUAAUGACAACUUGAUCUUUUAUUCUAAUCACAUUCUGCAAGUCACCAUACCUCUAGCAGCUUAAAGCAAAGCUUGCUCACUGACGGGAGUGUUAUGGUCAGUUGUUCACCUCUCGUAUCCACGACCAAUUAAAGAACGAGUUAGAAGUAUAAAUCUGUAAUGGCAUAGAUGAGGGAACAUUGAACUAUCUUUAAAUGAUAGUUCCAAAAUAUUUUCAUUAAUUAGUUCUUUUUUCAUGUAUUUAGGGUUGGGAAGGUGGCAGAUGGGUAUGCAGAAUUAUCAUAUUUUUUUCUUGAGACUUAUGUUGAGAAAAUUGUUAUAAGCUCUUGUAUUUAGUAUAACAUCAAUUGAAAAUUGGGAAGCAAAAACUUGUCGGCUCAUUCUACAUAAGACCUAUGUUUGGAUUUACAAAAACAACAUACCCAAUGUAACCCCACAAGUGGGGUUUGGGGAGGAUAGGAUGUAUGCAGACCUUGUCUGGAUUUGUUUGAAUAUAAUUCACUAACAUGUUCAUAUGGUAAUGAUGGGUUCGUUUGGAUGCAAAAUGGCAAUGUUAUCCAUACUAGUAGAAACUUAGAAUCUAUCUUUGGUUUCUUUAAGCGGUUUGGUCUCACCUUGUAAGGUUUGAAGUUUCAUUUCUUGUAUUGUCUUGAACAAGUGUAUAUCAAGGAGUAUUUAUUAACUUGUUGGUUGAAGAAAAAAAAUAGAUAUUUCUGUUUAUUGGUUUUUGUCUUCUUGAUAAGUGUCUACUUUAGAACUAUUAUGAAUUGUUCUAGCAAAAUCAACUGCUACAAACAGCUUCACUGAAAACAAAUAGCACAGAAGAAAGUGUCUGGCGGUCUGCUGCUUGGGGAAAAAUUGAUUAUUGAAAACACUUUUGUGUACAUGACAUUAACAUCACUCAUUUUCAGAUAUGAAGUUGGCAUCCAAGAAGUUCCAAAAGAUUUUGCAUUGGGAAGAUUAAGAGGAAGUGAUAAUGUGGUGCGCAUUGUGCACUUUCACCUCCCAUUUUGCUGUUUCUUUGGUCCCUCUUCUUUUUGUUCCAUUACUUUGUUUUCCGUUGGGAAUUUUCUUUUAACUGCUAUGGAGGUUCAACCAUAUCAUACUCGUCGUUAUUAGAUUAUCAAGGUAAAACAUUUUUAAUUGUUUAAAGCCCUUUUGUGAUGUCAUUUUUGUAGUGAUGUAUUACAUCAUGCUGUGAUUUUAAAGAAUUGCUCAUCUUUUACCCAUGCCUAAGGCGAACGCUUUACUUUGUCUUUACUCUUUACACAUCAUCUGGUGUCGCCCUGCAAAACUUUGUGCAGUUAAGGUCUUUGAUUCUAUUCUACCUUAAUCGUAGAAUGUAUCCCUUGUACUAAUUAGGAGGUAAUACAAACAGUAAGAUUAAUGACUUGGUUUUGUCGAAGAAUGACUAUGAUGAUUGAACGUCUGUAAUUUGGAUUGUUUGUCUACAGGUGGAGAUAUACAGCCGUUGUUACGAGAAACAACCUUUGGUUAUCCAAGGCGCUGGAGCAGGAAAUGAUACCACAGCAGCUGGUGUCCUAGCUGAUAUCCUUGACAUUCAAGAUUUAUUCCCUUGACCGAGUAUUAUACACUGAGAUACAAACAUUCGAUCCUCAAAGGAUGAAAAAUCGACUCUUCUUGUCCCUCUGCUUCAAUCAUUGAAGACUGAAAUCAGGCUCAUUUAGCACAUCCAUUUUUUGAAAAAAAAUUCGACACGUGAGAGUGCGUUGUCAGUUUAUGGAAAAUUAUUGCACGAUUUCUCGCGUCUAUCUUGUCACUAGUGAAAUUGAUCAUAUAUUUGCCUCAUUGCUUGACUAGUUUUUAAGAUUUCACUUCAGCUUAUAAUCAGUUUAUGUUGUAAUGACCAUUUUGGUACCUAAACUUUUUAUGUUACUACAAUUUUAGAGACUUAGUUAUUAUGCUUUCAGAAUAACAAAAGGGUUAAUACAACGUGUAGGAUGACUUGAGAAAUCUUUUUGUACAAGGAGAUAUAGGAAGUAAGAUCAUUGUAACAACACGCAAAGAGUGUGUUGCCUUGGUGAUGGGAAAUGAGCAAAUUAGCAUGGAGAAUCUAUAUAUGGACUACCUAUUUCAUUUUAUGAGAAGAGAAGAGAAUUUUAAAAAUGAUGUUGGCCUUUUCUUUUCUUCGACUGUCAGCUAUACAAAACCAAGACAAAUGUUGUAAUGGAGAACUUGUUCCCUCCAGCACUAUCUUCAUUUAUCUUUAUCCUGACAAAAUUUAGAAAGUAGAAAACGUAAAACAAAGAAAAUAAUAAGGAAGAAAGUGUGAAGAUUUACCAAAACUCUUGCUUCCAGUAAUGAAUAGUCAAGAAACCAGACUGGCAGACUCCAUAAUUAUUUUCUAUGGCUGUGAGCUGCAGACUGUAGAUAAAACAUAGUUGUACCAAUUACAAGCAAAAGAGAGGGGGAGAAAUCAUUCUUGAUUAUAUAUCACUCUUAGCUCUUAGCAUUCAACAGGUAAAAUAAAAUUGUUAGUAAUUGAAGUUUGAAACAUUUAUCUUCUUAAAAUCAUUUUAAGAAGAUAUCAUUUAAACCAUAUGGCAAUCUAGCUCGGCAAGAGAUACAUGCUAAAGUAUAUCCUGCUCGGGAUGAAUUCAAGGUUAGAUAAUAAAAUAAUGAUUUACUCGUGUUUCAGUUAUCAAGAUGCUUAUUUUGUAGUAAUAGUUUCCUCUCUCAUAAAUCAGCGAAAUAGAUUUCCUUCAUUGGCACCCUCAUCAGUCAUCAAUCAGCAAAACAGAGAAAUCAACGGUUUCAAAAUUCUCUGGAACCCAUUUCGAGCUUCACGCCUUCAAUUCUGAUGACACAAAAGACAUCAACAGAGUAGAAGAAUUCAACCCAAGUUUUCGACUCCUGCUUCACCUGAUGAGAAGAAGUUUACGGGAGAAAGUUUGCCUUAGGUAUUAAUUUCUAUUUUCGCUGUUUAGAUAUGUUUCCUGUAGCUCCUAAUUGUGAUGCUUCAUUUACACAUUUUUAAAAUUUUAUCUAAUAACAGGGAUACAGUAUGUCCGAGUCAACUUGAUGUUACAAACUUGCAGCUAAUUGUUGUGCGUUAUAUUUUUGCAUAUCAUGAAGAAUCCGGGAUGAAGACAUAGACCCGUAGUGUGAAAGGGGUAAGAGAGUUCCAUCUGCAAUGUUAACAAAAUCUUAUAUAAAAAUAAUAUAUACGAAAAUUAAUUUAUAAAAAUUAUAUACCAAAUUGAAAACUUAAAAUCAAUAUUAUAAAAAUAUUACAUCUUAUAUAUAUAAAAGAGAACCUUAUGCCCGCCUACGUGGCGCCACCACAAACCAGAAUUCUCUUUAAAUUUAUUUAUUUCCAAAACUAGCCUUCCUCUUUUAAUGAAAAGUUGUGACAUUUAUGAAAAAUUGUGAAUUUUAUGAAAAGUUUUGACUUUAACUAGCCUUCCCCUUUCAUGAAAAGUUGUGACUUUUAUGAAAAAUUGCGACUUUAAUGAAGAGUUGUGACUUUUAUGAAAAAUUCUGACUUUUAUGAAAGGUUGUGACCUUUCCGAAGGGUUGCAACCUUUCUAAUAAAUCACAAUAAACAUUUGUUCACAUUACCCUUUGUUGUCUAUAAAUAGAGGGAUUUCCUCUCAUUUUAAAACAACUGAAAUUCUGAAUCUCUUCUUCUUCUUCACAAUUAAAUAUUUGUUUGUUUUGCUCAUGUUGAGUGGCUCAGUGAUACCAUUGCUUAUGUUACAGAUCCUGGUAUGUAUUUUUACAGUCAUUAAUUUAUGCUUAUGUUAUUAAGAAUAAAUGAUAAAGAUGUAAUAAUUUUCAUUUUCCUUUACAUUAUUAAUUUUUGUUACUACGUAAUCUUAUAUGUAAGAUAAUAUAGUGUUUUUGUUUUAAUGACUGAUAGGUUUUUAAGUAUUAUUUUAUAAAUUCCAUGAUACUAUUAAAUUCCCGAGCGAAGCGCGGGUAAUUUUACCAGUAAAAGAUAAUUAAGUAUACUGCGAACUUAAUUAAAAUAUAAAAUUUAUAAUAUGUUAAAUUAAUUUUUUUUAAUAUUAUACAAAUUCAGAGUUGCACAUGUUCACCCUUGUGCUUUGAUAAAAUGCAGAAUCUUAUGUAUAAAAAAAUACAAGAGGUUGUGGUGAAAGUUUAUUUCCAAUAGAAAUACGUGAAUUUGGUGGUAUGCCGUCCCCACCAAAGACAUAACCUAUAUUUAUAAAGAUUAUGAAAACUUACUAGUUCAAGAAAAAAAGAAGUGAUGUAUGAUUGAGAAAAGAAAGGAAGAGAGUUUGUAGCGAGAGAGAGAUAUGGAAAGUUUCGCAAAGAGAGAGAGGCAUAUUUUGUUGUGUAUUAAAUAAGUCUGAAUAUUAUUAAACUUAUUAGCAAAUUUUAUUCGUUUUGAUUCUUUUUUCUUCUAUGGCUGUCCACCCACCAAAAUAAAUAAAAUAUCCUUCCUCUUUUGCCUCAAUUGUUGGCUAAAAGUCAACUCAUGGAAAAGAGACAAUUUAAAUUAUUAUUAUUAUUUUCCUAUAGCUGUCAGUUGUAGAUGGUAGAAAACUAUAGUUGUACCAAUUAUAGAUCACUGAUUAUUCUUGUUUGCAAAUUACUCUUAGUAAUUGAAGAUAGAAACAUUUAUCAUUUUGUGUUGCUUUGCAGAUUUCAGAAAUGGAAAUUGGGUUAGCAGUUGGUGGUGCAUUUCUCUCUUCAGCUUUGAAUGUUCUCUUUGAUAGGCUUGCUCCUCACGGUGAUCUUCUCAACAUGUUUCAGAAUCAUACGAAUGAUGUUCGGAUCUUUAAGAAGCUGAGAGCGACUUCGGAUGGUCUUAAGAUUGUGCUAAGUGAUGCAGAGAAUAAGCAAGCAUCAAAUCCAUCGGUGAGCGAGUGGCUUGAUGAGCUUCGAGAUGGUGUGCACUCUGCUGAAAACUUAAUGAGAAGUUAAUUAUGAAGCUUUGAGGCUUAAGGUGGAAGGCCAGCAUCAAAAUCUUGCAGAAACAAGCGACCAGCAAGUAAUUUGAUAUUUUGAUAAUUUGAUUGAUUCAGGAUGAACGUCGAUCGUAUGAUUACAUGGAUUCACAACCAGAUAUCAACGUCAGGGUCAGAGCUAGAAAAUUUUCUGGAAGGCUGAACUACUUGAAAAAAAUGAAAGUUACAUUACUGCACACAGAUGCGAGAUCAAGAGAAACUUUUUAGAUCUGUUGUCGAUAUUCUUAGCAGUGUAACUCAUGUGCACAUUCUACAGCAAAAAGUACAGUAAGUAGAAGAACUCAAUUUUUAGCAAUGAAAUGGCACCAUUUUCUCACACUCAAAAUGAUCUUAAAUUUCAUGAAUGAAACAAUCAUAUAUUACUUAGCUUGAAGCCCCAUUUUCUUCCUCGUUUUCCCAACGUAUAAAUCCUUAGACUUGCUCAUCUCGGGGACUAAUCCAAUGAUCGUCGUGAAUGAAAAUUGAGCCACUACUUCGAGGCUCGUAUAUUGCAAGUUUGCUUUCUUUUCCUCCGCUCAUCAAAAGUUUCAAGUUCUUCGCGGUCAUUAGAGCAUGUUUUUGAGCCGAAUAUCCUUGUUUAAGUUCCUGAUAGCAAAGAAGCAUUAGAGUUCAAUUGAACAAUAAUAACAUACACAGUAUAGUCUCACAAGUAGAGACUGUGGAGUGUUUACGCAGACUUUAUCCCUACCUUGUCAAGUAAGAACUCAAUUGAAUAAUAGAAUCAAAACUCAAGUAAUAGAUAGCUGCUUCAGGUCCUCUGCCUACUGCUAUAUUAUCAAAAUGCCUUCUAAAUUCGACAUAUAUAUUCUUCAACUGUAGUUUCUCUUGUAACAACAACAACAAAUCCUUAUGUUUCUAUGACCCUUGAUUCUAAGAUUCUCAUCAACCUUCAAUCUUCCAAAAUUAUCGAUUCGAUCCUUCAAAUACGUCUCCCUUAACCACUCUGAACUCGGUGGCUUUCCCGUGCAAAGAAAAUUGGCUGAAUCCCAUGAAAUUACUAGUACAUCUUGACAUCUUUGUAAAAGAGUAGAUCGCAGUCAUGAUCAAGACAAUUGGUUGAAUCCCGUGAAAUUAACUUAAAUCUAAUAUAAAAAUAUUAUACCCUUUAACUUGGCCUCAACUCCUAAAUAUGCCCUCCAACUUUGGAUGUACUCGAGUAGUCAGUUAAAUUUGUAUAAAGUUGAAUAAAUAGAUACAAGCGUCCUAAGUGACAUCUUACAUGACAAUUUUUCAUCUGACGUGUCUUGUAUGUAUUAUGUCACGUAAGACUUGUGUGUCUAUUUGUUCAACUUUAUACAAGUUAAAGUGUUUACUUGUGCAUACCCAAAGUUGGAAGACAUAAAUGUGAAAUGAUGCCAAGUUAAAGAGCAUAUUAUUCAAAAUUCAAAAAUAGGGUUUGAAGUUUCAAUUCCAUUGAUGGAUAACGUUACAAUUUUAGUGUAGCACAAUGGAACUUGGAAUUCAAACAACCACUACAAUAAUUAUCACAUUGAUGCAAUUUUAGUCAAUUCUACUUCCAAUUUGACAAAUUUGGUCAUAAAUUUAUCUUAUUAUCCUUGACAGAAUGUUAUGGAUGGUUCUAAAAUUAUGAAAUAAAAUGUAUUUAUUAGGAUAAAUUUACUUUUUUACCCUUGGUCGUUCUUGGUCUCCACAUUUCUAUAUAGUAGAAAAAUUCAAGAGGUCAUUUUCAGAUAAUUUAACAUCUAAAAGCAUCCAAACAAUGAUCUACCUGGCCUCAACUAUUAGUAACUUUUAAUUAUUAUUUUUUCUUGAUCGGAUUUUGGUAAUGAUUAUGUUCUUUGCUUAGCUAGUGAAAGUUUUAUUUCCAAUAUAAAUAUGUGAAUUUUGGUGGUAUGUGAUCCCCACUAAAUUAUAUGUCAACUCUUUUUUCCCUUUUUAAAAUAGGAAUAAUACAUAAACAAUUUCUUAGUACACGUUAGAACUUACUAUAUAUGCUUAGAGUAAUUGUUUAAUUGUUUAAUUCUACACCAUAACUCCACGUUAUUGCCACUAUACCAAAAAGUCAAUCCUCCCAAUUUGAACCAUCCAUUUAUUCCAACCUACCCAAUAACUUAAAGCUUGAGGCAAUCCUCCCAAUUCGAAAAGUCUUUUUCUCUGAACAUAUGACAUGUAUUUAUUGGUUUAUUGUAAAUAACAAAUACAAAUACGUUUUCACCUAAUCUGAGUUUGUUUGGGGUGUUUUAUCUCUCACUAUCAAGAGGAACUUUAUCACAACGAUUCAAGCUCGAAAUCUCUAAUUAAAUACGAAAAAUUAUAUAUCUUUUUUUUUUUAUAAGGGAAAGAUCCUCUUGAUGUUAUCAAAUUCCCAACUUGGCAUGCUUUAAAGUAUAAAAAAAAUAUUAUGAAGACAGAGUCUUGUUGUUGGGUGAAAAGUCAUCCUCAUGGAAAAGACAGCUUAAAUUCUUUUUUUCCCUAUAGUUGUCACUGUAGAAAACUAUUGUUGUACCAAUAUUCUUGUUUGCAAAUUACUCUUAGCAUUCAACAGGUAAAGUAAAGUUCCUUUAGUAAUUGAAACAUUUAUCUUCUCAAAAUCAUUUUGUGUUUCCUUGUUUUGCUUGCAGAUUUCAGAAAUGGAGGUCGGCUUAGCAGUUGGUGGUGCAUUUCUCUCUUCAGCUUUGAAUGCUCUCUUUGACAGGCUUGCUCCUCAUGGUGAUCUGAUGAAGAUGUUUCAGAAGCAUAAGGAUCAUGUUCAGCUCUUACAGAAGCUGCAGGACAUUUUUCUUGGUCUUCAGAUUGUGCUAAGUGAUGCAGAGAAUAAGCAAGCAUCAAAUCGACACGUGAGCCAGUGGUUUAAUAAGCUUCAGAGUGCUGUGAACGGCGCUGAAAACUUGAUAGAAGAAGUCAAUUAUGAAGCUUUGAGGCUUAAGGUGGAAGGCCAGCAUCAAAAUCUUGCAGAAACAAGCAACAAACAAGUAAGUGACCUCAACCUGUGCUUGAGUGAUGAUUUAUUUCGUAACAUAAAGGAUAAGUUGGAAGAAACCAUUGAAACAUUGGAGGUGUUGGAAAAGCAAAUUGGUCGCCUUGGCUUAAAGGAGAAUUUUGUUUCGACUAAACAAGAAACUAGAACACCUUCAACUUCUUUGGUUGAUGAUUCUGAUAUCUUUGGAAGGCAGAGUGAAAUAGAGGAUUUGAUUGACCGUUUAUUGUCUGAAGAUGCAAGUGGAAAAAAGCUCACUGUAGUUCCUAUAGUUGGAAUGGGCGGCGUGGGUAAGACAACACUUGCUAAAGCCGUUUACAAUGAUGAGAAGGUGAAGGACCAUUUUGGUUUGAAAGCUUGGUUUUGUGUUUCUGAGGCAUAUGACGCUUUCAGAAUAACAAAAGGUUUACUUCAAGAAAUUGGCUCAUUUGACUUAAAGGAUGACAACAAUCUUAAUCAGCUACAAGUCAAAUUGAAGGAAAGAUUAAAGGGAAAAAAGUUUCUUAUUGUUCUGGAUGAUGUCUGGAAUGACAACUACAACGAGUGGGAUGACUUGAGAAAUGUUUUUGUACAAGGAGAUAUAGGAAGUAAGAUCAUUGUGACGACACGUAAAGAGAGUGUUGCCUUGAUGAUGGGUAGUGGGGCAAUCAACGUGGGGACUCUGUCUGAUGAAGUCUCUUGGGAACUAUUCAAACGACAUUCACUAGAAAACAGGGAUCCUGAGGAAUAUCCAGAACUUAAAGAGAUUGGAAAACAAUUUGCAGACAAGUGCAAAGGUUUGCCUUUAGCUCUAAAGGCACUUGCUGGUGUUUUACGCGGUAAAUCAGAGGUGGAUGAGUGGAGAGACAUUUUGAGAAGUGAAAUAUGGGAGCUUCCAAGUUGUUCGAAUGGUAUAUUACCAGCGCUGAUGUUGAGCUACAAUGAUCUUCCUGCACAUUUGAAGCAAUGUUUUGCUUAUUGUGCAAUAUAUCCCAAAGAUUAUCAAUUUCGCAAGGACCAAGUUAUUCACUUGUGGAUUGCUAAUGGUCUUGUACAGCAGUUGCAUUCAGGUAACCAAUACUUUCUUGAGUUGAGAUCAAGAUCAUUGUUCGAAAGGGUCCCAGAGUCUGAAUGGAAACCGGAGGGAUUCUUAAUGCAUGACCUUGUCAAUGAUUUGGCCCAAAUUGCAUCUUCAAAUCUUUGUAUAAGGUUGGAAGAGAACAAAGGAUCGCACAUGUUGGAACAAUGUCGGCACAUGUCCUAUUCAAUAGGAGAAGGUGGUGAGUUUGAGAAAUUGAAAUCACUCUUUAAAUCAGAGCAGCUGAGGACAUUACUUGCAAUCAAUAUCCAGCUCUAUGAUUACAAAAUUAAGCUAAGCAAGAGGGUGUUGCAUAACAUAUUGCCAAGACUAACAUCCUUAAGGGCAUUAUCGUUGUCACGCUAUGAGAUUGUUGAGUUGCCAAAUCACUUGUUUAUUGAAUUAAAGCUCCUGAGAUUUUUGGAUAUUUCUCGGACAAAGAUUAAAAGGUUGCCAGAUUCCAUUUGUGGAUUGUAUAACUUAGUGACACUUCUCCUGUCAUCUUGUGCUGAUCUUGAGGAGCUACCGCUGCAGAUGGAGAUGUUGAUCAACUUGCGUCAUCUUGACAUAAGCAACAUUUCUCUCUUGAAGAUGCCACUAUAUCUGAGCAAGUUGAAAAGCCUCCAAGUGUUAGUGGGAGCCAAGUUUCUUUAGGUGGUUCGAGAAUGGAAGAUUUGGGUGAAGUACAUAACUUGUACGGAUCUCUAUCGGUUGUAGAGUUGCAAAAUGUGGUUGAUAGUAGGGAAGCUGUGAAGGCAAAGAUGAGAGAGAAGAUUCAUGUUGGCAAGUUAUCAUUGGAGUGGAGUGAAAGUAGUAGUGUCGACAAUUCACAAACUGAAAGAGACAUUCUUGAUGAGCUACGCCCACAUAAAAACAUACAAGAAGUCCGAAUCACCGGAUAUAGAGGGGACAAAAAUUUCCAAAUUGGCUAGCUGAUGUUUCGUUUCUUAAGCUAGUAGAAUUGUCUCUUAUAAACUGCAAGAACUGUUAUUCCUUGCCAGCACUAGGACAGCUUCCUUGUUUGAAAUUCCUUUCCAUUAGAGGGAUGUAUGGAAUAACAGAGGUGACGGAAGAAUUCUAUGGCAGUUUGUCCUCCAAAAAGCCUUUUAACGCUCUUGAGAAGCUUGUAUUUGAAGAUAUGCCGGAGUGGAAGCAAUGGCAUGUACUAGGAAAUGGAGAGUUCCCUACACUUGAGAAGCUUUUAAUUAUAAAUUGCCAUGAACUCAGUUUGGAAACACCCAUCCAACUUUCAUGUUUAAAAAGGUUUGAAGUUGAUGGUUGUCAUAAGGUUGGAGAUGCUCAAAUGUUUAGAUCCCAACUUGAGGGAAUGAAGCAGAUUGUUGAAUUAGAUAUUAGUGAUUGUAACUCUAUUACCUCCUUUCCUUUUAGCGUUCUUCCCACUACCUUGAAGAGAAUAGUUAUAUCUGGUUGCCAGAAAUUGAAAUUGGAGCAGCCAGUUGGUGAGAUGAGUAUGUUUCUCGAGGAAUUGAAACUGCAAGAAUGUGAUUGUAUAGAUGAUAUAUCACCUGAGAUGCUCCCAACAGCACGCAGAUUGUUUGUAUGUAAUUGCCAGAACCUUACUAGGCUUUUUAUUCCUACUGCCACUGAAAGUCUCUAUAUUGCUUAUUGUGUGAAUCUUGAAAUACUUUCGGUGGCAUGUGGGAAGACCCAGAUGAUGUAUUUUCCAGAACGUAUGCAGGAACUCCUCCCAUCUCUUAAGACACUGAUUCUAUCUAAUUGUCCAGAAAUAGAGUCCUUUCCUGAAGGAGGAUUGCCCUUCAAUUUACAACAACUUCAUAUCUACAAUUGCAAGAAACUGGUGAAUGGCCGAAAGGAAUGGCAUUUACACAGACUUCCCUGUCUCAGAGAGUUAAGCAUCUACCAUGAUGGCAGUGACGAAGAGAUUGUUGGUGGUGAGAAUUGGGAAUUGCCUUCCUUUAUUCAAAGACUUACCAUAUACAAUCUGAAAACAUUAAGGAGCCAAGAUAUCAGAAGCCUCACCUCUCUUCAAUAUCUAUGUAUUGGUAAUUUAUCUCAAUUUCAGUCAAUGCUAGAAGAAGGGCAGCUCACUUCACUUCAAAGUCUAGACAUCAAUAAUUUCCCUAAUCUCCAAUCACUUUCCGAAUCAGCACUGCCCUCCUCCCUCUCUGAGCUGACCAUCAAUAAUUGCCCUAAGCUCCAAUCCCUUCCAGUAAAAGGGAUGCCCUCUUCCCUCUCUAAACUAUCAAUUCGCGACUGUCCAUUGCUCACACCAUUACUAGAAUUUGACAAGGGGGAAUACUGGCCAAAUAUUGCUCAAAUUCCUACCAUAACGAUCGACGAGGAUUCCAUGUGAUGAUUAAAAAGAAUGACUCUCCAACUGAUGUAACUUAUUCUUUUCCAUCAUAAGCUUUUUACUUUUAUUUACAUCACUUUGCAUUUUUGUUAAUUAUUUUCCUUUUUUAAACCUUUUUGAGCAGUCUAUUGCUCAAACCAUGGCUACUGACCAAAAAUUGCUCAUAUUUCCACCAUAAAUGUUCAUUGGGAGAACCUCCAAUAGAUGUAAGUUUUUCUAUUUCCUUAGUAUCUUUUGAUUUUCGGUUACUUCUCUUUGCUUGUUCCUUAAUUCUUUUUCUAUGUUGCAGAGAUGAAGUCUUGAGGAUAAAAAUAUGUUUUACUCCUCUUGAUAUGCAGAUAUGUUGCAGAGAUGAAGUCGCUGUGAGAUACAUUUAAAGUAUAUCCUGUUUGGGAUGAAUUCAAGGUGAGAUAACAAAAUAAUGAUUUACUCGUGUUUCAGUUACCAAUAUGCUUAUUUUGUUGUAAUAGUUUGCACUCUCAUAAAUCAGCGAAAUAGAUUUCUUCAUUGGCACCCUCAUCAGUCAUCAGUCUGCGAAACAGAGAAAUCAACGGUUUCAAAAUUCUCUAGAACCCAUUUCGAGCUUCACGCCUUCAAUUCUGAUGACACAAAAGACAUCAACAGAGUAGAAGAAUUCAACCCAACUCCCAUAAUGAACCCAAGUUUUCGAUUCCGCUUCACCUGAUGGGAAGAAGUUUACGAGUGAGAAAGGUCUAAAGGUACAAAUAUAUUGUCUUCCCCCUUUCUUAUUGCGGUGCUUAAAUUGGUUUUGCCCCACUUUGCAUCAUAAUGAUGUUGGAGUAUAUCGGUUUUCUACUGGUAUUCAGAUACUUAAAAUGGGAAAUUGCGUUUGAAAAUAUCGUUUUCAUUGUUCGAAUGUUUUUUAAAUCAUCUGUUGAUCCAAAAUUUUCAUUUUUCUGUUGAUCUUCUUCUAUCUUUAGUUUUACAUGUCUUCUGAUUGAGUUAUAAUACAUUCCUUGAUUCUAUAGAAGAUGAGAAAUCGUCAAAUGCCUACAAGUGGAGUCUGCAAAAAGUAGAGUUUACGCAUACUUUAUUCCUACCUUGUCAAUUGAAUAAUAGACUCAAAAUUCAAGUAAUAGAUAGCUGCUUCAGGUCCUCUGGCUACUGCUAUAUUAUAAAAAUGCCUUCUAAAUUCGACAUAUAUAUUCUUUAACUGUAGUUUCUCUUGCAACAACAACAACAAAUCCUUAUGUUUCUAUGACCCUUGAUUCUAAGAUUUUUAUCAACCUUCAAUCUUCAAAAAUUAUCGAUUCGAUCCUUCAGAUGCAUCUCCCUUAACCACUCUGAACCCGGUGGCUUUCCCAUGCAAAGAAAAUUGGCUGAAUCCCGUGAAAUUACUAGCUAGUACCUCUCGACAUCUUUGUAAAAGAGUAGAGAAGUCACGAUCAAGACAAUAGGUGAAUCUCGUGAAAUUAACUUAAAUCUAAUAUAAAAAUAAUAUAACCUUUAACUUGGCCUCAACUCAUAUAUAUGCCCUCCAACUUUGGAUGUGCGCAGGUAGAGACUUAAAUUUGUAUAGAGUUGAAUAAAUAGACACAAACGACCUAAGUGACAUCUUACAUGACAAUUUUCAUCUUACGUGGUGUCUUGUGUGCAUUAUGCCACGUAAGGCACAUGUGUUUAUUUGUUCAAUUUUAUGCAAUUUAAAGUGUCUAUUUGUGCAUACCCAAAGUUGGAGGACACAAAUGUGAAAUGAGGUCAAGUUAAAGGCCAUAUUAUUCAAAUUUCAUAGGGUUUGAAGUUUCAAUUUCAUUGAUGGAUAACGUUACAAUUUUGGUGCAACACAAUGGAACUUGAGAUUCAAACAACCACUAUGACCAAAGAACAAAAAAAACGGUUAACCGAGAGUCCUUGCCCGACAAAAAGCAAGGGUUUGCUUGUAGAAUGGGGGUAGGGCCGACAAUUUUUCUGGAUAGAUCGAACUAUUGGAAGAAAAUAAAAAAGAAAGACCGAGUGUUGUCACAUUGAUGCAAUUCUAGUCAAUUCCAUUUCCAAUUCAUAGAUCUAGUCACAAAUUUACCUUUUUUAUCCUUGGCGGAAUGUAAUGGAUAGUUCUAGAUAUAUGAAGAAAAUGUAUUUAUUAGUGUAAAUUUACUUCUUUACCCUUGGUCUUUCUUUGUCUUCACAUUUCUGUAUAGUAGAAAAGAAAAACACAAGAGGUCAUUUCUAGAUAAUUUAACAUCUAAAAUCAUCCAAACAACGAUCUACCUGGCCUCAACUAUUAGCGAGUUUUAAUUAUUAUUUUUUCUUGAUCGGAUUUUGGUAACGAUAGAUUCUUUGCUUAGUUGGCGAAAGUUUUAUUUCCAAUAUAAAAUGUGAAUUUUGGUGGUAUGUGGUCCCCACUAAAUUAUAGGUCAACUCUUUUUUUCCUUUUUAAAAUAGGAAUAAUACAUAAACAAUUUCUUAGUACACGUUAGAACUUACUAUAUAUGCUUAGAGUAAUUAUUUAAUUCUACACCAUAACUCCACGUUAUUGCCACUAUACCAAAAAGUCAAGCCUCCCAAUUUGAAACCAUCCAUUUAUUCCAACCUAUCCAAUAAAUUAAAGCUUGAGGCAAUCCUCCCAAUUCGAAAAGUCUUUUUCUAAACAUAUGACAUGUAUUUAUUGGUUUAUUGUAAAUAACAAAUACNNNNNNNNNNNNNNNNNNNNNNNNNNNNNNNNNNNNNNNNNNNNNNNNNNNNNNNNNNNNNNNNNNNNNNNNNNNNNNNNNNNNNNNNNNNNNNNNNNNNNNNNNNNNNNNNNNNNNNNNNNNNNNNNNNNNNNNNNNNNNNNNNNNNNNNNNNNNNNNNNNNNNNNNNNNNNNNNNNNNNNNNNNNNNNNNNNNNNNNNNNNNNNNNNNNNNNNNNNNNNNNNNNNNNNNNNNNNNNNNNNNNNNNNNNNNNNNNNNUAGCUGCUUCAGGUCCUCUGGCUACUGCUAUAUUAUAAAAAUGCCUUCUAAAUUCGACAUAUAUAUUCUUUAACUGUAGUUUCUCUUGCAACAACAACAACAAAUCCUUAUGUUUCUAUGACCCUUGAUUCUAAGAUUUUUAUCAACCUUCAAUCUUCCAAAAUUAUUGAUUCGAUCCUUCAAAUAUGUCUCCCUUAACCACUCUGAACCCGGUGGCUUUCCCAUGCAAAGAAAAUUGGCUGAAUCCCGUGAAAUUACUAGCUAGUACCUCUCGACAUCUUUGUAAAAGAGUAGAGAAGUCACGAUCAAGACAAUAGGUGAAUCUCGUGAAAUUAACUUAAAUCUAAUAUAAAAAUAAUAUAACCUUUAACUUGGCCUCAACUCAUAUAUAUGUCCUCCAACUUUGGAUGUGCGCAGGUAGAGACUUAAAUUUGUAUAGAGUUGAAUAAAUAGACACAAACGACCUAAGUAACAUCUUACAUGAAAAUUUUCAUCUUACGUGGUGUCUUGUGUGUAUUAUGCCACGUAAGGCACAUGUGUUUAUUUGUUCAAUUUUAUACAAUUUAAAGUGUCUACUUGUGCAUACCCAAAGUUGGAGGACAUAAAUGUGAAAUGAGGUCAAGUUAAAGGCCAUAUUAUUCAAAUUUCAUAGGGUUUGAAGUUUCAAUUUCAUUGAUGGAUAACGUUACAAUUUUAGUGCAACACAAUGGAACUUGAGAUUCAAACAACCACUAUGACCAAAGAACAAAAAAAACGGCUAACCGAGAGUCCUUGCCCGACUAAAAGAAAGGGUUUGCUGGUAGAAUGGGGUAGGCCGACAAUUUUUCUGGAUAGAUCGAACUAUUGGAAGAAAAUAAAAAAGAAAGACCGAGUGUUGUCACAUUGAUGCAAUUCUAGUCAAUUCCAUUUCCAAUUCAUAGAUCUAGUCACAAAUUUACCUUUUUAUCCUUGGCGGAAUGUAAUGGAUGGUUCUAGAUAUAUGAAGAAAAUGUAUUUAUUAGUGUAAAUUUACUUCUUUACCCUUGGUCUUUCUUUGUCUUCACAUUUCUGUAUAGUAGAAAAGAAAAACACAAGAGGUCAUUUCUAGAUAAUUUAACAUCUAAAAUCAUCCAAACAACGAUCUACCUGGCCUCAACUAUUAGCGAGUUUUAAUUAUUAUUUUUUCUUGAUCAGAUUUUGGUAACGAUAGAUUCUUUGCUUAGUUGGCGAAAGUUUUAUUUCCAAUAUAAAAUGUGAAUUUUGGUGGUAUGUGGUCCCCACUAAAUUAUAGGUCAACUCUUUUUUUCCUUUUUAAAAUAGGAAUAAUACAUAAACAAUUUCUUAGUACACGUUAGAACUUACUAUAUAUGCUUAGAGUAAUUAUUUAAUUCUACACCAUAACUCCACGUUAUUGCCACUAUACCAAAAAGUCAAUCCUCCCAAUUUGAAACCAUCCAUUUACUCCAACCUACCCAAUAACUUGAAGCUUGAGGCAAUCCUCCCAAUUCGAAAAGUCUUUUUCUAAACAUAUGACAUGUAUUUAUUGGUUUAUUGUAAAUAACAAAUACUUUUUCUUUCUCUAAUUACUUGUCCAUUUUUCCUUUUUUAGUUGUCCCUAAUUACUUGUCCAUUUUGACAAAUUAUUUUUACCUAUUAUACCCUCAAUUAAUUACUAUGAAAAAGAUAGAACUUCUUGAAAAUCUUAAAUUUUUAAUUCACCCACUUCAUAAUUUAAUAGGGGUAAAAUGGUAAACUCACUAUGUCAAUUAUUGUUUUCUUAAUAGGUGUGUCAAUUCAAAAGUGGACAAGUAAUUAGGGACAGAGGGAGUACAAUUAAGUUUUCACCUAAUCCCAGUUUGCUUGAUAAUAAUUUACUAUGUGGUGUUUUAGCUCUCACUAUCAAGAGGAACUUUAUCCUAACGAUUCAAGCUUGAAAGCUCUUAUUAAAUAUGAGAAAAUUAUGUGAAUACUUAAUUAAUUAGAUUAUAAUUUAGUAUAGAAACAAAAUAAUGAUUUAACUUUUGCCUAACAUUCUUUCCAUUUUUAGUAUAACUAAUUUCUCAUCACAUGCAUAGCACGUGGAGCUUCGACUUCUGAGUAACAACAAAAACUUGGUUAAACAUAUUUUUUAAAUUACCAAAUUUAAACUACAAAAUAAAGUUUAUUAAUGUUUCUUGAAGAACAUUAUAACAAAUUUACUCCUAUAUAUUUUGACAGACGUUAAUUAGUAAAAAAAAUCAUCCAACACUCUAUUAAUAUUUCUUGAAAAACAUUAUAACAAAUGUGUACUUUUUAAAAUUUUAUUGAAUCUUUACUUAAUAUUUAUAUUGAGUUAAAUAUUAGACAUGGUAGCUUUUGCUUUUAUACCUACUAGUCUUUGGGAACGUGCUUUGCACGUUUGUCCCAUAUUAUUACUAUUAUAAAACUUCUUUAUAUUUUAAAAAUUGAAUUAUAAAAUAGAAAUUGUUGAAAUUUAAAAUAUUAAUUCACUUUCCAUGUUUUCUGAUAGGCACACCAUAUAGUUUAAAUGUGAACAUAAGCAAGGUUGGUUAUGUUUUCAAAUGCUUCACAUCUUAAAAUUUAUGUCAUGACUUUCAGAAACUGGGAAUUCCUCCUCUUAUAGUCGUAUGCAUAACAAGAAGUUGUUGCGAAUGAAAGUAGUAUUUUGUAAAUAUUGAACAAAAAGUUGAUCAAUAUAUGUCUUCUUUAAUAUGGCUAUAAUAUCAUUGUCAAUUUUAUAGAAUACACCUAGUAAUAAAAGUAGUAAUUAUAUUAUGACGAAGAUAAUAAAUUAUUACUGACAUCAAAAAAUUGAAUCAAUAUAUAUUAAUUAUAAUUGCAUGUACAUGUAUAUCCUUUCUUUGAUUCAAGAUUAGGAUUUCUUUAACAUAAGAAUAUUAUUUGUAUGAUUGAAAUAUAAUAAGAAUCAAUCUCUAUUCAAGAACAUUUUCUUUCAUAUGAAAAUUUGACAUAAGAGUAUUACUUGUAUUGUUUAAGUAUAAUUGCAUUAGGAAAUACAAUAAGAAUCAAUCCUUAUUAAAGAACAAGGGACUUGAUAUAAAAAGUUGAAAUAUGUAAAAGAUGUUAAAAAGUAUAAGAUCUAAAUAUCCUGAAAAUUAUACAGAUAAUUUCUCAAAUCUAAAAAAUCUUAUUUCUAUAUUACGUUUCCUACAAACUAUAUUUUAUGUAUGUGAAAUAAUAAAAUUGAUAAAAAGAGAGUUGUAAAUAGCAUAUCCAGUAUGUACCGGAUGAUGAGAAGUGAAGAGCACACAGUUUCCAAACAAAAUCUGAAAUGAAGAGAAAUAAAUAAGAAUUAGUUAGCAAACUCAAGGAAAUCUUCAUAUAUUAAAUAUAUAUUGUUGAGAACUAAAAUGAGCAUAAGAGGAAUAAAGUAGUUACCAAUCAACAAUAUAUAUUUAUAUAUUUAAACUUUUAUGGCAUAUAGCUGCUAAUCUAUAUAUAUUAUAUAAAGCUUAAAGAUGAAAGAUUAAUGUGACUUGAGUUGUAUAAAAUCACUGCACAUGCACUAUAUAUUACUCCAAUUCUAUUUGACAAGGAACAUGAAAAGUUCACAUAACCGUUGGAAGCUCAAGGGAAAAAAUAGUAAAUGUGAGAUAUGAAAUAGUAGGAUUGUAAAUUGAGUUUAAGUAAUCUGUAUUAGGUUAAUUAAUGGGGAGAUGAAAAGAUUUUAUCAAUUAAAUGUAGUUAAAUUACUGAUAAAUAACUUUUUUUUAAAUGAUAAAAUGAUUACUCAACUUUUAACUAUUUAAUAUUUUAUUAUUUACAUGUUUUAUAACAUUUUUAUUUAGUCUAGGGGCAAAAUGAUAAUCCAACUUUGAAUGUUGGAGCUUCCCACUUAUAAUAAUAAUAUAUGAUUAUUAUCAAGGUAUGUGGUCCCCACCAAACUAUAGGUCAACUCAUUUUCCCCCUUUUAAAAAUAGGAAUAAUACACGUUAGAACUUAAUAUAAGCUUAGAAUAAUUAUUUAAUUCUACACCAUAACUCCACGUUAUUGCCUCUAUACAAAAAAAAAGUCAAUCCUCUCAAUAUAGCUUGAGGCAAUCCUCCCAAUUUGAAAAGUCUUUGCGUGAACAUAUGUCAUGUAUUUGUUAGUUUAUUGUAAAUAACAAAUACAAAUAAGUUUUCACGUAAUCUAAAUUUGCUUGGAAUGUUUUAGCUCGCACUAUCAAGAGAAACUUUAUCACAACGAUUCAAGCUCGAAACUUCUAAUUAAAUACGACAAAAUUAUAUAUAUAAAGAAAAUUAUAUAUAACAAAACAACUACAAGGGAGAAAUUUUAAUCAUUUCACUGUACCUCUUGAUGUUAUCAAAUUCCCAACUUGACAUGUUUUCAAGUAUAAAAAAAUAUUAUGAAGACAAAGUCUUGUUGGGGGGAAAAGUCAUACUCAUGGAAAAGACAGCUUAAAUUUAUUUAUUUUCCUAUAGCUGUCACUGUAGAAAACUAUUGUUGUACCAUUCUUGUUUGCAAAUCACUCUUAGCAUUCAACAGGUAAAGUAAACUUGUUAGUAAUUGAACAUACAAACAUUUUAUCUUUCUCUAAACUAUUGUUCUCACUUUACUUGUUUUGUUUUGCAGAUUUCAGAAAUGGAGAUUGGGUUAGCAGUUGGUGGUGCAUUUCUCUCUUCAGCUUUGAAUAUUCUCUUUGAUAGGCUUGCUCCUCAUGGUGAUCUGCUCAACAUGUUUUGGAAGCAUAAGGAUCAUGUUCAGCUUUUACACAAGCUGCAGGACAUUUUGCUUGGUCUUCAGAUUGUGCUAAGUGAUGCAGAGAAUAAACAAGCAUCAAAUCGACACGUGAGCCAGUGGCUUCAUAAGUUUCAGAGUGCUGUAGACGGCGCUGAAAACUUGAUAGAAGAAGUCAAUUAUGAAGCUUUGAGGCUUAAGGUGGAAGGCCAGCAUCAAAAUCUUGCAGAAACAAGCAAUAAACAAGUAAGUGACCUUAACCUGUGCUUGACUGAUGAAUUUUUCCUUAACAUAAAGGAGAAGUUGGAAGAAACCAUUGAAACAUUGGAGGUGUUGGAAAAGCAAAUUGGUCGCCUUGGCUUAAAGGAUCAUUUUGGUUCGACUAAACAAGAAAUUAGAACACCUUCAACUUCUUUGGUUGAUGAUUCUGGUAUCUUUGGAAGGCAGUAUGAUAUAGAGAAUUUGGUUGGUCGUUUAUUGUCUAAGAAUACAAAGGGAAAUAAUCUGGCUGUAGUUCCUAUUGUUGGAAUGGGCGGCCUGGGUAAGACAGCACUUGCUAAAGCGGUUUACCAUGAUGAGAGGGUGAAGAACCAUUUUGGUUUGAAAGCUUGGUAUUGUGUUUCUGAGCCAUAUGAUGCUUUGAGAAUAACGAAAGGGUUACUUCAAGAAAUUCACUCAUUUGACUCAAAGGAUGUCCACAACAAUCUUAAUCAGCUUCAAGACAAAUUGAAGGAAAGCUUAAAGGGAAAGAANNNNNNNNNNNNNNNNNNNNNNNNNNNNNNNNNNNNNNNNNNNNNNNNNNNNNNNNNNNNNNNNNNNNNNNNNNNNNNNNNNNNNNNNNNNNNNNNNNNNNNNNNNNNNNNNNNNNNNNNNNNNNNNNNNNNNNNNNNNNNNNNNNNNNNNNNNNNNNNNNNNNNNNNNNNNNNNNNNNNNNNNNNNNNNNNNNNNNNNNNNNNNNNNNNNNNNNNNNNNNNNNNNNNNNNNNNNNNNNNNNNNNNNNNNNNNNNNNNNNNNNNNNNNNNNNNNNNNNNNNNNNNNNNNNNNNNNNNNNNNNNNNNNNNNNNNNNNNNNNNNNNNNNNNNNNNNNNNNNNNNNNNNNNNNNNNNNNNNNNNNNNNNNNNNNNNNNNNNNNNNNNNNNNNNNNNNNNNNNNNNNNNNNNNNNNNNNNNNNNNNNNNNNNNNNNNNNNNNNNNNNNNNNNNNNNNNNNNNNNNNNNNNNNNNNNNNNNNNNNNNNNNNNNNNNNNNNNNNNNNNNNNNNNNNNNNNNNNNNNNNNNNNNNNNNNNNNNNNNNNNNNNNNNNNNNNNNNNNNNNNNNNNNNNNNNNNNNNNNNNNNNNNNNNNNNNNNNNNNNNNNNNNNNNNNNNNNNNNNNNNNNNNNNNNNNNNNNNNNNNNNNNNNNNNNNNNNNNNNNNNNNNNNNNNNNNNNNNNNNNNNNNNNNNNNNNNNNNNNNNNNNNNNNNNNNNNNNNNNNNNNNNNNNNNNNNNNNNNNNNNNNNNNNNNNNNNNNNNNNNNNNNNNNNNNNNNNNNNNNNNNNNNNNNNNNNNCUCUAAGCAAGAGGGUGCAGCAUAACAUACUGCCAAGACUAAGAUCCUUGAGGGCAUUAUCAUUGUCUCAUUACAAGAUUAAGGAGUUGCCAAAUGACUUAUUUAUCAAAUUAAAGCUCCUCAGAUUUUUGGAUAUUUCUCGGACAGAGAUUAAAAGGUUGCCAGAUUCCAUUUGUGUGUUGUAUAACUUAGAGACACUUCUCCUGUCAUCUUGUGAUUAUCUUGAGGAGCUACCACUGCAGAUGGAGAAGUUAAUCAACUUGUGUCAUCUUGACAUAAGCAACACUUCUCUCUUGAAGAUGCCACUAUAUCUGAGCAAGUUGAAAAGCCUCCAAGUGUUAGUGGGAGCCAAGUUUCUUUUAGGUGGUUUGAGAAUGGAAGAUUUGGGUGAAGCACAGAACUUGUAUGGAUCUCUAUCAGUUGUAGAGUUGCAAAAUGUGGUUGAUAGUCGGGAAGCUGUGAAGGCAAAGAUGAGGGAGAAGAAUCAUGUUGACAAGUUAUCUUUGGAGUGGAGUGAAAGUAGUAGUGCCGACAAUUCAGAAACUGAAAGAGACAUACUUGAUGAACUACGCCCACAUAAAAACAUAAAAGAAGUCGAAAUCACUGGAUAUAGAGGGACAAAAUUUCCAAAUUGGCUAGCUGAUCCUUUGUUUCUUAAGCUGGUGGAAUUAUCUCUUAGCAACUGCAAGGUCUGUUAUUCCUUGCCAGCACUAGGAGAACUCCCUUGUUUGAAAUUCCUUUCGAUUAGAGGGAUGCAUGUAAUAACAGAUGUGAUGGAAGAAUUCUAUGGUAGUUUGUCCUCAAAAAAGCCUUUUAACUCUCUUGUGGAGCUUAGAUUUGAAGAUAUGCCGGAGUGGAAGCAAUGGCACCUACUAGGAAGUGUAGAGUUUCCUAUCCUUGAGAAGCUUUUCAUUAAAAAUUUCCCUGAACUCAGUUUGGAGACACCCAUCCAAUUUUCAAGUUUAAAAAGGUUUCAAGUUGUUGGUUCUUCUAAGGUUGGAAUUGUUUUUAAUGAUGCUCAACUGUUUAGAUCCCAACUUGAGGGAAUGAAGCAGAUUGAAGAAUUAUAUAUUAGUGAUUGUAACUCUAUUACCUCCUUACCUUUUAGCAUACUGCCCACUACCUUGAAGAGAAUAAGGAUAUCUGGUUGCCGGAAUUUGAAAUUGGAUCCGCCAGUUGGUGAGAUGAGUAUGUUUCUCGAGGAAUUGAAUCUGAAGGGAUGUGAUUGUAUAGAUGAGUUGCUCCCAAGAGCGCACAAAUUGAGAAUUUGGAGUUGCCAGAACCUUACUAGGUUUUUGAUUCCAACUGCGACUGAAAUACUCAAUAUUUGGAAUUGUGAGAAUCUUGAAAAACUUUCAGUGGCAUGUGGGGGGACCCAGAUGACGUGUUUGAAUAUUUGGGACUGUAAGAAGCUGAAGUGGCUGCCAGAACGUAUGCGGGAACUCCUUCCAUCUCUUAAGGAACUACAUUUGUGGGAUUGUCCAGAAAUAGAGUCCUUUCCUGAAGGAGGAUUGCCCUUCAAUUUACAAGCCCUUCGGAUCAAAUAUUGCAAGAAACUGGUGAAUGGGCGAAAGGAGUGGCGUUUACAGAGACUCCCCUGUCUCAAAAAGGUAACCAUCUUACAUGAUGGCAGUGACGAAGAGAUUGUUGGUGGUGAGAAUUGGGAGUUGCCUUCCUCUAUUCAAAGACUUUUUAUAGAGAAUCUGAAAACAUUAAGCAGCCAACAUCUCAAAAGCCUCACCUCUCUUCAAUCUCUACGUAUUGGGGGUAAUUUACCUCAAAUUCAGUCAAUGUUGGAACAAGGCCAGUUUUUGCACCUCACUUCGCUUCAACGUCUACAAAUCAUUGAUUUCCCUAAUCUCCAAUCUCUUCCAGUAAAAGGGAUGCCAUCUUCCCUCUCUACACUAGAUAUUCGUGACUGUCCAUUGCUCACACCACUACUAGAAUUUGACAAGGGGGAAUACUGGCCAAAUAUUGCUCAUAUCUCCACCAUAAAGAUCAAUGAGAAAUGCCUUUAAUGAUUAAAACAAAUGGUGCUCUCACAAAUGUAAGUUUUUCUUUUUCCUCAUAAGCAUUCUUUUUUCUUUAACUUCCUUUGCUUUUAUGUUAAUUCUUUUUCUUUAUUACAUUCUCGUUGCGCAGUAUGGAGUGUCUAUUGCCACUCUGAAACUGAGAAAUCAUCUUCAGAUUAUAAUUAUUUUAAUUUUAGAUCUCAUUAGCAAUUAAUGUUACAUAUCUUACUCGAAGAUUUUUAUCGCUUGAACUUUCAUCUCAAUAGCAAUUCAUGUGUUCUUAUUAUUUCCCUUUUCAGUCAGUUUAGAGUCAUCCACAUGUCCACUAUCGAAUUCAAAACUAUAAUAGAAUCCAAAGGUGUACCAUACACAAGAUUUGUUUCCUAUGUAUCAAAAAUACAAAUGUUUGCCUCCCAAUAAAUUUAACACCUAAAAGCAUCAGCACUAUUCAGGUUUUUAUUAAUGAUUCAGCCCCAUCAUAGAGAUCGAUUGGGAAUACAUGUGAUGAUUAAAACAGAUGGCUCUCCAACUGAUGUAAGUUAUUCUUUUCCAUCAGAAGCUUUUUAUUUUUGUUUACUUCACUUUGAUUUUUUGUUGAUUCUUUUCCUUUUUAAAACCUUGUUGAGCAGUGUGGAAUGUCUAUUGCUCAAGAAAGUUGAUUGCUUAAUAUAUGUUAGCAGGAUGUCAUCACCUUUGGAGAUAAAGGGUCCAAGAAAUACAACCUCACUUUCUCAAUCAGGUAGCCAACACCUUGAUAAGAGUUACAUCAAGCUUCAAAUUUAAAGAAAGUGAAAACAACUUAAAUUGCCUGAUUCCAUUAUUGACGUCAUGUUGUACCACAUUGAUUUCAAGUUUGAUGCGACUGCAUUAUUACAUCAGUUUUUUUUUCAUAUUCAAAGAUCCAGAAUAUUACAUUAGUUUUUUGGUUUUGAUAUGCAGAGAACUUUGAGGAUUAUGAAGUUUCCUUCAAAUUAUGUCCGUUACUCAACCUCGAGUGGCACCUUACAGCUAGUGGGAAGUCAAGAAAGUAUAUCCUGCUCGGAAUGAAGUCAAGGUUAGAUAAUUAAAUAAUGAUUUACUGGUGUUUCAGUUACUAAGAUGCUUAUUUUGUAGUAAUAGUUUGCACUCUCAUAAAUCAGCGAAAUAGAUUUCCUUCAUUGGCACUCUCAUCAGUCAUCAAUCAGCGAAACAGAGAAAUCAACGGUUUCAAAAUUCUCUGGAACCCAUUUCAAGCUUCACGCCUUCAAUUCUAAUGACACCCAAGACACAGAAGACAUCAACAUAGUAGAAGAAUUCAACCCAAUACCCAUUUCAACCCAAGUUUUCGAUUCCUGCUUCACCUGAUGAGAAGAAGUUUAUGGGUGAGAAAGUUACAAAGCUGAAAAUAUCUUCUUCUAUCUUUUGUUUUACACAUCUUCUGAUUGAGUUAUAAUACAUGCCUCGCUUCUAUACAAGAUGAGAAACCAUAAAAUGCCUUUAUGAAGUGUUUGCGAAGUUGAUGUCACCUAAUUCAGAUUUCACUGAAUUAAUUUUUGAACCAAAUUAAUGCAUAUGUUUGCUCUAACGUUGAAAAGGAAAAACGUUGAAUGAUAUGGAUAUUUUCCUUUUAAGAAUACAAAGUCGCGAUAAAGGUAGAAAAUUUAGAUGGUAUUAAUUUUGAUAUGGAUCACCGUUGAGAACUUUGCCUGAGGUAUUAAAUUCUAUUUUCCCUCUUUAGAAAUGUUUCAUGUAGCUCCUAAUUGUGAUGCUUCAUUUACAUAUUUUUAAAAUUUGAUCAUAUAACAGGGAUAGAGUGUGUCCGAGUCAAUUUGAUGUUACAGACUUGCAGCUAACUGUUGUGCGUUAUAUAAUUGCAUAUUUCUUAGACACCAGAUAUGACCAAGUUCCAUCUACAAUGUUAACAGAAUCUUUGAUAGGUAAAGGAGGCAGACAAAAAAGCUAAACAUCUUUUUUCUUCCGUAUAGCUCCCAGGCAACUACACAAGGCAAUGCUUGAUAUAAGGGCUUUAGAUAUACAUUUGCAGGGUGUUUAUCGUAUGAGUAAGGAAAUCACUGUCUUCGCUCCCAGCAGACAGUGAUUGGAAGAUCCAUCCUCGCAUCACUUAGCACCUUCCAGCAGGCAAGCCUUUUUUUAAAAAAAUCUUCUCUUGCAUAUACUUUUGCAAUUUUAAACUUCAUUUUGAAUUGUGUUGUUGCUAACUUAAACAUGUUUGUGCUUAAUCAGAUGUGGAUUUUGAAGGGCUGUUGACACCCAAUUUUGACCCUCCCUGAUAAUAAUUAAUUUUCGAGCUUUUUAAAUUUCAAACAAUUUAAAAUAAUUAGCCUUGUAAAAUCCAAUUGGUUUCAAGAUUAUUUUAAGUAAUUUUCGUAGAUUUCUAUAGUAGUUUGAAUAAUAAAUAUAUUUUACAUAAUUAUUUAUGUAUUUAGUAUAUUUUAUAAAUGGUUGAAAUCCAUAUCAAAUGAUUUUUACAGUGUUAAAAUAAGUAGUUUAUUAAUUUGGUUUUAGUGUGAGUUAUAGUUUGAAUUUUGAACUAAUUAGUUUAUAUUUAAAUCAAUUACUUUGUAAUCAAGUUAGUUAUUUUAUUUUGUAUAGAUUAAGAAGCUCAUUAAUUAAUUUAUAUAAUUUCAUCUUGUCGAGCUUUUGGCCGAAUUCACAAAUCAAUUUCCAACCGGUUAAAUUUUCAACCUCAAUUGAUCAUAAUUUUAAUCGUAAUCCCUUUUUUUUUUAUUUCUAAGCUUGGUUCUUUUAUUUUUGCAAUCCAGCAGCCCAAACACUUAAAAAACAACCCAUCCCAAACACCAAUUUUCAGCUUCAAUUCCCAACCCAAUAAUUCCUGUGACCAAGCCCAAUUUCCCCUUUAACCCGGCCCACCCCAAUUCUAAAAGAAAUCAAUACAAUCCAAUGUUCCCUUUUUUUUCCUCUGUCAACGCAUCAAAUUCACGGCAACAACGACAAUCCCAAGCGGCGUGAGCAACAAUUCCUAAACGACACCAACAACAGCGUACAAACGACGCCCUAAAGUCCAUCAACUCACGGCGAUUCACGGAAAGCUCACGGCGCGAGAAAACGCGUGCCUAGUACAACAACAUACUGCUAUCCGUCGCCCUCUUCGCUGCAACAGUGCAGUUGCAGCAGCUGCUGUAACAGCGCAGGGUGUCCUUGAGGACGUAGGAUCGAGACACGUAGCAUCUCAAGGACAUCAAAUUGAUUGAAGUCGUCCAUCGCCCUUUCUCCUUCCGGAAUGAGACGAAUUUUCAAAGAAAAGGUGUCGUCCCAAAACGGGAAAAGAAUUUUUUGAAUUUGGAAUGGGCCUCGUUUCACCCGUUCUUUGCCCUAAUUUGAGGGAUAAAUAGUUCCGGAUCCUUCAGGUUUUAGGCAGGAUUUUCAGUUGCUGGAAAGGAAGAUAUAUAAACAUAAGAAUACAUAUAUAAAUGGAGAGCGAUAUUUAGGCAAAAGUCGACAAGAAAUUUGAUUCUUGUGUUCGCCUCUUGCAAGGCUCGUCGGAAUCUCGUUGUGGUAUUGGAGUUGCUGUUUCUCUGCUCGUGGUUCUCGGUUUCGCUGCACCCUUGAAGGUAACACUCAUCUCUCUUCAAGCAUAUCUUGCUCAUAAUGUGUCGUCGCUUGAUUCUUAAUGCGUGAGCCGUCUGCGUGAUAAUGUUUGGAGAAUACUUCGACUCAUUGCUUAUCAUAAAUCAGUAUGUAGCUGGUUUGUCUGCUUCUGGACACUGAUAAGAGUUGAGUUUUUCCGCCUCAUUUGUCUAUUGCUGCAUCUGUUGAUUUAUGUUGGUUAUAUUGUGACCUGGACUUUUGCAAAUGUAUUGGAAUAUUGGGUUUUUAUUGUUAUUACUCUUAUUGUCCUAGUUUUUCUAUAACACCUCUAUGAUCGGUUUCAAAAUUCCUAUUAAUCUUAUUCUGUGUCUAUUUGUUGUAAAUAUGCUUAUGGCUCAGGUUCUAGUGGCAAAUCGUAAUGUAUGCUUCAUGUUUAUUUGGAUUUGUUCACUUCGAUUUAAUAAUGAAACUUGUCAAAAAUCGGUGCUUACCUUAGCCCAUAGGUUGUUAUCUCCGAUAAUCUUAUGUUGCUAUUCAGGGGUCAAGCGUGUCGAAUUAUUAGCAGUCUAUCUAGCUAACGGUGUUCAUCAUAAGUAGCGGUUAUAUUCUUCUCAGAUAGUAGCUUAAGCUUUAACUGAUUUUUACUACUUUAGCAUGAUAUAACUCACCAAAUAUUUGAGGAAUCAGAUUAUUUCCCUUGGAUUUUCACUGAUGGUUGGCCCGUACUUGAGUUACUGUAAGUAGAACAUUUGGUCACGACUCGUUAGCUUAUCCACCAUAUAUUUAAUUCUUCCUGCAAAUAUUCAAAUGCUUGUCCUAUAUAAAAAAAUAAUAAUAUAUAUAUAUAUAUAUAUAUUAAUUUCUAUCCAUUAGUUUAUAGUGUUAUUUCCAGUGAAGUCCUUGAAUAUGCAUUUUAGUUGUUUGUGCUAGUAGCUGUUCAAUUAAAUAAUCUUUUUAUGUCUCAUAGUUUGAUGAAUCCAUGGCUGUUUACUGCUUCUUCGUUAGUAAAAUCGCUUAAUGAUGAUCAUGAAUUACUCAUGUUAAUUCUUUCCUUCCACUUUCCUUACAUGUGAUGCUUCGCCGAGUCUAUUUGGACUUUUCCCAUUGCCUCUUUGCAUUUUCGAGUAUCGAGUCAGCCCUCCGAUGUUCAAGAGUGAAAUGGAAUUGGCGUACAGGUGUUUGGAGCUGAUAUACGGGAUUGUAUACAUUAGUAUACACCUAGUGUAUACGAAAAAAUGAAAAAUGGGCAUAAAGUAGCCUUAAAUUUUCAGCUUUUGUAUUUUUGUAAUUAUUGGACUAAAAGCCCAUUUAUUUUGAUUAUUAUUGUGUUAGUUUAGGACAGGUACCAAGUGUUGGGCCAAAAGCCCCAAAAGCAGAAAUCAGGCCCAAGUAUUGGUCCAGGCGAACAAAAAAAAAAAAAAAAUCCAAACUUGGGCCCAACUCUCUUUCCCUCUUUACUUUAUUGUGUUCAUUUACUUACUAGUAUUUGUCGUUAGUCUUAAGGUCGAAAAAUUCAAAUCCCCGAAAAACGUCUAUUUUGAUUUAAUAAUUUAACUAAACCAGUCAUCUCUUAAACAAGACUUAAAGGAAUAAUUUUGCAGGAUAGCUCACUUAGACAAUAUUUAAAUAUUUCCUCUUUUCCCCCUUUAAAAAUAAGUUUUAACUAUAAAAUAGAUCAAUUUCGCAAGUCAAGCUAAGUUAAAAUUAUUUUAGUCAAGUAGUUAAUCGUCGGAUAACCACAUUAGUGGAUAUUUUAGGUGUCUUUAAAACCAUCCUAGAAUAUUAAUAAGAACCUCGAACCCCCCUUUUAAAAUUUUCAUUAGAUUCCAUGUUUUAAUCUUUUGAAAAAAUAGUUUUCUUGAUUUUUCUUAAAAAUUAAGUGGCGACUCUAAACCAGUCCAAAAUAAUAUUUUCUUAAAUAAAACAAGGGCGAGUACGACAAAUCUGGUCCAUCCAUUGUCCACAAGAAGUGCUUCUAAGGUGUUGCUGCUAUUUUUACAUUUGUUCGCGAGUUCUUUUUUAUUUUUUUUGUUCUUUCUGCUAAAGCUAUUAUGUCAUCCACAGUGAACUCAGGUCUGCUGUUAUAGGCAAGUCAUCGAGAUGGGGCUAUCAAAGAAGGGUGAUUAAAAACAUUGUACCGCUGAUACUAUUUCAUGUUUCCAGUGCAAGCCUCUUUUGUAAGUUGACAAACUCGAUUUGUAAAUAUGUUUGGGACUCAACUAGUGGUUAGAGUAUUGAUUUUGUAAGAUUUUUGUCCAGAAAAUCAAAUUAGAAAGAUUACUCGCGAUGAUUGAAUAAGCUCGAAGAAGUGGAUUUGAAUUUCAAUUCGUGUCUUUUUUUUAUGUGUGUGUGUGUGUGAGAAAUUUGAAGUGUUGUUUAGAUUUGUUGGAAUAGUCAAAAGACUAUAAAAUUUGAAGACAUUUGAUGGAGAUCUGAUUAGAUGAUUUUGAACAACAAUUGCAACUGAAGAUGGAUAUGUAUAUUAUUUUCGUAGUUAGCAACGUGUUAUAUAUUUUUAUAGUGGAUAUAUUGUUUUCUCAUUCGGUGAUGGGCAUCCACAUUGGAGUCCGACUAAAUUCGGAUUUGCACAUUUCGACAGGCGGCGCUCUUGACAUGAUUUUUUCCAUUCCACGGCUUAUGCUCCUAAAUUCUAAUUAAGGGUAGAAAAAUCUCAACUAUUUCACCACAACUCAUAUCCGUUAUAUUGGAUAUACAAGUGUAAACUAAAAAAUAUAACUAUGUAGGUGCAAGUAUUUUUGAAAAAAACCCAAAUAACUAGCCAAUAUAAAGAAAGAAUACUAAAUCCUACACUCCUAUGCACAUUCUACUGCAAAACACAAGUAGAAAAACUUCAAAUUUCGGCCAUGAAAUGACACCAUUUUCUCACACUCAAAAUGAUGUUAAAUUUCAUGAAUGAAACAAUACAUAUUACUUAGGUUGAAGCCCCAUUUUCUUCCUCGUUUUCCCACAGUAUAAAUCCUUAGACUUGAUCAUCCCAGGGACUAAUCCAACGAUCGUUGUGAACGAAAAUUGAGCCACUGCAUCUUGCCUUCCUAACUAAACGAUGAUCUUAGGCGAUGAUCGAGGCCCAUAUAUUGCAAGUUCGCAUUCUUUUCCUCCGCUCAUCAAAAGUCUCAAGUUCUUCGCGGCCACUAGAGCAUGUUUUUGAGCUGAAUAUCCUUGUUUAAGUUCCUGGUAAUGAAGAAGCAUUAGAAUUCAAUUGAAUAAUCCUAAGAACAUACACUGUAUAGUUCCACAAGUGGAGUCUAGGGAGGAUAGAGUUUACACUAACAUUACCCCCUACCUUGUCAGGUAAUAAUUCAAAUGAAUAAUAGAUUCGAAAAAUGCAAGUACUAGCUAGCUGCUUCAGGUCCUCUGGCUACUGCUAUAUUAUCAAAAAGAAUCAAGAUGCCUUUUAAAUCGACAACAUAUCCAAUGUAAUCCACAAGUGGAGUCUAGGGAGGGUUAUGUGUAAGCAGACCUUACCCCUAUCGUAAGGAAGAAAGUUUGUUUCCGAUACUAGGUUGUAGUUUCUCUGUUGCAACAAAACUAAAAAAUCACCACCCUUCACAUUUGGUCGAACAAUGCAGACUAAUAUCAAUCCAUGUCAUUUCAUGAAUAAGAUGUGAUCAAUUAACCAACCAAUUCCUAGCCAAUGAUGCUCUCUUCUAGCUUUACCUACAUGGCGAGGGAAAAAUCAAAGGCGAGGUGGAAAAUGGCCUGCUACAUCAAGAAAUAGAACUGACUAAUCCUAACUCCUAAGUCAGAGGGUCGAGAAACUCAAUACCACUAUUCUCAAACAACUUGGAGCAGGGCCUUCGUUCUGCACUAUUACUGAUAUGAAAAUAAUGGUCAAAAUCAGAUUAAAUUGUCAAUUGCCUCCAUUGGAAAUAUAGAAUUGACUAUUGACUUUGAAGGAACUGGAGUUACAUCUUCUUUUCCAUUCAAGAGAUUUUAUGCGUUUUCACGAUCUUUUAAGACCGUGAAAAAUGGACAAAUUUAUUUUCUUAGAAACACAUACAAGAUUCGUCACUACAAAAAGCAUAUAUUUUCAAGAAAUAAGAGAUAUGCAGUUUAGUGCUUACCUUAAUAUCAGUUAUAUCUCCAACAGCAAAUAUGUUUCUAUGACCCUUGAUUCUAAGAUUUUCAUCAACCUUCAAUCUUCCAAAAUUACGAUUCGAUCCUUCAAAUACGUCUCCCUUAACUACUCUGAACCCGGUGGCUUCCCCGUGCUAAGAAAAUGGCCAUCCUCUCUGAUAGUUUCCCCAGACGAGGUGAAAUAUGUUCUGUUUCCAACCGAGCUGUACAUGUUAUUACUCAUAUCGACAGAUUGCAUCAAUUUCACUUCCAUAUUCUUGUUUUUAACCAUUCUAAAUUCUAGUAGUCUAGAUCCAUCUUGCACCAAAGUUACCUUCUUCUGAGGAAAAUCGACAGUGAUUUCUGCAGCAAGUUUAACACUAGUAGGCCACCACCAACAAUCAAUACUGCUUUUAUCUUUUCAUUCUCUGCAACAAAGAACCUCGCAACAUUUUGACUAGUACAUCUCAACAUUCAUCACAAGACAAUUGACUGAAUCCCGUGAAAACUUGCUAGAGGAGCCGGUUUACAAAUAAAUAAUCUCCGCCUAAUGGAUACAGAACACCCAUGCUUUAGCUUUGUUUUAUCAUUUCCCGUAAAGGACAUCAAAAACAGCCUAGCCUCUCGCCAUUUUGACUUGUAAUAUACAACCUGACAAGACAAUCGCAAAAGAAAAGAUCUAAUCACUAGUAUGUCUCGACGUACAACAUAUCCAAUGUAAUCCCACAAGUGGUAUUUGGGGAGGGUAAGAUGUACACAUACUUUACCUCUACCUUUGCGGGGUAGGGAGGUUGCUUCCUGUAGACCCUCGGCUCAAAAGAAAUGAAGAAAUAAUAGCAUCGUGCAAGAAUAUAUGAUAAACAAAAUUACAUUAUACAAAGCAAAUGAAGCAACAUAUAGUAAUAUACACUGGAAAAAAAGGAAGCUACGCAAUUACUAAAUAUUAAUACUAGUACAUCUCGAACUCUUUGUGAAAUAGUAGAGCAGUCAUGAUCAAGACAAUUGGCUGAAUCAAAUUAAAUAAAACCUGACAGAAGAGCCGGUUUACACAUAAAGAAUCUUUUCUCAACAGAUACAAAACACUAAUGCUUUAGCUUCUUUUUAUCAUUUUCCAAAAAAGUUGACACGAUUAUUUGAUUUCAACAAAACUUUCCACGAUAAACGUACAAGUAAUUUGCUCGUUGAAAAGCAGACAAUAUGGUAAAUCUAACGAAUUAAGCACAACUAUCUAAACCAACUUCAACUCACCACACUAAAUUUUAAACUAAAAAAAAAUAUUCUCUUUAUAUUCUUCUUAUAAUGGUAUAUUAAAUUAUAAUUUAUAGUAAAGGUAUAUUAAAUUACAUUUUAUAAAAUUAUAAUGUAAUGUUAUUUAUUAAUAAUGUAUUAUAUUUGCAUUUUAAUAACGGUAUAUUUUCUCUACCUAGCUCAUGAUUUUUGUUGUUUCAACUUUUCCAGUGACUUCAUUUAGAGUUGCACCCUUGUGCUUUGAUAAAAUGCAGAAUCUUAUGUAUAAAAAAAUACAAGAGGUCAUUUCUAGAUAAUUUAACAUCUAAUGAUCUAAUAAAGCAUCUUGUUUCAGUUGGUGAAAGUUUAUAUCCAAUAAAAAUAUGUCAAUUUGGUGGUAUGUCAGUCCCCACCAAAGACUAAACUAUAGGGUCUCAACUCAUUACUCAUGGUGGCAUGUAUCUAUUGAUUUAUUGUAAAAAAAAAUACGAAUGUGUCUUCAUCCCAUCUGAAUUUGCUUGGUAAUAAUUUACUAUAUAUGAGGUGUUUUAGUUCGCACUAUCGAGAGGACUUUAUUACAAUUUUCAACCAAGAGAAAAUUUUAUCUCUGAUCUUGUAUAUAAGAAAACAACUACAAGGGAAAACUUUUAUCAUUUUACCAAAGCUCUUGGUGUUAUCGAAUUUCCAACUUCUUGACGUGUUUUCAAGUAUAAUAAAUUUAUGAUAGUAUAGAAAGAAAGAAAUGAAAAUAAAACAUUAUUGUUGGGUGAAAAGUGAUACUCAUGGAAAGGACACAGGGGCGGCUCAACGUAACUGGAGGCCUAAAGCGAAAUUUUAUUUGAGGCCUAAAAAAAAUCAUACAUAUUUAUUUAAAAAUUAUUUUUCUAAUUGUUUAGAUGCACAUUAUUACUUCAACUUUUUAAUAGAUGAUUUAUUUGAGUACUUUUUUAAAAAAAAUUAAUUAAUUUUAGGUAAGAUUUUAUCAAUUCAAUGCUGAAAAAUAUCCUUUUACUAAAGCAAUCAUUAUAUGAAUUGUUAACAUAAUUCUCUAAGGAAUAAGUUGACAAACUUUAAGCAAAAUAAGAGUUAGAACCAUAGAAUCUGAUUCAAGACGUUGAUAACUUGAUAUACCUAACUUUGAUUGAAAAUUUAAGUUAAAAAAAAAUUGCGAUUCACUUUGUUCAACAUUGUUCGACUAAUGAUUCAGAUUUAUGAUAGAGUAUUACUUUAACUUAUCAAAGAUUUGUAGAAAAAGAGUGAAAAAGGAGUUUUAAAAUAAAUAAAUAAUGUGAAUAUUAGUUAGCAAAGAAAUGUAAUAAGACAAAACAACGUUNNNNNNNNNNNNNNNNNNNNNNNNNNNNNNNNNNNNNNNNNNNNNNNNNNNNNNNNNNNNNNNNNNNNNNNNNNNNNNNNNNNNNNNNNNNNNNNNNNNNNNNNNNNNNNNNNNNNNNNNNNNNNNNNNNNNNNNNNNNNUGUCCGCAUCCCCCACCCACCCCACCCAAAAUAAAUAAAAUAUCCUUCCUCUUUUGCCUCAAUUUUUCAAUUAUUCAAUUGAGAUAAAAGACUCUUGUUAUUAGGUGAAAAGUGAUGCUCAUGGAAAAGAUAAAAAAGGACAAUUUAAAUUACUUAUUAUUUUUUCCCUAUAGCUAUUAGUCGUGGGAAAAGGCAUCAAUUCCUCUUUAAAUUUGUCCCGAAAAGUCAGUUACAUGCUUAAACUAUUAUAGUGAUCUAUUACACACUUAUACUACUCAAAAGUAAAUUUUCUUACCCCUUAAAACUGACGUGGCAAAAAAAUAAAACAAAAAUAAAAAAUACGCGCGUCAGUUUGAAAUUAAAGUGAUAAAAAAAAGUUAGAAUCUUCUUUUCCACCCCACCCCAUACCUCUUCUUCUUCACACCCCACCCCUUGUCCUCUUCUUCUUCAUUCUUUAUUUUCAUCACACUUCUUUAUUUUUUUUAUCACAAUCUUAAAGCACAAUUUUGUUUUAUUCGCAAUAAGGUUAAUUCUCAUAGAUUUGUUAGUUUAUAAUUGUAUUUUAUCUAGAGAAGUUUCGGUUGAUUGUUUCUAUCUUUGUCAUUUUUUUGACUUUGUUAAAGAAAUUUUUGUUGUUGAUCAAUUUUUGGGUUUAGUGGUGAUAGCAACUUUAUGGGUUUGGUGGUGAUGGUGGUGGGUGAUAAAAAAUUAAAAGAGGUAAUUGAAGAUGGUGAUGAAGAAAAAAUCGAUAUUAAUAAUGGUGGUGGUGAUAUUUGGUGAUGGGUGACAAAGAAGAAGAAGAAUUGAAGGUGAUAUAGUGGUGGUGAAGAACAAAAUCAAUAGUGAAAGGUGGUUGGAUAUGAUUUUUCCGAUGAAAUGAGAAUUGAAAUUGGUGGGAUUUAGUGAUGAAGAAGAUAUAAUUAUUAGAGAAUUAAAGUAAUUAAUAAGAGUAAAAUAUAGUUAACAAAAGAAAAGUUAAUUAAUAAAGAAAAGAAAAUAAAAAAUUAUAAUUUAUGACAUGGCGCUGAUGUAGCGGUGAUGUGGCAACGAGUGUAAUGCACCACAUAAUGUAAGAGUGGUAUUACACGUUUUAGGGUGGUAAUAAAUUCACUUUUGAGUAUUAAAGGUGUGUAAUAGGUCACUAUAAUAGUUUAAGCGGGUAACCGGGACAAGUUCAAGGGGAAUCUAUGACUUUUCCCAUCAGAUGUUGACCAUACAAAACUAUUAUCUUCUCAAAAUCAUUUUGUGUGUUUCCUUGUUUUGCUUUGCAGAUUUCAGAAAUGGAGAUUGUCUUAGCAGUUGGUGGUGCAUUUCUCUCUUCAGCUUUGAAUGUUCUCUUUGAUAGGCUUGCUCCUCACGGUGAUCUGCUCAACAUGUUUCGGAAGCAUAAGGAUCAUGUUAAGCUCUUAAAGAAGCUGGAGGACAUUUUGCUUGGUCUUCAGAUUGUGCUAAGUGAUGCAGAGAAUAAGCAAGCAUCAAAUCGACACGUGAGCCAGUGGUUUAAUAAGCUUCAGAGUGCUGUGAACGGCGCUGAAAACUUGAUAGAAGAAGUCAAUUAUGAAGCUCUGAGGCUUAAGGUGGAAGGUCGGCAUCAAGAUCUCGCAGAAACAAUCAACAAGCAAGUAAGUGACCUUAACCUGAGCUUGAGUGAUGACUUCUUUCUAAACAUAAAGGUCAAGUUGGAAUACAUCAUGGAAACAUUGGAGGAUUUGGAAAAGCAAAUUGGCCGCCUUGGCUUAAAGGGGCAUUUUGGUUCGACGAAACAAGAAACAAGAACACCUUCAACUUCUUUGGUUGAUGAAUCUGAUAUCUUUGGUAGGCAGAGUGAAAUAAAGGAUUUGAUUGACCGUUUAUUGUCUGAAGAUGCAAGUGGGAAAAAGAUGACAGUAGUUCCUAUUGUUGGAAUGGGUGGCCUGGGUAAGACAACACUUGCUAAAGCCGUUUACAAUGAUGAGAGGGUGAAGAACCAUUUUGGUUUGAAAGCUUGGUAUUGUGUUUCUCAGGGAUAUGAUGCUUUGAGAAUAACGAAAGGGUUACUUCAAGAAAUUGGCAAAUUUAACUCAAAGGAUGUCCACAACAAUCUUAAUCAGCUUCAAGUCAAAUUGAAGGAAAGCUUGAAGGAAAAGAAGUUUUUUAUUGUUUUGGAUGAUGUGUGGAAUGACAACUACAACGAGUGGGAUGACUUGAGAAAUAUUUUUGUACAAGGAGAUAUAGGAAGUAAGAUCAUUGUGACGACACGCAAAGAGAGUGUUGCCUUGAUGAUGGGAAAUGAGCAAAUUAGCAUGGACAAUUUGUCAACUGAAGCCUCUUGGUCUUUAUUUAAAAGACAUGCAUUUGAAAACAUGGAUCCUAUGGAACAUCCGGAACUUGAAGAGGUCGGAAAACAAAUUGCAGCUAAGUGCAAAGGACUGCCCUUAGCUCUGAAGACGCUGGCUGGCAUGUUACGCUCCAAAUCAGAGGUUGAAGAGUGGAAACGUAUUUUGAGAAGUGAAAUAUGGGAGCUGCCAGACAAUGACAUAUUACCAGCGUUGAUGUUGAGCUACAAGGAUCUUCCGGCACAUUUAAAGCUAUGUUUUUCCUAUUGUGCAAUAUUUCCUAAAGAUUAUCCAUUUAGUAAAGAACAAGUCAUUCAUCUGUGGAUUGCCAAUGGUCUCGUACCAAAGGAUGAUGAGAGAAUUCAAGAUCCAGGCAACCAAUACUUUCUCGAAUUGAGAUCAAGAUCAUUAUUCGAAAGGGUCCCAAAUCCUUCUGAAGGGAACAUAGAGAAAUUCUUAAUGCAUGACCUUGUCAACGAUUUAGCCCAAAUUGCAUCUUCAAAACUUUGUAUCAGGUUGGAAGAGAGCCAAGGAUCUCAUAUGUUAGAAAAAAGUCAACACUUAUCAUAUUCAAUGGGAUAUGAUGGUGAGUUUGAGAAAUUGACACCCCUCUACAAAUUGGAGCAGCUGAGGACGUUGCUUCCGAUAUGUACUGAUGUCAGUUAUUACUCUCUGAGCAAGAGGGUGCAGCAUAACAUACUGCCAAGACUAAGAUCCUUGAGNNNNNNNNNNNNNNNNNNNNNNNNNNNNNNNNNNNNNNNNNNNNNNNNNNNNNNNNNNNNNNNNNNNNNNNNNNNNNNNNNNNNNNNNNNNNNNCAUUACCAGAUUAAGGAGUUGCCAAAUGACUUGUUUAUCAAAUUAAAGCUCCUCAGAUUUUUGGACCUUUCUCUGACAUAUAUUGAAAAGUUGCCUGAUUCUGUUUGUGGAUUGUAUAACUUGGAGACACUUCUCCUGUCAUCUUGUUAUAAUCUUGAGGAGCUACCGCUGCAGAUGGAGAAGUUGAUUAACUUGCAUCACCUUGACAUAAGCAACAGUUUUCGCUUGAAGAUGCCGCUACAUCUAAGCAAGUUGAAAAGCCUCCAAGUGCUAGUGGGAGCCAAGUUUCUUCUAAGUGGUUGGAGGAUGGAAGAUUUGGGUGAAGUACAUAACUUGCACGGAUCUCUAUCAGUUGUAGAGUUGCAAAAUGUGGUUGAUAGUAGGGAAGCUGUGAAGGCAAAGAUGAGGGAGAAAAAUCAUGUUGACAAGUUAUCUUUGGAGUGGGUUGGAAGUAGUAGUGCCGACAAGUCACAAACUGAAAGAGACAUACUUGAUGAGCUACGCCCACAUAAAAACAUAAAAGAAGUCAAGAUCACCGGAUAUAGAGGGACAACAUUUCCAAAUUGGCUAGCUGAUCCUUUGUUUCUUAAGCUGGUGAAAUUGUCUCUUAGCAACUGCAAGGACUGUUAUUCCUUGCCAGCACUAGGAGAACUCCCUUGUUUGAAAUUCCUUUCGAUUAGAGGGAUGCAUGGAAUAACAGAGGUGACGGAAGAAUUCUAUGGCAGUUUGUCCUCCAAAAAGCCUUUUAACUGUCUUGAGGACCUUGAAUUUGAAGAUAUUCCGGAGUGGAAGCAAUGGCACGUACUAGGAAAUGGAGAGUUCCCUACACUUGAGAAGCUUUUCAUUAUAAAUUGCCCAGAACUCAGUUUGGAGACACCCAUCCAACUUUCAUGUUUAAAAAGGUUUCAUGUUGUUGGUUGUUCUAAGGUUGGAGUUGUUUUUGAUGAUGCUCAACUGUUUAUAUCCCAACUUGAGGGAAUGAAACAGAUUGUUGAACUAUUUAUUAGUGAUUGUAACUCUGUUACCUCCUUUCCUUUUAGCAUACUGCCCACUACCUUGAAGAUAAUAUGCAUAUCUCGUUGCAAGAAAUUGAAAUUGGAGAUGCCAGUUGGCGAGAUGAGUUAUUGUAACAUGUUUCUCGAUUAUUUGAGCGUGGCAGAAUGUGAUUAUAUAUCACCUGAGUUGUGCCAAAGAGCACGCCAAUUGAGAGUACAGGAUUGCCACAACCUUACUAGGUUUUUGAUUCCUACUGCGACUGAAACUCUCUAUAUUCGGGGAUGUGAGAAUGUUGAAAAACUUUCGGUGGCAUGUGGGGGGACCCAGAUGACGUCACUGAUUAUUGAUGGCUGUAAGAAGCUGAAGUGGCUGCCAAAACGUAUGCAGGAACUCCUUCCAUCUCUUAAGCAACUGCAACUGAUUGAUUGUCCAGAAAUAGAGUCCUUUCCUCAAGGAGGAUUGCCCUUCAAUUUACAACGACUUUGGAUCAGAAAUUCCAAGAAACUGGUGAACAGACGAAAGGAGUGGUGUUUGCAGAGACUCCCCUGUCUCAACUUGUUAGAGAUCUCUCAUGAUGGCAGUGACGAAGAGAUUGUUGGUGGUGAGAAUUGGGAGUUGCCUUCCUCUAUUCAAAAACUUACAAUAAACAAUGUGAAAACAUUAAGCAGCCAACAUCUCAAAAGCCUCACCUCUCUUCAAUAUCUAUGUAUUGAGGGUAAUUUUCCUCAAAUUCAGUCAAUGCUGGAAGAAGAGCUUCCCUCCUCUCUUUCUCACCUCACUUCGCUUCAAAGUCUACACAUCGGGAAUUUCCCUAAUCUCCAAUCACUUUCUGAAUCAGCACUGCCCUCCUCCCUCUCUCAGCUGACCAUAGAUGAUUGCCCUAAUCUCCAAUCACUUUCCGAAUCAGCACUGCCCUCCUCCCUCUCUCAGCUGGAGAUCUCCCAUUGUCCUAAUCUCCAAUCCCUUCCGGUAAAAGGGAUGCCCUCUUCCCUCUCUCAACUAAGUAUUUACAACUGCCCAUUGCUCACACCGUUACUAGAAUUUGACAAGGGGGAAUACUGGCUAAAUAUUGCUCAAAUUUCCACCAUAGUGAUCGAUGAGGAAUCCCUGUGAUGAUUAAAACGAAUGGCUCUCCAACUGAUGUAAGUUAUUCUUUUCCAUCAUAAGCUUUUUACUUUUGUUUACUUCACUUUGCAUUUUUGUUAAUCCUUUUCCUUUUUUAAACCUUUUUGAGCAGUGUGGAAUGUCUAUUGCUCAAACCACGGCUGCCGACCAAAAACUGCUCAUAUUUCCACCAUAAAUGUUCAUUGGGAGAACCUCUAAUGAUUCAAACAUGUGGUGCUCCAAUAGAUGUAAGUUCCUUAGUAUCUUUUGAUUUUUGGUUACUUCUCUUUGCUUGUUUCUUAAUUCUUUUUCUACAUUAUAGGAUAAAGACAUGUUUUACUCCUCUCGAUAUGCAGAUAUGUUGCAGAGAUGAAGUCUCUGUGAGAGUGGUAAGAUAUCAUUUAAAGCAUAUGGCAAUCUAGCUCAGCAAGAGAUACAUGCUAAAGUAUAUCCUGUUUGGGAUGAAUUCAACGUGAGAUAACAAAAUAAUGAUUUACUCGUGUUUCAGUUACCAAGAUGCUUAUUUUGUUGUAAUACUUUGCACUCUCAUAAAUCAGUGAAAUAGGUUUCCUUCAUUGGCACCCUCAUCAGUCAUCAGUCUGCGAAACAGAGAAAUCAACGGUUUCAAAAUUCUUUAGAACCCAUUUCGAGCUUCAUACCUUCAAUUCUGAUGACACCCAAGACACAAAAGACAUCAACAUAGUAGAAGAAUUUAACCCAACACCCAUUUCAACCCAAGUUUUUGAUUCCUGCUUCACCUGAUGGGAAGAAGUUUACGUGUGAGAAAGGUCUAUAGGUACAAAUAUUUUUUCUUCUCCCUUUCUUACUGCGGCGCUUAUAUUGGUUUUGCCCCACUUUGCAUCAUAAUGAUGUUGGAGUGUAUCGGUUUUCUACUGGUAUUCAGAUACUUAAAAUGGGAAAUUGCUUUUGAAAAUAUCAUUUUCAUUGUUCGAAUGUUUUUUAAAUCAUCUGUUGAUCCAAAAUUUUCAUUUUUCUGUUGAUCUUCUUCUAUAUUUAGUUUUACAUGUCUUCUGAUUGAGUUAUAAUACAUGCCUUGAUUCUAUAGAAGAUGAUAAAUUGUCAAAUCCUUCCAGUGCGUUGAUCGUAGAUAAGACACUCAGAAGAAGAAAAGAUGACACGAAGAUGGUUAGCUGCAAGGUAACCGACAGAAAUUUCUUUAUAGGAGGAAAAUGGAAUCGAAGAAUCCGGGAUGACAUAGACCCACAGUGUGAAAGAGGUAAGAGAGUUUCAUCUACAGUGUAAACAGAAACUUUGAUAGGUAAAGGAGGCAGACAAAAAAGCUAAACAUCUUUUUAUAUGCAAUAGCAAUUCAUAGAAGUAUCAAUAAGCUUACAAUCCAUCAUAUAUUUCUUCUAAGUACAUAAGAUGUAAUGUCUGUGGCAAGUAACUUUUAAGGAGAUUCUAGUGCUUUUACCAAGGAUAACAUCAAUAUUUUGAUCCAUUGUGAAGGCGUAAUUCUGUUUCCAGCAGGAUUAUAUUAGUUUCUUUUCUAAUUAAGAAAUAACAAUGUCUUCAAUGCAUUGUCAAGAUUCAGUCUACUUUCUAGCAGCAAUUAACAUGAAUCGUACAUCCGUUCCAAAUGUCAUUAUAAAAAGGAAAAAAAAACUGCUGACACUACACUUCAUCUCAAUUCUCAUUAGGAUAGUUGAAGUAUGAAUUAUUCUUAUGUAUUUACAUUUAUCUGCAGGAUUAUCUUAUGUGAAUGUGUUUCUGAGUAAGGAUAUGAGUGAAAUAGCCCAAAAACCUAUAUAAACCCCUUUGGAAGACUACAACUUGCAUAACUCAACACUCUCUCACAUGUGUAACCAGAUUUUGAGGUUCACAUGGACUUCAAUAUGAACUCAAGAGUGUGAGAAUAAACUUAUAAAAGGAUGGUUGUGAUAUUAUGUGAUGAGAACGUAAAACCUUAUAAAUUCCUUUGAAAAGCCUCUAUUCAAAUUUCAACCCAUAUGGAACAACAAUAUAACUUAACUGAAAAUGGCUAAGAAUCAAAUAUACGAUACUCUAAGACCACUCAAUUCUUUGUUUAUAGUAAAAUGUGUAGAGAAUAGCAAAAGAAAAGUAUAUAUAUUCGGGAAGCCUUCUGCUAGCCCAAGACCGUUAAUUAAGAUCGGAAGAUUCAACUAAACAAGAGGAAGCUGGAAAGGAGAACUUUGUUUAAGUAAGAAGACUCUUGAAUUGUCUUUGUUUGGGUUGUUCUUGGGUUGAUUACAAAUGCCUAAUGUCACCCCUAUUUAUUCUAGAUAUUUCUAUACUAUAAAUAUUCUUAAGUAUAUAUAUCAAAAAAUAAUUUACUCUACCAAAUUCUAGAAAGUUCUACGGGAUAUCUAAGAUAUUUUUGGUACCUCCAUAAAAUCAACUUUAAUUUUUCACAAAAUCAACUGCUACAAACAGCUUCACUGAAAACAAAUAGCACAGAAGAAAGGGUCUGGUUGUCUUCUGCUUAGGGAAAAAUUGAUUAUUGAAAACACUUUUGUGUACAUGACAUUAACAUCUCUCAUUUUCAUAUGUGAAGUUUGCAUCCAAGAAGUUCCAAAAGAGGAAGUGAUAAUGUGGUAUGCAUUGUUCACUUUCACAUCCCAUUUUUCUGUUUCUUUGGUCCCUCUUCUUCCUGUUCCAUUACUUUGUUUUCCGUUGGGAAUUUUCUUCUAACUGCUAUGGAGGUUCAACCAUAUCAUACGCGUCGUCAAUGUUUAAAGCCCUUUUGUGAUGUCAUUUAGUGUAGUGAUGUAUAACAUCAUGUUGUGAUUUUAAAGAUUUGCUUAUCUUUUACCCAUGCCUAGGUUGACGCCUUACUUUGUCUUUACUCUUUACGCAUCAUCUGGUGUCGCCCUGAAAAUUUUUGUGUAGUUAAGGUCUUUGAUUCUACCUUAAUCGUAAAAUGCAUCCCUUGUACUUAGGAGGUCAUACAAUCAGUAAGCUUGAUGACAUGCUUUUGUCGAAGAAUGACUAUGAUGAUUGAACUUCUGCAAUUCGUUUGUCGGCAGGUGGAGAUAUACAGCCAUUGUUACGAGAAACAACCUUUGGUUAUCCAAGGUGCUGGAGCAGGAAAUGAUACCACAGAAGCUGGUGUCCUAGCUGAUAUCCUUGACAUUCAAGAUUUAUUCCCUUGACUGAGUAUUACACACUGAGAUACAAACAUUCGAUCCUCAUAGGAUGAAAAAUCGACUCUUCCUGUCCCUCUGCUUUCAGAUUGGAGAUUGAAAUCAUGCUAAGAAAGCUCACAUAUUUUUUGAAAAAAUUCUCGAUACACAAGAGUGCCUUGUCAGUUUACAGUAGAUUAUAAUGCAAUUUCUUUCGUGCAUAACGACUCAAAUGGAACAGUGCAAACUGAGUCAUUUGCCUCAGUACUGGACUAGUUUUUAGGAUUUCACUUCAGCUUAUAAUCAGUUUGCUUUAUAAUGACCAUUUUGGUACCCCAACUUUUUAUGUUAUCACAAUUUUAGAGACUUAUCUCUUGGUUAUUAUGCUUUUCAAUGUAUGAAAUGAUGUGAGAUCAUGCUCAUGAUCUACACAUACCAGAUAAUCAUUAUCUUAAAAUGGAAAAGAACUACUAAAUGAUAUCAAGUAAUAAUCGCCAUUAGUGAUAUCCAAGCAUAAUUUGGUACUCUCGUAAGUUGUUUUCAUCACAACUCGAAUGUCAUCGAAAGUUUUCCAUGGUAACUGUUUACAAUAACAAGGUAUAACAAUUAUUACGCCUCAGUCUCAAACAAGUUAGGGUCGGCUAAACAAUCAAAAACUUGGCAUCAGUUGACAAGUAAGCGCUCAACUGACAACUAAACACUUCAUCUCAUCCCACUAUGUCUUGUGGACACUGGAUGCUGACGUGUCACAUAAAUUUUGGUUGUCUAGAUGUGCAUGCUCAAAGUUGGAGUGCAUACUUGCCUGUUUAGGCCAAAUUUGAGUUGUCUGUCAGAGCAAGAUCAGACCACACACGGGGACUAUCGCCUACCUCAAAGCUUAGAUAUGAGAUCGAAUCGCAUUAAAAAACAAGACCUAAGCAUGUAGCAAAUUAUCUUACCCAGUCUACAAGAUACAUGUUCAUGGCCCUUGGGCCUUAGGACAUCUUCAUCAGGUACCACUCCAGAAUCUCCUGCAUUAUUUACCUGCAGAAAUUUAUUCAGCAACUGUCCAAUAUUUGCCUCGAGAUCGAAUAAGGAUUAAUACAUAGAUUCAUGCUCUUACCAGAAUAUCAAGCCUCCCAUAUUGUGUUUGUAUGAACUUUGCUAAGGACUCAAUGCUCUGAGCAUCAACAUCAAGUUGUUCAUUCAGCAAGGAUGUUGCUUCAGUUCCUCUCUUUUCGUCUCUGGCUGUUAAGACAACCGUUACACCUGAAUUGGCGAGCUGCUUAACAGUCUCGAAGCCAAUUCCCUUGUUUGCUCCAGUAACAACUGCAUACUUACAAACGUCUCCCAUCACUUAAGUCCAAUGUUUCUAACCUUUUCUCCUUUGGAAUCCUUUUGGGCAGAAGAAAAAAGAACAAUAUUUCAAACGAAAUAACGAUACAGGAAGAAAGAGGUACGUAUAGACUAAUAAUCCAAGAGUUUGAAAUAACAACCUCAGGGAAUUCAUUUCAUCUACCUAAGCCUUAAUUGACAGGAUCGAUUACCAGUAUAAAGUUGAUUAGUUCAGGUUUCCGCAGCUGCUAACCUAGACACUACUGUUAUUAAACCCAAAAAACCUCUCUCUUACCAUACUACGAGUCAGGGGUAUAACUAAUGGGACGCAAAGGGGUUCAUCCGAUCCACCCCCUCCCCGAAAAAUUGCUCCAUACAUGUAUACAAAGCCAAAAUUACUUUUUAUAUGUAAGCAUAGUAAUGUUACUUGAGACAAUCAAAACCUCUUUGUGUUUUUACAACAACAUACCCAAUGUAGUUCCACAAAGUGGAGUUUGGGGAGGAGGGUACGCAUACAUUACCCCUACCAUAGAGGUAGAUAGGCUAUUUCCGAAAAAACAGUCCAAAGCAGUUCUGAAAAAGAAGUAACGGAAGUGCAUAGUAAUAACAAAAACAACAGACAGCAAACAAAACAGAAACUAGAACAAAACAAAAGGAUAUAUAAUUGAGAUACGAGAAACAACAAAUAGUAACAAAACUGAAGCAAGAACAAAAUGAUACGAUAUAUAAUUGAGAUACAAGCAACAACAGAUAGUAACAAAACAAAAACUAGAACAAAACAAUACGAUAUAUAAUCGAGGUACAAGAAACAACAAAUUGUAAGAACAACGGAAGGACAACAAACUACAGGGCAAUACAAUCAUGUUAGACCUCAACUAAUUCCAACCAUUAUCUAUAAACUUACCCUGUCACAUGAAUCAAAACGAUAUAGUAAACAAUCAAAGACCAAAUUUCAGAAUCAGUUCAUUUUUGUCAAGAUUUGGAAAUAUUGAGUUACCUGUAAAACAAAUCUGAAAAUGGGGUUGGCAAUUGAAGGCCUAAUUUCUGUUCUACUAUCUACUACUGGUGUAAUUAAAUUUGAUGGAUAAAUAAAUACAUUACAUGAAAUAAAAAAAAUAACAAAAAAAGAGAGAGAAAGAAUGUGAAAAAAAAUGAAAAUAAAUAUGACUUUAGAGGCAAUGUUAUAGGGACUAAAAUCGUUAUUUCCACUUUUAUAUUAUGUUUUCAAUUCCCAUUAUAGGACUUUUUUGCUGUUUUUUUUUUUUGUGUGUGGCUAAAACAUAGUUUGUAGUACCACUAGCAAAAAAGAGAGAGGUGGAUAUAUUAUUUUCGUAGUUAGCAACGUGUUAUAUAUUUUUAUAGUGGACAUAUUGUAUUUUCACUCGAUGUCUGGUAUCCACAACAAUUUUUGCACAUUUUAGGGGCGGCUCCUGACAUGGUCAUUUUCCAUUCCAAUUUCCACAGCCCGUGUUUCUAAAUCAUCAUAUCAUAUCAUAUAUAUCAUAUAUUACUAAAAGUGGAAGUUCCAAAGUGCAAAGUUGGAUUACCAUUUUAUCCCUACACUGUAUAAAUCAUCAUAUCAUAUAUCAUAUAUCAUAUAUCAUCAUAUUCAUAUUCAUCAUAUCAUCAUAUUCAUAUAUAUAUAUUAUGAAAAGUGGGAAGCUUUUAACUUUAAAGUUGGAUUACCAUUUUACCCCUACGAUAAGUUAAAAUGUUAUAAAAUAUUUAAUUUAAUUAGAAUUCUCAAUAAGUUUUCUCUAAUAAAUAUUUGUAUUCAUAACCGAAUUUCUAUGCAACCUAUAAUUACAAUGCUUAAUAUGUAUUAACCUCUCACAAUUGAAUUAUGGAAAAAUUACAAAAAUUCCACCUUUUAGUUUACUUAUUAUCAUUAUCCCCUAUAAAUUUUAUAAAUUUCCAAAAUCCCUCAUUUUUGCACAUCAGAUUAAUGUAUCAACGCUUAUAUUAUUGUAUCUCGCGCUUAUAUUAUUGUAUCUCGCGCAUCAGAUUAAUGUACCAUGUAUAAAAUGUACAUCAUAUUAGUGUAUCAUGUAUAAAAUGUACAUCAGAUUAGUGUAUCAUGUAUAAAAUGUAAUGUAUCUUACUUAACAAUUAAUGUAUCUCGCGCAUCAGAUUAAUGUAUCAUCACUUAUAUUACUGUAUCCGUUUUGAGGGAUUUCUGUAAUUAUAAACUUUUAAGGGAUAAAUUGUAAUUUUGCCUUAAAAGUAUGUGAUUUCUGUAAUUUUCCCUUGAAUUAUUAUUAAUAAUAAUAAUUUAUAUAUAUAUAAUUAAAUCAAAUAUUUAAUUAAAUAUCUAAUUAAAAAAUAUUAUUUUGCGCACCUUAAGUAAAAGUUAAAUAAAAUUCAAUUAAUUAAUUUUUCAAUUACAUAAAUUGAACGGGAUUUGGAAGUGGAAAAGUGGUACUUUAAUGCUCAGACAAACGUAUCCAAGGAAUUCACAUAAUACAUGAUUAAUUGCUUUAAAUUAACACAUCAUGUAUUACUUUACCUAACUUUUACAAUUCCUAUAAUUUGUCUUUUCAUUUUCUUUAACUUAACUUAUCAAAUUCUAACACUUUUAAAUUAGUAACCAAUCUUUGUUAAUAUAACAAUCAAUAGAAUUUGAAUAGUUCAUUAAGUAUUUAAGUGUAGGUUAAUAAAUACAUAUUAUGUUAAAAGGAAUUUUAAAGAACAUAAAAAAAAACACUAUAUAAAGGUAACAAAUGAUUUCCAUUUCCUUAUGCAUGAAAUAAGAAAAUGGGAGAUGGAGAAACAUGUAGAGUUGAUAGAUGUUGGAAUUGAAUAAUUGUCAUAUCAAUUUACAUGCAACAUUCAACAUUCAUUGGAUGAUAUAUGAAGACCACUAUCUCCGUAUGGAGUGCUACCAGAAAUUCAUGAGCUAUGAAAAGGAGGAAGUUGGUUUCUUUGGAAGAUUUGAUUUUAGAAUUUUCAUUAAUUGAUUUAUUCUUAUAAUGUACUGUAAUUAUAAUUGUUUACGGCUAUAGAUAAAUGCGACGUUAUUUGUGUAUUUGGAAGGGAGUUAUAAAAUGAUAUCUUGUAGUAUUUUACUAUAAAAGUGGGAACUACCAAGUUAAAAGUUUGAGAACUACCAAGUUAAAAGUUUACAUCUCUGGCAUUCAUCUUAAUUUGUUUGUUAUUGUUGAUAUAGUAGUUGGAUAUCACAGGUUAUAUGCCUUCAUGGCAACAUCUGAUUGGUAUUGAAAAAAUUAUUUCGUAAUUUUUGUAUUCUGUAAUGUGUCUUCAUAUGUAUCUUCAUAUUUGAAUUUACUGAUUCAUUUUACUGAAAGAAUUAGGAGUAUCCGCGUCAUAUAUAAAUAUAGUAUCAAACUUUAAAAGGAAAAUUUUCUUUUAUUUUGAUAUGAUAUCAUUGAAUAAAAACUAUUUUAGCUAAGUUGCAAUUUUUUGCUACAUUUAUUUUCAAAACUAAAUAUGUAUGUAUUUUUUUAAAUAUCAUUAAUAUGGGAAACACACGCAACGCGCGUGUCCGGAGACUAGUAUAUUACUAAAAGUGGGAAGUUUCAAAGUGCAAAGUUGGAUUAUCAUUUUACCCCUACACUAUAUAAAAAUAUUAUAAAUAAUAAUAUAUAUUAAUUAAUUAUUAAUUAUUAAUCCAACUCAAAAGUUAAUUUUUUAUUAUCAAUUAUGAGUUAUGACUCUUCAAUGGCUCAAUCCCAUUUUUCAGCAACCAUACAACUUCAGCUAUUUUAAUCGUAUACUAUUUUCUGUUUUCAAAGCAUUUAGUUAUUUUUCCAUAUUGAAUUAAAUAUUUUAUGUUUUAUAAGCAUUUAGUUAGUUUUCCGUAUCAAAUUAAAUAUUUUCAGUUUUCUAAACAUUUAAUAGACUCUUCAGUUUUGGAAUAUGAAUAGUUAUUUUCAUUUUCUAUAUAUUUACUGUGAAUAAAUUAUUAUUUUUUACUUCUAAUCCUUUUUAUAGUUUUCUCUUGUAUUUGCUUAGCCUUUGUGUUUGCUAAUUACUAAUUUUUAUUUAUUUUUCUUUGCUUCAGAUCUUAUCUUGCAAUUGUGAUCUCUUCCCUUCUCAAUUGCAUCAUCAGCUACAUAAUAGAUAUGAUAUUCAUAUCAUUGGAGUUAUGCUUAGUCAUGAAGAAGGUAAACAUACAUUAAGCCAAUUCACUAGGAAUCUUUUUAGUUUGUUAAGAUGUGUCUCAUUAUUAGGAAUCUUUUUAGUUUGUAUUAAGUUCUAGCUUGUUUGUGAAUAUGGAUUGAUUAUGUUAUAUUUCAUAAUAUUAUUAUAUUUAAACAAUUUAGUUAAUAUUCUCCUAUAAAAUCUACACAUGAAGGAUUCAUAAUCUUGAAUCAAACAAAGAAAGUCGUACAUGCAAUUAUCUAAUACAAAUAAAUAUGAUUUUUGCAAGUGUACCCCGUGAAUUGACAACGAUACAUUAUCCAUCUUAAAGAAGACAUAUGUUAAUCAAUAUUUCUAUAUUAUGAAAUACAAUUUUUAUUCGAAAACAACAUCUUGAUAUGUAUGUGGAUAUAUAUAAUUGUAACAUCCGGCAAUGUGAAAUGGCUAUGGAGAGGCUUAAGAAUUUGAAAUUUGUCAUUUUUGGAUUGAAUUUUGAAAAUCUGGAAAAUUGGCUAAGUGUGGAAAAAUGAGUUUUUGGCCAACUUUGAACAUCCAUAAAUUAUAUCUCAGGAUGAGUUAGCGGAUUUCCAGUUAUGGUUGCAAAGUUCGUGGAACGAUCUUUCCAAUGCCACCAAGUUUGCUCGAUUCCGAGUUCGUAUGAGCGAGUUAUGGCCAUUGAAAGUUGGGCAGCUGGCAGGGAAUCCGUCCGGAAAUUUUAAGGGCAUUUGGGUCUUUUCCCUUGCCAUUUCUUUUGGGAUUAUAUUGUUGUAUUAGGCUGAUCUUUGGAUCAUUUUGUCCCAUUUUGAAAGAGAAAGAGUUAGGGUUCUUGAGAGUGAAGAAGAGAAGAAGAAGAGAUCAACAAGAUUCGCCAAGAUCAUCGUGGAUUAUCGUCGGGGGUGAUCCCUACUAGGUAUGUGAGUUCUUUGUGUGGGUUGAUCCUUUCCCCCACACACCAAGCUCAUGUUUAUGGUUUGAGAAAAGAUUGGUUGAGUUGUUGAAGUUCUUGUUGGUUUGGGACAUGAUUUGGUUGUGUUUUGAGUCGAAAUCUAUUGUAUGUUGAGGGAUUUAUGAUUCUAAGUGUUUGGGGCUGAAAACCUUUUAAGUUAAGAGAGUUGAGAGUUGGUAACGUGAAGGAGAAAAGCCGGGCAGCUUGCAUGGAGCAAGUCUGCGUCGCGGCUUUGUUCCCAGAGGGAACAAAAGCUUCUCCGCGUCGCGGACAGAACGCGAACUUCACUGUUUUCAGAAUUUAAUCUCAUAAAUUUCCUUAAGUUUAGCUGUCCUAAAUCAUUCCUAAAUCAUUCCUAAACACCAUGAGGUCUUUCCAAACACAAAACAUGAUCCUUAAAUCCAUAAUUCCAAUCAAGAAAGUUAGGAUCAAAGUCAAGCCUAGAAGUUAAGAAUUUUAAGUCAAAGCAAGUUUUCAAGUUGUUCAAGAGUCUUCAUUGAAUGUUUUAACUUCAUUGUGAGGCUCAAGUUUCAAGUUAGUUCAAGUUAAGUCAAGCGUUUCGAGUUGAGCAUUGAGUUUCAAGUCAAGUAAAGAGCAUAAGGGUUUAAAGUUGAGUUCAUUUCUCAAAAGUAUUAGGGAACUAAGUAUUCCCAAAGAAGUUUAUAAAUGUUUUCACAUUUAAGUAAGAAAGGAACUAUGAUUUCCAAAAGAGAGCCUUUGGGCUAGUUUUCAAGAAAAAGGAAUAUCGAUUCCAAGAGAGCCUUUGGGCUAAGCUUUGAGUAAUUAUCUCAAAUUAAAGAAAGAUGUGUUUAAAACACUUAUGAGCGAAAGUAUUUUUGGGAGUAUUAUUGAGCACCGAAUUGGGGACACGAGUUCAUAUUAACUCAACUCUCCAUAAGAACCAUGCGCCAACAUGGGAUUUCUCGGGUCAUACUUUUUAGAUAAUCACGAAAGUUAAGCUAGUGGAUCCAUUAAGCAAAGGUAAGGUCCUAUAUCACGGCAAGGUAUAGGAUGGUCCUUGGGUUACGUGAGGUAAAACGUUGUAUCAUCACUAGGGCUCAUAGUGGUGGUUGUCGGUUAAAGAAUCUCCCACAAAAGUUAUAUUACUUUUAUAUAAGUAAAGUUGAGUUUGUUAUUGUUUUAUCAUUAAUGAACUAAGUUGUUUAUACUAUUUUACAAGUUUUAUAUAUUGCAUGUGUCUUAUUGCUUUAUAUAUUGAGUUCAGUUAUGCAUGAGUUGAACAGAGCCAAGGUAGGAGUUCCUUUGUACUAUUUUCAAGCGUAAGUAGUGGUUCAGCUUUCCAGCUCGCAUACUCGUACAUUCCAUGUACUGAUGCCAGUUGGCCUGCAUCUUUUUAUGAUGCAGACGCAGGUACCCAGGAUCAGCAUCCAGUACGUCGUUGAUCCAGUUGAGCACUCCAGAGUCAGUGGUGAGCCUCCUUGCUUUUCGGAGGACUCGGCUAUCUUGUUCUCUUAGUUUUGCUUUAUUAGGAUGUUGCGGGGUCUGUCCCAACAUCCAUCUCAGUAUUAUAGAGGCUUCAUAGACAGUCAGUCAGUUAGUUUUUGAGUCUCUCAUCUAUGUAUAUAUGUAAAUAUUUUAUUUUGAGACUCGAGUUGCCUUUGUGGCCAGAUAUUAUCAAUUGGGUUGUUUUAUAACCUUUCAUUGCAUGGAGUUAUUCUAUUAAGUUAGGUUUCCGCUGAGUUAAGAAAGCCAGGCCAAGGGUUCGCUUGGGGGCCAGCAAUGGUCUUCGAGUGCCGGCCACGUCCAGGGUGUAGACUCGGGGCGUGACAAUAAUUAAGGAGGAGACUAUAGUUUCUUAAAAAUAAGACACAAACUUUAAGAUAUGAAAUAUUUACAAACAUAAUCAACGUUACUUAUGUUUACCUAUAAACUAUAUGUUAUUGAACUAUUAAAAAAAUAAGAGAAGUGUCACACUGAGUAUAAGAUAUUUGAGAACUACAUAAGAAAAAUGUUAAAUCAAUUCAAUUGACUAUUUAUAGCUACAAACAAUUCCCUUUUCUAAAUUUAAUCACUUAUUACUUACAUGUUUUAGCAUCAUCUAUAUCAUUUAAAAAAUUGUACUAAUUAACAUGAGACACACGUCCGAAAACUAGUUUUAAAUAAGGGUAGAAAAAUCUCAACUAUAGCACCACAACUCAUAUAAGUUGUAUUGGAUAUACAAGUGUAGACUAAAAAAUAUAACUAUGCAAGUGCAAAUAUUUUUGAAAAGAACCAAAUAACAAGCAAAAUGCUCUAUUAAUGUAUGGUAUUUGUAUAUUUAAAUUUUGAUGUAUGUCAAUCACUACUUUAUUGAAUGUUUAUUGUUUUUGAGUAUUUUUUUGCUUUGCAGUUUUAAUUGUUGAUCUGAGAAUCUACUGAACAAUAUUAGCCUCCACUAUUGGUGGUUCAAUUUCUUCAAGAGUUGUCAUAUUACCCUUUUUUUCUGAAAAGAUUUUUGGUUUUCUCUGCUUCUUAUGUGUUAUGUGUUAUGUGUUCUUUUAUACUUUCUGCAAUUUCUUGUUAGUUUGUUUUACUAACAUGGAGAAAGGACAUUUUGUAGGGUAGAGAGGUUGUUUCCGAUAGACCCUCACCUUAAGUAAAUAUAGAAAAAAUAAUACCUUAGAGAAAAGGAAAAUGGAACAGAUUCCAAUUCUUCACAAUUCUAAAGCGUAUUCAUGAUAUGUUAGGCCCAAUUAAGCACUACAAUGAGCUGUUGAAAAAUGAACAAGUGCAUAAAGCAAAAGUAGUUAAUAGACAUAAAGCAAAAGAUACCUUCCUCUAUUGCCUCAAUUAGUGGAGUGAUACUUUUUGAAAAGAGAAAAGAGGACAAUAUUGCUUCUUGUAGAUUAGCUAAAACAUAGUUGUACUAAUUAAAGAGAGAGCAAUCACUGAUCCUUCUUGUUUGCAAAUUACUCUUAACAUUCAACAGGUAAAGUAAAGUUCUAUCUUAGUAGUUGAAGCUAGAUAGAAAAUCAUUUUGUGUUUCCUUGCAGAUUUCAGAAAUGGAGAUUGGUUUAACAGUUGGUAGUGCAUUUCUCUCCUCAGCUUUGAAUGUUCUGUUUGAUAGGCUUGCUCCUCAGGGUGAUCUUCUCAACAUGUUUCAGAAGCAUAAGCAUCAUGGUCGGCUCUUAAAGAAGCUGAAAAUGACUUUGCGUGGUCUUCAGAUUGUGCUAAGUGAUGCAGAGAAUAAGCAAGCAUCGAAUCAAUUUGUGAGCCAGUGGCUUAAUGAGCUUCGACAUGCUGUGGACUCUGCUGAAAACUUGAUUGAAAAAGUCAAUUAUGAAGCUUUGAGGCUUAAGGCUGAAGGUAAGCAUCAAAAUCUUGCAGAAACAAGCAACCAUCAAGUAAGUGACCUCAACCUGUGCUUGAGUGAUGAUUUUUUCCUUAACAUAAAGGACAAAUUGGAAGACACUAUUGAAACAUUAAAGGAUCUGCAAGAGCAAAUUGGUGACCUUGGCUUAAAGGAGCAUUUUGGUUCCACGAAACAAGAAACUAGAAGACCUUCAACUUCUUUGGUUGAUGAAUCUGAUAUCUUUGGUAGGCACAAGGAAAAAAAGGAUUUGAUUGACCGUUUAUUGUCUGAAAGUGCAAGUGGAGAAAAGCUGACCAUAGUUCCUAUAGUUGGAAUGGGUGGUGCGGGUAAGACAGCACUAGCUAAAGUUGUUUACAAUGAUGAGAAAGUGAAGAACCAUUUUGGUUUGAAAGCUUGGUAUUGUGUUUCUGAGCCAUAUGAUGCUUUGAGAAUAACAAAAGGGUUACUUCAAGAAAUUGGUUCAUUUGACUUAAAGGAUGAUGACAAAAAUCUUAAUCAGCUACAGGUCAAAUUGAAGAAUAGCCUGACGGGAAAAAAGUUUCUUGUUGUCCUUGAUGAUGUUUGGAAUGAUAACUAUAGUGAAUGGGAUGACCUGAGAAAUCUUUUUGUACAAGGAGAUAUUGGAAGUAAGAUCAUUGUGACGACACGUAAGGAGAAUGUUGCCUUGAUGAUGGGUAGUGGGGCAAUCAACGUGGGGACUCUGUCUGAUGAAGUCUCCUGGGAUCUAUUCAGACGACAUUCACUAGAAAACAGAGAUCCUAAAGAACAUCCAGAACUUGAAGAGGUUGGAAAACAAAUUGCACACAAGUGCAAAGGAUUGCCUUUAGCUCUGAAGGCACUUGCUGGUAUUUUACGCUGCAAAUCAGACGUGGAUGAAUGGAGGGACAUUUUAAAAAGUGAAAUUUGGGAGCUGCCAAGUCAUUUGAAUGGUAUAUUACCAGCGUUGAUGUUGAGUUACAAUGAUCUUCCUGCACAUUUGAAGCAAUGUUUUGCUUUUUGUUCAAUAUAUCCCAAAGAUUAUCCAUUUUGCAAAGACCAAGUUAUUCACCUGUGGAUUGCUAAUGGUCUUGUACAGCAGUUUCAUUCAGGUAACCAAUACUUUCUCGAGCUGAGAUCAAGAUCACUGUUCGAAAUGGUCUCGGAGUCUUCUGAAAGAGACGUAGAGAAAUUCUUAAUGCAUGACCUUGUCAAUGAUUUGGCCCAAGUUGCAUCUUCAAAUCUUUGUAUAAGGUUGGAAGAGAACAAAGGAUCACAUACGUUGGAACAGUGUCGGCACAUAUCCUAUUCAAUAGGACAAUAUGGCGAGUUUGAGAAAUUGAAAUCACUCUUUAAAUCAGAGCAGCUGAGGACAUUACUUGCAAUCAAUAUCCAGCCCCAUUAUUAUCAUAUUAAGCUAAGCAAGAGGGUGUUGCAUAACGUAUUGCCAAGACUAGCAUCCUUAAGGGCAUUAACGUUGUCAAGCUAUGCAAUUGUUGAGUUGCCAAAUGACUUGUUUAUCGAAUUAAAGCUCCUGAGAUUUUUGGAUAUUUCUCGGACAAAGAUUAAAAGGUUGCCAGAUUCCAUUUGUGUGUUGUAUAACUUAGAGACACUUCUCCUAUCAUCUUGUGAUGAUCUUGAAGAUCUACCUCUGCAGAUGGAGAAGUUGAUCAACUUGCAUCACCUUGAGAUAAGCAACACUUGUCGCUUGAAGAUGCCGCUACAUCUGAGCAAGUUGAAAAGCCUCCAAGUGUUAGUGGGAGCCAAGUUUCUUCUAGGUGGUUCGAGAAUGGAAGAUUUGGGGUGAAGCACAUAACUUGCACGGAUCUCUAUCAGUUGUAGAGUUGCAAAAUGUGGUUGAUAGUAGGGAAGCUGUGAAGGCAAAGAUGAGGGAGAAGAAUCAUGUUGACAAGUUAUCUUUGGAGUGGAAUGGAAGUAGUAGUGCCGACAAUUCACAAACUGAAAGAGACAUACUUGAUGAGCUACGCCCACAUAAAAACAUAAAAGAAAUCGAGAUCACCGGAUAUAGAGGGACAACAUUUCCAAAUUGGCUAGCUGAUCCUUCGUUUCUUAAGCUAGUAGAGUUGUCUAUUGAUAACUGCAAGAACUGUUAUUCCUUGCCAGCACUAGGACAACUCCCUUGUUUAAAAUUCCUUUCGAUUAGAAGGAUGCAUGGAAUAACAGAGGUGACGGAAGAAUUCUAUGGUAGUUUGUCCUCCAAAAAGCCUUUUAACUCUCUUGUGGAGCUUAGAUUUGAAGCUAUGCCGGAGUGGAAGCAAUGGCACCUACUAGGAAGUGGAGAGUUUCCUACACUUGAGAAGCUUUUGAUUAAAAAUUGCCCUGAAGUCAGUUUGGAGACACCCAUCCAACUUUCAAGUUUAAAAAGUUUUGAAGUUAUUGGUUCUCCAAAGGUUGGAGUUGUUUUUUAUGAUGCUGAGCUGUUUAGAUCCCAACUUGAGGGAAUGAAGGAGAUUGAGGAAUUAGAUAUUAAGGAUUGUAACUCUGUUACCUUCUUACCUUUUAGCAUACUGCCAACUACCUUGAACACAAUAAGGAUAUCUUAUUGCGACAACCUUACUACGGUUUUGAUUCCUACUACGACUGAAAAACUUCCGGUUGCAUGGUGGGGGGGGGGGGGCCGAGAUGACGUAUUUGCAUAUUUGGGAGUGUAAGAAGCUGAAGUGUCUGCCAGAACGUAUGCAGGAACUCUUUCCAUCUCUUAAGAUACUGUAUCUGAUUAAUUGUCCAGAAAUAGAGUCCUUUCCUGAAGGAGGAUUGCCCUUCAAUUUACAAGUCCUUUCUAUCAGCAAGUGCAAGAAACUGGUGAACGGCCGAAAGGAGUGGCGACUCCCCUGUCUCAGAGAAUUAAGCAUCUACCAUGAUGGCAGUGACGAAGAGAUUGAACAUUGGGAGUUGCCUUCCUCUAUUCAUUCACUUGGUAUAGACAAUCUGAAAACAUUAAGCAGCCAACAUCUCAAAAGCCUCACCUCUCUUCAAUAUCUAUCUAUUCAGGGUAAUUUACCUCAAAUUCAGUCAAUGCUGGAACAAUGCCAGUUUUCCUCCUUUUCGCGCCUCACUUCGCUUCAAACUCUACAAAUCGUGAAUUUCCCUAAUCUCCAAUUAAUUUCCGAAUCAGCACUGCCCUCCUCCCUCUCUCAGCUGGAGAUCUACCAUUGCCCUAAUCUCCAAUCUCUUCCAGUAAAAGGGAUGCCCUCUUCCUUCUCUAAACUAUAUAUUCACAGCUGUCCAUUGCUCACACCACUACUAGAAGUUAACAAGGGGGAAUACUGGCCAGAAAUUGCUCAUAUCCCCACCAUACAGAUCAAUGAUGAAUGCCUUUAAUGAUUAAAACAAAUGUAAGUUCCCUUUGUUUCUUUUACUCUUUUGAAAUUUUGUUGAGCAGUGUGGAACGUCUAUUGCUGCUCAAAUCAUAAAUGUUGAUUGGGAAAACCUGUAAUGAUUAAAACGAGUGUUGCUCUCAUAGAUGUAAGUUAUGUAGAGAAUAGCAGAAGAAAAGUAUAAUCGGGAAACCUUCUGCUAGCCCAAGAUCGUUGAGGAAGAUAGAAAGGAGAAGAAAUAUUUUGAAUAAGAAAACUUUGUUAUAUAAGAAGACUCUUUGAUUUUGGUUGUUCUUGGGUUGUUUACAAAUGUACAAUACCAUCCCUUAUUUAUAUUUAUAUAUGGAUGAUUCCAUAAUUCUCUACAAAUAUCUAAUUCCUCUACAAGAAAAAUCUUGUGAACUUCAUCUUCUAGAUAUCUUGAUAUUUCUUUAAGAUAAUUAUCCUAGGUACUAUCCUAGACUAUUCUAGAAACAUUACUAGAACGACCUAUCAUAUUCCAAAAAAUCAACUUUAACUUUUUCACAAGUUAUUCUAUUUCUUUAGUAUAUUUUGAUGGUUUGUUAAUUCUUUUUGACCAGUGUGUACCAUCUAUUGCUUCUGUGAAGUCAACGGAAUAUCUUUAGAUCAGGAUGAAAUCUUUAUAUUAUAUUUGUAAAAGAAAUCUAGUAUUGAGAUAAUUUGCUCAAGAAAAUUGAUUGCUUAGUAUAUGUUAGCAGGAUGUUAUCACCUUUGGAGAAAAAGGGUCCAAGAAAUGCAACCUCUUUCUCAAUUAGGUAGCCAGCACCUUGAUAAAAGUUACAUCAAGCUUCAAAUUUAAAGAUAUUGAAAACAACUUUGAAUAUCUGCUUCCAUUAUUUUACGCCAUGUUGUACCACAUUGAUGUCAAGUUUGAUGCCACUGCAUUAUUACAUCAGUUUUUUUGUUUUGUUUUGAUAUUCAAAUAUCCAGAAUAUUACAUCAGUUUUUUGGUUUUGAUAUUCAGAUAACUUUGAAGAUUAUGAAGUUUCCUUCAAAUUAUGUCUAUUACUCAACCUCGAGUGACACCUCAGAGCUAGCAGCAAGUCAAGGAAGUAUAUAUCCUGCUCGAGAUGAUUCAAGGUUAGAUAACAAAAUAAUAAUUUAUUUGUGUUUCAGUUACCAAGAUGCUUAUUUUGUAGUAAUGCUUAUAUCACUAGGUCUUUGGCACCGCUCUUCGUUUCUAUGUCUACACAUCAGUGAUUGCCCUAAUCUCCAAUCACUUUCCGAAUCAGCACUGCCCUCCUCGAUCCCUCUCUGAGCUGACCAUCGAUGAUUGCCCAUAAUCUCCAAUCCGUUCCAGUAAGAGGGAUGCCCUCUACCCUCUCUGCACUAUUUAUUUCCAACUGCUCAUUCCACAACCCACUUCUAAAAUUUGACAAGGGGGAAUAUUGGCCAGAAAUUGCUCAUAUUCCACCAUAGAGAUCGAUGAGGAAUGCCUUCAAUGAUUAAAACGAAUGGUGCUCUCACAAAUGUAAGGUUUUCUUUUUCCUCAUAAGCUUUCUAUUUUUGUUUACUUCCCUUUGCUUUUUUGUCAACUCUUUUACUUUUUUGAAAUCUUGUUGAGCUGAGAAAUCAUCAACACUGUAAAACGAAAUCUAGUAUAGAUAGGAACUAAAAUAAUUUGCUCCACAAAAUUGAUAGCUUAGUGUAAUAUUGGUGAACAUGUAUGUUAUCAAUCUUCAUCUCAAUAGCAAAUUCAUGUAUACUUGUUCUUUCUCUUUUCAGUGAGUUUAGAGUUAUUCAAUAUCGAAUUCAAAGCUCUAAUAGAAUUCAAAGGUGUACCAUACACAAGGUUUGUUUCCUAUGUAUCAAAAAUUCAAAUGCUUGCCUCGGAAUAAAUUUAACAACUAAAAGCAUCAAGCACUAUUCAGGUUUUUAUUAAUGAUUAUCGGAUAUCAACUAAGCAAACUUUUUUCCUUUGUCAGGAAUUUGGUAACAAUAUAUGUAAGUAGUUACCUCUCUAGCUCGAUCAGUUGGUAAAAGGAAAGUUCUGCUGCACUUCUCUACUGAACGGAUAGUCACUUGAAUGGGUAUUGGAUUGGUUUCUCAUUUCUGGUUGGUUUAUACUCAAGACAUCAUAUGUAGCUUGUGCAACCAUGGGAAUGUGUAAUUACGAGGAGACAAUGGCCACCGCCACAUCUGUUUGUUGGGAUAUAAAAAGAACGUGUCUAAGGUAUGGAGAAACUCUUACAAGAUUAUGUUACAUCAGUAUGAAUGUUGGAUGGUUUAAAGGUGGUCCUGACAUUUCUUUUCCCAGAACUUCUCCUUAAUUUCUUGUGCUGGAAGGUCUGUAAUUGUAAUACGCGGAUUGGCUAAGAAUUCUAACGUGUCUUUUUAAUUGCUUUCAGUAAGGAGGUUGUAAUUUCCAAGUCGUACAGCCGCUACCUUGGCUUUUUUGAGAUGAAGCAUGACUUGCUGCAAAUGGAACAUCAGCUCUAAUGAAACCCAAAGGUACAUGAGAAAAAAAGUUGUUUAACGUAACACACAAGAAACAUACUGUACAUUUUGGUCAUAGAUUAGAAGGAAAUAUAUUACUUUUUCAUUGUUAGGAUUUUGACAAGGCUCAACAAUUAUUUGGGAAGUGAAAAAGUUUCGAAGGUCUCUCUGCUCAAGUCGAGAAGGGGAAGUUGUUGAAUCUUUAUGUGGUAUCUAUUCACAUGUUGGAUUGAGCAUCAGGACUAUGGAUGUAAUAUCUUGUAUGGUUCACUUUGGACUAGGCACACACAACUUUAAAACGUGUCACAAGGGCCUAAAGGGUCGCUUCUUUAUACACCGGGGUCAAAUCCCUUUGGUUUUUUCAUAUGUUUUCUUCUUUAUAUUUUGACUCCCCUCUAGAAAAAUUAUGGCUCCGCCAUUGCCCUCGUGUAGGUUUUGUUCUAUCUCGUCCUUAUGGCUUACAACAUAAAAACAAUCCCUCUAAAACUAAUUCAGAGCAAGAUCAGACCGCACACGGGGACUAUCGCCUAUAAAAUACCAAAACAUUUACAAAUGCAUACCAAAUGCCAUAACAUCAAAAAAAUCGAUUUGAUAAUUCUGUAUCUGUCAUACCAUGUUACCCCUAUUUCAUUCUAAAACAAGAGUCCAUUGAUACCAAGAGACACUGAAAGAAAUAGUCUUAUUUCAUAACUUGAUCUAAAACUUCGCGACUGACCUCAACUUGUUUGGGACUGAGGAGUAGUUAUUGCUAUAUCUAAAACUCAUCGACUACAGUACGAUCAAAGUAGCAACCAGUAGGUCCUCCAUCAGGCAAAAGAGCUAGCAUGACAGGUCCUUCAGCUCCUUCCUCAACAGGCAUUGUUCCUGUAUGCCAGGUUAUAUCCGUGUUGACGAAUCCAGGAUGGACACAAUUGAUGCAUAUUUUUGGGUACUUUCUUGCAAGAAUUUGAGUGUAAGCAUUGAGUGAUACUUUUGAUACGCUGUAUGCUGGUAGCAUCAUCUGCCAAUGGUUCACCUCGAGAGAGUCUUGUUUCAGAUCAUAUAAAAAUUUAUGCAGAAUCUCAUCAAUUUUAUCUUCUGUCAGGUUUUCAAUAUCUCCGAGCUCCUUUCUCCUCUCCUCGUUUGGCAUUCGCUGUGUGAGAAUCAAAAAAUCAACAAGAAUUAUGAAAUGUUCAGAAACAACGAGAAUGAUUGUCUUUCUUACUUUUAAAGCUCCUCUACGGGAGGAGACAUUAACAAUCCUUGGUGAAGGGGAAUUUUGCAGCAGUGGAAGAAGAGCUUCAGUAACAUUCUUAACACCAUAGUAAUUAGUGUCCAAGCAUAAUUUGGCACUCUCAUACGUUGUUUUCAUCACAACUCGAAUGUCAUCGAAAGUUUUCCCUGGUAACUGUUUACAAUAACAAACAAUUACGCCUCAGUCUCAAACAAGUUAGGGUCGGACAUAUAAACUAACACUCAAAAACUUGGCAUCAAUAUACAAGUAAGCACUUCAACUCAUCCCACUAUGUCUUGUGGACACUAGAUUUGACGCGUCACAUAAAUUUUGGACGUGUCCAGAUGUGCAUACUCAAAGUUGGAGUGCAUACUUGCCGGUUGAGGCCAAGUUUGAGUAUCUCUCAGAGCAAAGAUCAGACCACACACAGGGACUAUCGCCUACCUCAAAGCUUGGGGACGGAAAUUUUCAAUUAGAUAUGAAAUCAACAACAACAACAUAUCCAGUGUAGUCCCACAAAUAGAUAUGAGAUUGAAUCACAUUAUAAAACAAGACCUAAGCAUUGAGCAUAUUAUCUUACCCAGUCUAGUGGUCUACAAGAUCCAUGUUCAUGGCCCUUAGGACAUCUUCAUCAGGUACCAUUCCAGAAGCUCCAGCAUUAUUUACGUGCAGAAAUUUAUUCAGCAACUGUCCAAUAUUUGCCUCGAGAUUGAAUAAGGAGCAAUACAUAGAUUCAUGCUCUUACCAGAAUAUCAAGCCUCCCAUAUUGUGUUUGUAUGAACUUUGCUAAGGACUCAAUGCUCUGAGCAUCUUGAACAUCAAGCUGAUGAAACACAGCAUUCGAAAAUCCUUGUUCAUUCAGCAAGGAUGUUGCUUCAGUUCCUCUCUUUUCGUCUCUGGCUGUUAAGACAACCGUUACACCUGAAUUCGCGAGCUGCUUAAUAGUCUCGAAGCCAAUUCCCUUGUUUGCUCCUGUAACCACUGCAUACUUACAAGCAUCUCCCAUCACUUAAGUCCAAUUUUUCUAACCUGUAAUCCUUUUGAAUCCUGUUGGGAGAAGAAGAAAAAAGAACACUAUUUCAAACGAACUAACGCGAUAGGAAGAAAGAGGUAUGUAGAGACUAAUAGUCCAACUGUUGAAAUAACAACCUCGGGGAUGUAGUUCCGAAAAAGAGAAAUAAUGGAAGUACAAGAAACAACAGAUAAUAACAAAAACAACAUAUAGUUAUAACAUAACAUAAACUACAACAAAAUAAUACAAUGAUCGAGCUAGGUACAAGAAACAAUAGAUAUCAACUAACUCUAUCUACCGAGGCUUGAACAGAUGGAAAGAAUCACUUGAUCUAAACAGUGUUAAGCAGCAACAUCAAAGUAAACAAUCAAGACCAAAAAUCAAAAUCCCAUUUCAAAGAUAAAAUAUAUUGACUUACCUGUAAAUGGAGAGUAUAGGGCUAAUACUAGUGCUACAAGUAAAAAAAAAUCAACAAUCUACUAUUUAAUAAGUAAAAAUUUGGUAAAAAAAAUAUGUUUUCAUGGGUAUUAUUGUCUAACACUUUAAACUACCUUUUUUUAUGGUAGGCAAACCCAUGUGAUCCUCUAACUGGUAACUCCUUUAUAUAGUAUCAUUAUUCAUUUCAGUUUGAAUGCAUUUCUAUGGCAAUGUUGUCAUUUUUUACUGGCAUUAUUAAAUGUUAUGAAUUACUGGCAUUUGCUAUUAAUGAUGGUAAUUUCUCCGUCCGUUCACUUUUACUUGUCACAUUUGGAUUUGAUACGCCCAUUAACACCUUGAUGAAUGGUUGGUACCUGUUGUAUUGUAUUGAUAGUUUAGAUAUAACAUUUGUUUUGAUUGUUACUUAAAUUUCAUUGUAUCAUAUCAUUUAAAUCCAUCAUUAGGUAACGACGAACAAUAUGGUGUGAUCUCACCGUUACCUUAAUAUUUUCUUCUUAUUUUAUCCUUUAACUACCUAUCUUUUAAUAGUAGCUUUAUUCCGUAUCCUACUUUUUCUUUUAGAUUUAUCAUUCAAAUUGUUGAUGUGAUAGAGAACAAUACAAUCUAUCCAAAUGUUGUACUCUUUAAAACAUUACAGUAUGAUAUAAUACAACACAUUACUUGAUUAUUUUAUCCUUUGCUUCCCUCAUUGUUUCAAUUACUAAUUCAACCAGUAGAACACCAAGCUCAGAAAUUCAACCAAAAUGCCAAGAGACACUGAAAGAAAUAGUCUUAUUUCACGACUUGAUCUAAAACAUCGUAACUGACCCCAACUUAUUUGGGACUGAGGCGUAGUUAUUGUUGUAUCUAAAACUCGUCGACUACUGUACGAUCAAAGUAGCAACCAGUAGGUCCUCCAUCAGGCAAAAGAGCUAGCAUGACAGAUCCUUCAGCUCCUUCUUCGACAGGCAUUGUUCCUGUAUGCCAGUUUAUAUCCGUGUUGACGUAUCCAGGAUGGACACAAUUGAUACACAUUUUCGGGUACUUUCUUGCAAGAAUUCGAGUGUAAGCAUUGAGUGAGACUUUUGAUAUGCUAUAUGCUGGUAGCAUCAUCUGCCAACCAUUCACCUCG
RNAcentral lists this long non-coding RNA (118820 nucleotides) under Solanum tuberosum (potato). RNAcentral's name for it is "long non-coding RNA (STUB_LNC011001)". Lineage: Eukaryota; Viridiplantae; Streptophyta; Magnoliopsida; Solanales; Solanaceae. The record is from RNAcentral.